Molecule: long non-coding RNA, 98127 nt
Filed under: Triticum aestivum (bread wheat)
Lineage: Eukaryota; Viridiplantae; Streptophyta; Magnoliopsida; Poales; Poaceae
Description: long non-coding RNA (TAES_LNC012766)
Rfam family: MIR1120/MIR1122 microRNA precursor family (bases 70204-70338)
Source: RNAcentral
UUGCAUAUACUGGUCCAUGCUACGAUGACUAUACUGUCUGCAAAGCCCAUUGCCCGUGAUUCAACACAAUUUCCAUGAAUAGUUUUCAUGUAAUAAGGAAGAGAUGAUAUGCAAUAAGUUUUCCUAUCAAUAUUUGCUUUUACAAUUGCUAAAGUGAAUAAGGAUAUGAUUUCCUAAAUUAUUAUGGUGCUUGUACUUAUCCCUAUCAACUGUUUUAUCAAGAAAUACAUUUUUUGUGCAAUGGAGACACAUCGCUGGCACUACAGUGCAGCAUAACAAAGGCUGGCCAGGAUGGUGGUCCAUGGACCACCCUAGAUUUUUUUCACUGGCUUACUUGGGUGUACUUGAGCACAAGAAAGCCCAGAAUAGGAUUGUUUUUUGCUAGAUAAAUAUUAAAUUUAUUUGCGUUAGCACAGAUAAAGAUGUGAUUUCUAAAUUAUUAUUGUCCUUGUACUUAUCUAUAUGGACUAUAUUUUUGUAGAAAUACUUUUUUUGUGCAAUGGAGACAUACCACUAGCACUUCAGUGCAUUGGCAUAACGAGGGGUGGCCAGAUGGUGGUCCAUGGACCACCCUGGGAUUUUUCCAUUGGCUCACUUGGGUGCAUUGGUGCGCUUCCUAAAAAAGUGAAAGCACAACUACGCUCGUUGGUUUUUGUUUUUCUCCUGAUUUUUAUUUUUAUUUUUGUUGUUUUAGGUUCUUAUUAUUUCCUAGUUUUUGGUUUUCUUCGGAUUUUGGUGUUUUUGGACUUGUUUCUUAUUUUUGGUUUUCCCCGGAAAAAAGUUCAUCCAAACCUAUUAAGAUGGAAUCUAGUUUUGAAGAUCUCGAUGCCAGAAACCCAAUGGUGGAAACGAUUCGUGAUUUGGAUGGAUGGUUCGAGAGAUAAAACUUUUUGUAAAAAAAUGAAUCUUUAAAAAAACUGAAAAACUCUUAGCUGUGACAAGUGCUACUUGUCACCACAGAGAAGGUGGGAGUGAUAUUUGCAAGGGAAACGAGGUUUCUCAGCAAGGGAGUGACGCUCAAGUGUCGUCAUCACUAGAUCCAACCAUCAAAGGCUAGAAUCAAAGUUUUCACCUUGAAAAAUAACUCUGAGCAAAUUCGAGCAAUGCCUUCAACAAGGUAGUGAAACAGAAAUAUCGCCAUUGUCAAGUCUAACCAACUUGGGUUAGCCCUAAGUUUUCACUCCGGAGCUCGAGACCGAGAACUGGAGAAGCACCAACAAAUCGAAGGCAAUCAUGUGUUAUCACCACCACUUUUCCAACAUUCCAAUAGCUACAAGCUUUGGUCUAAAAGUUCCACCGCCGCCGCUGCACAACCAUACUCUUUUGCGUUAAGUUGUUGUCGUAGAUUGCAUUUCAUGGCUGAAGGCAAAGUGGCCGGAGUGAGUGCCGCCAAAACUCACAAAGGAGCCUACUGACUUGCAAUGGUUUGAAGAUGUGACAUGUCAGCAUCCAUCAACUGCUUCAGAGAUGAAUGUUUUGAUCAACUACUUUCCUAAUAUCUUUUCUAGAAUCCACCUCCCAUAUGAAGCCAAGUUUUGAUGCAAAGUAGUCUGUCCUCAUGAUGUUCUCUCUCUCACCCUGCUAUUCUACUUCAUCAUCAGUAAAGAACAUAAGCAACGGGCAACCGCCAAUUAUUAAGCACUCAAGUGCUGCUGGAAGACAACAUAAUGUUUUCAGAGUUGACACAUUCUCGAGCUCCAGUUUAGUGCAAUGCCUAAAGAGCUCGGUAUUGAGUGGUAGGCCUUCUAAUGCACUACAUUUCACAAGCUUAAAAGAUUGCAAACUUUCAAAAUAUGAACCCUCAAGUAGCCAACUUGGAUACGCGGCACAAUUGUAACCCUCAAUUUCGAGGCACUGAAGUUGAGGCGGCGGCAUCAAACCUUCAAUAAUCUCCAACCGUAAACUAUCCUGCACACUCGUGUCAUUAUUCGAACUCCAGACAAGGCACAGGGUUCCGAAGUGAUUUUUCUGAUAUAGCUUAGAGUCUAGGGCCUCAUUCUUUCCACUGACAUUCUCCAGAUUUCUGACACUUAAACUGCCACCAUGCUCUUUCAUGUCACUGAGCUGUUGCAACCCAGACCCCUUCUGUUUUUGCACACAAAAUUCUUUAAGAUGUUGUAGCAAAGUUAGCUUGCCUAUAUAACGGAUUUGUGGCAGAGCUACUUCAUACAUCCUGUAUGACAUAUCACUGUACCCUUCAGGAUGCCGUAGCUUGCUUAAAUUACAGAGUUUGUCAGGCAAGCUCUUAACUUUUAUGGUUUAACUGAAGUACCUGUAGCUGACAAAGAGCACAUAAUGACCCAGGCAAUUCGGCAAUAGAAGUUUUGACAAGGUUCAAAUGCCGAAGAUGCUUCAGCACACCUAAAGAUUCAGGUAGCUUGCUACUAUUGUAAAAACACAAAUGGAGCACACGUACCUUCUUCGGAUAUUGCAGAACCUGAUGGAAAACAUCACUUAUAUCAUCUGUAAGUGGUUCAAUGCAGAUAAAGAUAAGGGUUGUACCGAAGUGGGGCUCCUAAACAAAAGGGUUGUUAGGAGUUGGGAGUUGGGACGGGGUGAGCUCACCAUGUUGAUGAGGACUAGCUAAAGAAUGGUUGAGAGGAUUCAGAAUAUACACUGUCACACUGUCUCGUACUGGAAAAGGUAAUCCCAUUUGCAGCAGUAUAGUAUCUUUCAGCUCAAACGUCCAUGUCUUGCGUGGCCUCAGAGCUAGUGUACACAAGACAGGACAGUCGAGGCGGCAUCUCGGUAUCUUGCCUGUCACUUCGUCCGCCUGCAGUUUUGUCUUUCAAAAUUGGAAACCGUGCUACCUCUAGCCGGCCACACUAAUCUCCACAAGUUUUCUUUUCUUCAGUCUCGCACCUUUCUUCAGUAGCAAAUAGCAGAGAACCAGCAGUUGGUUGCAUUCCCGCUAUCCACUCAGCUAAGCUAGAUGGCAGAUCCCUCUGGUGCUCGUGGCGGCGACAUGCCGGCUGAUCCAAUGGUUGAGGCCGUGGAAGAAGCUGUGGCUCCGGUUGAGCAGCACUUGAAGUGGACGAAAGAGGACGAGGAAUCGGAUGCUGCUUUAUCCGCUCCCCUCAUUAGCAGCCUCCAGCAAGUUGACUCAGCAGGGGAGACCAUUGAUUCUGCAGAAGUAGCACCAGCUCCGGUUGAGGAGGAGGAGUACUUGCAGGAAGCAGCGCAAGAGUUUAGGUCCUCUGAGAUCAUAGAUGUAGGUGACAUUUCUAGCUGUAGCCGCGAGCAUGUUGAUGAGGGAUCUGACUUUGCAGAAGGAGAACCGUCUCCGGCUCCGGUUAGGGGUGGUCAUUUGAUGGAAGAAGCAGAAGAGUUCAAGAUUGAUUUCGAUAAGAGAAAAGAGCAGAUGCAUGGGUUCCCUGCAAGCCUACGCAGUCUCGACAGCCAGUACAUCUAGCCGAGGGUCGUUGCCAUCGACCCUUACCACCACGGCAAACCUCACCUCCAGAGGAUGGAGAGGGUAAAGCACGUGGCUGCCAGCCAAUUCCUCCUCGAGUCAGGAGACCUCUCAGUUAGGGAGGUCUAUAACGCUGUCUACCUGGUAUCAGGCGAGGCCCGCCGCCGCUACGGUCAAGACUCUGUGGUGGCAGGUAUUGACGAUGCUGACUUUGUGCCUAUGAUGUUCUUUGAUGCCUGUUUCUUGCUGGAGUUUAUGCAUUUUAUUAGCGAUGAGCAGCUUCCGUUUGAUGAAGCGUUGUCAUACGUUUUCCGCUCCAACCAAGAACUUAUCAUUAGCGAUGUAAUGCUGCUGGAGAACCAGCUCCCCUGGCUGGUUCUGGAAAGCCUGAUGGGAUUUAGCUCUGUGCCCGUGCAAGAGAAGAUGAUAAUUUCAAGAAUGGGGAAAGGUCUCACAAAACGUAGGCAUCAUAUUCAAACCGGACCAGAAGAAAUCCUUUCAAACUUGUAUGAAGAUGAAGAAGAGUACAAGCCGCCACAUCUCCUUGGUCUCCUUCGAUUCUACAAAGCAAGCAACAAGAUGGCCACCAAAGCCAGCAAGAAAGCCAACAAGAAUGAUGUAUUUUCAACACUGAACCGUUUGAAAGCCCGGCUAAUUGGUGCGCAUAAAGAAAUGGAUGUACCAUCAUACAAUAACAUGUCCAUGGAAACACUUAGUCAAUUGUCAAUAUCUCCAGGAGCCACCGAGCUUGCAGAAAUUGGCAUCAAGGUGAAAGCCAUCAAGACGGGAAGUCCCACAGAAAUGGACAUCAGGAAAGGACCCCUCUUUGGCGAUCUUUCCUUCACGCCACUGGCGCUAAACGUAUCAAACGCAUGUUUGCUUGCAAACAUGGCGGCUUUUGAGGUAUGCACGGCAUCAUGGGAUCUAUGUGAUGUUCAAGAGACGGCCGUCUUCUUGUACCUCGCUCUCCUUGGCAUGCUCAUGGACCAGAAAGAGGAUGUGCGCGACCUACGAAGGAAGCAUCUUGUGCAAGGAGAACUCACGAACCAAGAGGUGUUUGACUUUUUCAAGAGCCUUACCAGGCACCUGCCGGUGGGCCUCUCCUUUCUCCUCGUCUUAACGAGCAUUGAGAAGUACCAGGCCAACAGGAGGAUCUGGGUCAAGGCGCACAAGUUCAUCUACAACAACUUCAAAACCAUUUCCGCGGUCCUCUCCGUGGUUGGUGUUCUGGUGGGCAUCUUCAAGACGCUCCUCUCUCUCAAGCAACACCAGUAAAGUCAGACCAUGUUUGCCAUAUUUUCAGUUAUGAACCUUCUGUAAAUCUCUUUUUUAAACAAUAUAUGCAUGUUUGUUGGUCUCAUUUCUGCUACUUAAUUCGUUUCUACUGCCUAAUUCAGUGAAGACUUUGAAAUCUCUUCUUUACCAUGAAGGCUGUCUGGCAGAUAGUUUUUAGAUUGGUACCUUCUGUAACACUUGUACAGUAUGAGUUGCUGGUUGUUCUGUUUUGGGGCCUUCUUCUUUCUCUGUAGUUUGUACCAUCAGUAUGAUAAAAUCUUCUGGUCCGUCAAGUAGCAAUGCCACUGACAAAUAUCAAGCUGAUGAUCUGCCCAAGGGGCACCAGUGCCCAUCAGCAUUGGUCAAUGGCAUCACAAGGGAAGCGACACAACAGGGGAAGAAAUUUUCCGACUUAGAAUCAUGUUUCUGGAUGCGCCAAUCCGUCUCUGCUUCACAUUGCUCUAUUUGCUUUUCUAUGUGUGCCAAUUCUUUUUCCUGUUGAUUACCGGUGCCAUGCAUGUUUGUUGGCGUCGUUUCUGCUACUUAACUCCCUCCCCGUUGCUGAAUCCAAUAAAGACUACGCAAUGUCUGAUGUAACAUUGAGGCUUACUACUGCUAGAGUUUUCAGUUUUGUACCUUUUGUAACACUUGUACACCAUGAGUUUCUGGGUGCUCUGUUUUUCAUGGCUUCUUCUUUUUCCAUAGUCUGUACCAUGAAUACUGAAGCAACAUUCUUCUUGCGGAAUCAGAUAUGUAAUUUGCAGGGGACGGAGCAGUUUUUUUUUUUUGAUAAACAGAAAGCAGUUUUGUUCAUUGGUCUUGAUCUAGAAUUCCUGAUAAUACUUUGAAUCAAGUUCACAUCAUAUAUUAAUGUCUUCACUUCUGUUAUUGUUUCUCAUGCUGAACUGUGAGCAACCUUCAUGCUGAACUCUGAGCAACCUAAGGUAAUUAACAACUGUUUGCUUCCCGCAAAAGGGAAAAGAAACAACUGUUUGCGGCAAUUAUGUCUGAGGAAAAGCAUUCUUCUGAGAAAAAAAAUACACGUGCUCAAUUUAGUACUCGCUUUCCUAAAUUUAUCUUGGUAAAAUAGUAUGGCCUUCAACUACUAAACCACAGCUUUAAGCAUCCAUGACAAUUUCCAAGGUACAAUGUUCUGAAUAUUCCGGUGUCAAGUCAAAUCAGUAGAUCUGUGACAAGUACUACAACCUAGACAGUCGCCUCUGUUCUUCGCUAGGCAUGUACACACAUAAUCAAAUAUAUAAGUUUUAGAGUGGUUGGGCUUUUUUAGAACCGUUCGUUGAUGUCGAUCUAACGGCAGACAAAUACGAAGUACUGGGUAGUACUCCGAUGAAAGUACGCGAAAGUACUAAAACGAGUGGGGCCAGUACUCGUGACAAGGUGGGGAUGCGUUUUAAUCUAGGGGCAGUUUAGUCCUAGGAAAAUUUGCACGCGCCGCCCCUCUCGUCGAAUGCAUAACCGCCGCCAUGGUGAUUCACAUUCCACAAUUACUCAUCGGCGGCCAUCUCCUCCCUCUCCUCCAAGUCCACCUCAGUCAUCUCCUCCUUCUUGCCGCUGCAACUUCGCUCCACUCAGGCAACUCCCCACCCACCCCCACCCCCUCUUACACGGCAGAUCGAGCUGAUGGCCGGCGACGAGAACACCGACUUCGUGCAGAUCGCCGGCGGCGACCAGGUCAAGUUGGCCAGGUUGAGGGAGAUCCGUUCUUGGUUUGACAACACAAGGUAGAUGAACUGGACGGCAAUGGCCACUCUCAAGAAUAUGACGAAGAAGGAGAGGGCAAAGCUUUGCCCCCCGCCCGCACAACUGAUUGACAAGAUCGAGAUCCUCCUCUGGGCAAUGGAGCAGGCCAAUUCGUCCAGCGAGUGGACCAGGCGGAGGUGGUGGGCGUUCAGAUCCAGGGUAGAGCAUCCACUGGAUCAGGAACCCACCGUGCACGAGGUGCCGUUGCAGAUUGUGCAACCUCCAACCGAGUCACCGGAGACUCCGAAGCGCAAGAUGAGGAGGACAGUGGUCGCGACCUCGCUUCCCCGCCGUUCUCCACGCUUCCCUUGCCGCUCUCCUCGUCUGAACGGCGGCGGUAGCUAUGUUUAGAGUAUGCUUCCCCACUCCUCAUCUUCCUACUGCUCGUGCUUACAUCGUGGUGAUACUGAUCGUAAUAGCUCAGAGAGGGAAUGCUAGAUGGCAUUUUAAUCUCAAUGAAUUGCAUGAAUAUUUGAGUACAUGGAUUUGGAGGAUGGAUUAUGAUGUAUGUGAACACUAGGCAUCAUAUGAACCCUAGGAAAAAUUAGUAAUGUUCUAGUGGUAGACACUGAAAUAUUUCGGUACACACCGGUAGGCACUGAAAUAUUUCGGAACUGCCCUAGGCAAAAUUUGUAAUGUUGUAGUGGUGGACACUGAAAUAUUUCGGUACACACCGGUAGGCACUGAAAUAUUUCGGUACUGCCCUAGGCAAAAUUUGUAAUGUUGUAGUGGUAGACACUGAAAUAUUUCGGUACACACCGGUAGGCACUGAAAUAUUUCGUUACUACAAUUUCAGUACACAUCGAUGCACAAUGAAUUAUUUCAGUACUGCAGUUUCAGUACACACUGAAAUAUUUCAGUACUGCAAAUUCUAUACAAAGUUGGCAUUUUGUCAUUUAUGUGUGAAUCAAUCCAUGCAUCAUAUGGCAUAACUUUGUACAUGAGUUUGGGUCAAUUUCAUGUCUAUUUAUUGUUAAAAUUAUUGUCAUGCCAUGAAACACAAGACAAGUCACUGACCCAAGCUUGCAAAGAUGACAUAUCAAUGUUGCUGAUAUGCACGUUUUCACCAAGUCUUGUGUCUGAAUUAAAACUAAGCAUUUUUUCUUGAUGGUAUCCAUGGAUCUAGAACUCCUAUGAAUUUGCUCAUGUUGGAUGUUUUAUUCUCCAUCAUUUGUACUAGCAUUCUGUGCGAUUAGAUGCCAUGACAAGACCCCUGGCAUAUUUAUUUUCUUGCCUCCAACAUCACAUGUGUGUUUUGCAGGAAAGAACCUGGAGUUCACCAGGCUGGCUGAAGUUGUGAGGCUGGGAGGCUGAUGGUGCUGCUACUGGCUGAUCCUUCUUCUUUCAGUUUUUGUUCGUCAUUUAUCAAGCCGUUGGACCAGGGCUACUUCCCUAUGUGCUGUUAAUGUAUUAAGUAGUUCCUUCGAAUUUGUAGUACUAGUUAGUUUGAAUGUGGAAGUACCUUAAUUUUUGGAACGAAAUGUUGCUAUGUAGGACCAAGGGUUUCAUACCUUAAUCUUUGGAUAAUUAAUUAUGUGAACUGUUAGAUGUGGUGCACAACGAAACGCCUCUACCAUUGAUACUAUAGUUCAACAUGUCGGUCCAAUUAGAGACCAGCCACUACCAUAUAGAACAGUUAGCAUUUCAUACUACAACCUGGCACGUACAAAACAUCACACAGUGGAAGCACAUCCCUAAGCACCUUGCAUUGUACAAGGUCUAAGAGACCAGCCUCUACCAUAUAUAACAGUUACCAUGUCACACUACAGCAUAUAAAACAUCACAUUGUGGAAUAAUCAUAGCUAGUAGAGCAUUAGGUACCAGUUAAUAAUAGUUGCAAUCCAUCACAAGCAAUAGUACCUAGAUAUGAGUAGAUAUAGGUACGGUAAUACACGACAAGUACUCGCAAACAAGAGCUGACAUAACAAGUUCAUUUCACAUUGAUACAUGGCCCACCCCAGUUCUAAAUGAGGUGGAUGGUGAUCAUCAUCCUCAAGUCAUGGCGACGGGUGUUCGCAACGGUGAGUAGGAUGGCCUGUCCUACCCGAAGAUUCUUGGCACGAAGGAACUUCUUCCACCCUGCCAUGCUCAAGACAGUCCGACCGUUCGUGUCCACUACAUAGGCACAGCUGGUGAUGGAGCCGUUCUGGUAAGGCGUAGUCCAGCAGCCAUGCCUUCUUCGCCCGGGUCGAUGCCACAGCUAUCAAGUAACCUCUUAGGUAAUUUCUGAAAACAGUUGACAUGAUAUAUGAUCAUGUCACGUGCAAUUAUCAACAAAGCAUACACUUCAAGACACAUAUAUCAUUGGAUUCAACACUGAGCAUAUAUAUCAUCACAUGACUACACUAUACGCCAAGCAUCAAAUUACUACAGUAAUUAGGCAUAUCAUUAGAUUACUUCCUACACUAAGCAUAUCAUCGCAUAUUACUACACUACAUGCAUGUCAUAAAAUUCUUCACUAAAUGAAUUCUAAACUUGGCCUCUCAUCACAGUACUACAACAUGCAUAUCAUAUGAAGUACUACACUAACUAAGCAUGCAUAUCAUGUAAUUACCACACUAAGUAACAUACCAUGAUAUGUCGUUUAACAUUCGUCCUUGUGAGGCGGGUCACGAAUGGCUUCCCUAGGUAGUCUUCACGUAGCGGAAGCAUGUCCCAGAGGUUGCCGAUUUCCUCGUCGCCCAGGCUGAGUCCUUGGGCAUACAGGUAUUCAACAAGUGGGUUCUCAUCAUCAUCUGAAUCAGCACCAUCUUCGUCCUCGUGAACUUCAUCCUCACUAUCCGGAAUGAAAUUUAGAUAGAUAACAGAAAUCCUGGGCCUAUCUCUUCUGAAGGAGAAGCUGAUCAAUUCACCCCCAGUAAGACGCAUGCGGGCGAUGAAACGAUCCCAAUCAUCUCCUCCUAUCUGGGUUAUCUUUCGCCCCUUCUCGACCUGCAUAGUGUAUGGGCCCCCAAGAGCGUCAAAGGUCACUGUGUCUGCGACGAGCUCAUUGAAUGCCAAUCUCACAUUGCAUGGUACGAUCUGUGUAAGAUAAAAACAAAUAGCAGACACAAUACAUUAGUGCAAAUAGCAAAAAAAACAAAAAGAAUGUACUGUCAGAAGGUUCAUAUAAAUUAUUACCACUGCAACAACAAAAGAAGGCUGGAAGUAGAUGCCGAACAACGUGGCAGUAGAAAGGCUGGUCCGGCACCGUGAGUUGCAGCGUCCACAUUGUGCUUCCUCCAUUCUACACAGAACAUGUUGAACUCUAAGUUGAAUUGUACAUAGUACAAUACAAAGAUCAUACAUAUAAUAAAUCAUAGUGAUAACCUAUACUGGCAAUGGCCAAUCAAUCUAUUUUCUAUCAUCUAUGUAAUAAAGCAAUGGCAAUGACAAUGGCAAUGCCCGGUUCAUCUAAACCUGGGAAUAGUUGGGCAUCGAAACUUAAACCAGUCCAAUCCACGGCACACAUCAAAACCAAACCAAUCCAGAUAUUUUCAUUUAGAAUCUAGACCAAACCGAACUAUACAUGCGCGUCAUCCAACCCAGUCCAAACCGUUUUCAACUUCCAAAGGUUCAAACCGUGGACAAAGCCAUAUGCGAGGGCACGUCAUGAAUCUAGAUCAGACAUGGCGUCAAAGCUCGAGAGAGCCGACGAGCCCCGGCCGGCAACUGCGGCUCUUGGAUUUGAAGCAGUACUAGGUGGUAGUGGCGGCUCAAACUAAUUGAUUGAUUUGGUCUCAAACCAUAUAAACCAAAUCAAGAUCCAAUCCAAAAACUAAGUUUCAGUCCGUAGGGAGACGCGUUUGAGGAAGGGAAGAAGAGUGGAGAUCUGACGUACUUGCCGUAGUUGGCGGCGGCCGCGCACCGGCAGCGAAGAGAGGGGUCGUCGGCAGAGGCGGCGGCGCUGGUCGAGAAGGGGAGAAAGAAAGAUGUGGAGUGGUCGAGACAGGGAGAAAGAAAAAUGUGGUACAUGUGGUGGCUCGGUUGUGUGGAUGACAAGGGGACCCACUUGUGAGACCGAUAGCAAUUGAUGGCAAACCGUAGGAGGUGCACGACCGCGUGCACGACCGCCACGUCCCCACGUGGAAUCGGGACGGCCGGGUGGGUGUGUCAAGUCAAAUCGGCACCCGCGGCUUCUCGGUAACUCCAAGAGGCAGGAGCAGUGCCUUUCUUCCCCAAAUCGGGUAGAAAACCCUCAUCCUCUCCCGAACCAUACCACCCUCUCUUCCUUCCUCACCACCUCACCACCCUCUCCUCCUUCGUCACCACCCUCCUCCCUUCCUACGCCUCCCUCCUCCUGUCUUCGACCGACGAUGAAGCGCGGGCGUGAAGAUGCGGCGGAUGAGCCGGAGGCAACCAUCGGAGCAGAGCAGUCUGCUGCCAUGGCUGCAGCCGUGGGUGGAGCGGCUGAGUCCGCCGUAGCGGCGGAAGCUGGCGGUGCAGCGACCGUUGUGCCUGCUCCCGCUGCCAUCGCAGCCGUCGAGGCACCCGUCGGCGAGCACAAGGUCGGGGAAGAUCUGGAGGAGGAGGAGAUGAGAAGGCGUAAGCGCAAGGUGUAUGACAAAAUCGAAGAGCUCAUGGAGGAGAACGCCAUAAAGGAGUUCGACCUAGAUAGCAGGAAGGGCAGCGACUUCGACGAGGAUGCCAUCGACGAGCUAUCUGAGGUAGUACUCUGUUUUUUGCUCAGUUUUUUUCAUGACAUUGGGGUUUUUCUUGUUAACUAGAUGAGCAUCAAUUUCACUUGGGCGUUCUAGUUGUACGUAUGUAGGAUUGUAGGGAUCUAGCAUAGAUCUUCAUGUUGGAUGUGGAUUUUAAAUCUGAUUCACAUUCUGAUUCCAGCAUAUACUCUGGGUUUUUUUCAUGGCAUUGGGGUUAGUCUUGUUAACUAGAUGAGCAUAAGUUUCAUAAGGGAUACAUUAAUGAAAGAAGUGGGGUAAUGAACCCAAAUACAAGAAAAUGUUCAUGGCAGGGAUACAUUAAUGAAAAAAGUGGGUUAAACAAUGGAUAUAUGACAGGAUUCUCCAUUGGCUUCCCCAGGAUAGUGACUAAAUUCUGCAGGUCCUGAUUCAUUAUAGUUUAUGUCCAUGAAUUAAUUUGCACACAUGUUCAUAGAUGAUUAGUUUGCACACAUGUUCAUAGAUGAUCCAUUUGCAAAUUCUAUACAGAUUUCCAUUUUGCAAAGGAAGUGAUCGCUCCCUUAAUAAUUAUGGGCUGACAUUACAUAUCCACUGGAUACCGAAAAAUCAAAACAUCUCAUCUACCCAAUUUUCCACAGUAUUUUAUUUAGAUGAUCACAGCCACAUCUCUCAUCAAUAUGAGCAGUGAGACACCCCAUAGCUCCUUUACCAAUUUCCUUCUGAAAGUUAUCAGGGUCUAACAAUGUUGGAGAAGCAGUAUUGCCGCUGUCAGAAAGAAUAAUUGUUUCUUCAUUCCAGUAGAUAGAACAAACCCCCCUUGUGCGAAACAUGGAGGAGUACAAUGAAGCCAUUUUUCUGAUUCCAAUAAGAAUUACACCUGUAACAAGUAUCAAAUAUCAUUAAACCAAGCCACUUCAUCUAUAAAUGCAACUACUUGGGUUUAGGGUUAUCAGGGGUUAGGGUUAUCAGGGUUUAGGGUUGAGUGUUUACAUGCAAUCCCGGAAAUGCGUGUGUCAGAGAACGUACUUGCAUGUAUAUGUAGUAAUGAUCCCAAACUUUCUUAAUGGCAUCCCAUGACCACAUAGAGAAUGAAUGCAUAAUGGUUUCCAUGUUGGGCAAAAUUUUGAAUGUUUAUACGGUUUAGUGGGGGGGAGGGGUUUAGGGUUAUCAGGGUUUAGGGUUUAAGGGUUUUAGGGUUGACGGAACUAUGUUUGUCUUACGGUGGACGUAGCACACACACCGGACAUUGAUGGAGCGUUGGUCUACAAUGGAUUCCCUCCGGUACCAUCGAUCCGGUCCGUUGACUGGCUCGGCCGACAAACUUCGUGCCACAUAAAGCAUGCAUCCAUCCACUGGACCGGAUCGAUGUUUGGUUGGUUUCAUACAGGUGAGGAACCCAGGUAGUGCUUUCGGGGUGUUGACAUGCUAGGCCGGAAAUGCGCGUGUCAGAGAUCGUACUUGCGUGUAUAAUCCCGAAAAUCUUUCAUGGCAUCCCAUGAGACCACAUAGAGAAUGCAUGCAUAAUGGUUUCCAUGUGGGGCAAAAAUUUGAAUGUUUUUACGGCUUAGUGGGAGGGGGGGUUUAGGGUUAUCAGGGUUUAAGGGUUUUAGGGUUGACGGAACUAUGUUUGUCUUACGGUGGACGUAGCACACACACCGGACAUCGAUGGAGCGUUGCUCUACAAUGGAUUCCCUCCGGUACCAUCGAUCCGGUCCGUUGACUGGCUCGGCCAACAAACUUCGUGCCACAUAGAGCAUGCAUCCAUCCACUAGACCGGAUUGAUGUUUGGUUGGUUUCAUACAGGUGAGGAACCCAGCUAGUGCUUUCGGGGUGUUGACAUGCUAUGCCGAAAAUGCGCGUGUCAGAGAUCGUACUUGUGUGUAUAAUCCCAAAAAUCUUUCAUGGCAUCCCAUGACCACAUAGAGAAUGCAUGCAUAAUGGUUUCCAUGUGGGGCAAAAAUUUGAAUGUUUUUAUGGUUUAGUGGGAGGGGGGUUUAUGGUUAUCAGGGUUUAGUGUUUAAGGGUUUUAGGGUUGACGGAACUAUGUUUGUCUUACGGUGGACGUAGCACACACACCGUACAUUGAUGGAGCGUUGGUCUACAAUGGAGUCCCUCCUGUAGCAUCGAUCUGGUCCGUCGACUGGCUCGGCCGACAAACUUCGUGCCACAUAGAGCAUGCAUGCAUCCACUGAACCAGAUGAAAUGCGCGUGUCAGAGAUCGUACUUGCGUGUACAUGUACCAUCCGUUCCAUCCACUGGCUGGGCCGACAACCUUCGUGCCACAUUGUUCACAUUGUCCAAUUAACACUUUGUAUAGAUUUUUUUGGUAAAAAAUGAAAGAAAUAAUGCAACUAAUCUGAACGUAACGUUUGGCAUGUAUCAAACCAAGUUGCUACUAUUCCUCAAAAAAACCCAGUUAGCCACUAAUUGCGCCAAACAUAUCUCGUAAUUACCAACGAAAAUGGGUUGACAAUUAUAUCUGGAAAUUUUUGGACUGAAUUUAUUGCUCUUCCUUUUUUAGAGAACAAUAAGUUAGAAUGGUGGGCGGCGGGUUGGCACGGGCACGGCGAUGGCUCGGGCUUGUGUGAUAUGUGGUUCGACCCGCGGUCAGUGCACAUGUUUUGGAAGCCCCAAAAAGAUCGCGCUCUUAAAAAAACUUGCAUCGAAGCGCAUUACUUCAAAAUAACUAAUUAACCCUACAAUCACGGAUAUAUACCUUCCCAUUCUACCGAAUAUCUACCCUAUCCUAACCACCCCCAUCUACCUUGUUUCUCCUCACAUAGCCAUCGCCGGGAUCGCGCCAUCGCUUCUCAAGCGACCACGCCGACGCCGGAUUAAAAAGGUCUCUUCCACGGCUUCUCUCAUCUUCGAUUGCAGUGCUGAUUAUUUUUUCCAUUGAUUCGACCAACAAGUAAUUUCCGAAGAGAUUAGAAAAUCCAGCUUUUGCCAUAGUUGAGUAGUUCUGGUGUGAUUCGAGUACAGGAUGUCAUGCAAGAGCUUUUUGAUUGAUAGUUUGUACUAGUUGAUCGUACGAACUAAUUAUGAAUAUUUUUUCACGGUCGUAUUGUUUCGAAUUAGGUGGAUGAGGGUGUGGAUACAGUUUUCAUACUAUGGGUAUAUGUGUUGCUGUAGGGACCAUGGUCUCAGAGGCGUAUAACAACCGUGCGGAGUACGACAAGUCUUUGCAUGAAGCGCGUCGGGAGAUCGACUUGAAGGUGCAAAAGGAUCGCGCUGAGGUAGAUAAGAAACUGAAAAAAGAACAUUCAUACGUGGACAGGAUGAUAAAGGAGGAGCGUCAGGAGUUUUCCCUUAAGAUGGCGAAGAUGCGUCUUGAGAUUGAAGAAAAGUAUAAGAGGGACUGUGAGUACAUGGAAAAAAAGUUUUUCUUAGGCUACAAGGAAAUGCAUCAAACGUUGCAGAAGGACCGGAAGCUUGUGGACAAUAUUAUACAGACAGAGCGAGUCAAGAUGGAUGCCUAUGUGUUGCAGGCACGUGCGGAUAUGGACAGUAAGCUGCUACAGGAGCGGUCGGACAUGGAUUAUAAGGCCAUGCUGGAGAAGGUCCGCUUGGAAGGACAUAUGUUAGAAGACCGUGCGAUCUCACGGCCACCCCGACAACAUGUCUUCAAUUAUUCUCCCCCUGUAAGUAUCUCGCACCGAUUCUAUAUAUUAAGGACCUACGUAUUCUAUGAUACAAACAUCUUCAAUUUGUGGCAACCUUAUGUCGGCGAUUGUAUGUAGGCUAAGCAUCAUGAGAUGGCACAGUCGCCAUUCACUCGAGAUAUUGCGAUAGAGUCACCCGUUCAAUGCCACAUCAGUCCACCCCAACAACAUAUCGUCAAUUGUCCCCUUGUAAGUACCUCGCAACGAUGCAUACCCAAGAUAUGGUAUGACCUUUCAAAACUUGUGUGUAAACCCACUAUCGACAUUUCAUACGCAGGAUAAGAAACCUAUGAUGGCAGAGUCCCUAGUCACACCACAUGAAGGAUACAUUCAACAUAAUAAGGUGAGAAGGUUUGGGAUGGCACAAUCCCAAGUCACUCCACAUGAAGGAUACAUUCCACAAAAGCAGGUAACAACGCCGCAAUGUUGCUAUGCACAUAAAAGUUAUGUUUGGCCCUUUACUCAUUGAAUGUAUUAACUCUGAUGUGAGAUACUAGGUGCUGGUCAUGGAAUUUUUUGUUAGUAGGGAUGAUGAGAUGUCACAUGUCCCGAGAGCAUACUUUGAUGAACACCCGGCAGAAGUCAGAAUUUUUGAACCCGCCAAAGUGACCUACGAUCUCAUUAUGAGUGAAAUGAGAGAUAGUUUUGGUUGCAAACUGGGAGCAGAACUGUACUACUUCUUACCCGGGUCUGCGUGCAAGCUGCCAGAAGGAAUGUUCUUGAUUGCAGGACCAGAUGAUGUACAAAAAAUGUUUUUUGAUCUGAAUGGCAGCAAGACAUGUCACCUGUACAUUGUGUACAAUAGAACUACGGGUUGUUUUCCCGAGGAUGACAUUGAUUCCGAGGUUCAAAUUUUACAUGUUGCAUGCAUCUAGUUUAUGGCAACGUCUUUUUUGAGUUCUUCCUAAUACAAUUCCUAUGGUUUUCUACAGGAAGUGAGAAUCCAAGAAAUGGAGGGUCUUGCUAGAGAGUUGGCAGAGAAAGACCAUGAACAACUUAAGUUGUAUGGUUACAUUGAUGUUAAAGAGAAAAAUAUUGAAGCACAUGGGUCGUCGCCAAGCCCGACGCAAUCUCCAACGACGCAACGCAAGAGGUCACUGGAUUUUGGCAGUGCAGAAGACAAUAUGGAGUAGGCUCAAUUGUUUUUCAACCAGUUUAAGCUUCAAACCAGGAUUAUUUAGUUGCAAACAAACCUUUUGUUUUCUGUUUCACACUAUGUUCGCAAUUAUGGUACAAUUUAUUCAUGAUACAGUUCUUUGAACAACAAUGCAUGUGUUUUAUGAUCAAUCAUACAGUUGUUUCUGAGUUGUUUUUGAGAUGGCAUUGUGUCUAAAGAAGUUUCCAUCUAUAGAACUUGGCACACAGUCGCAUCGGAAUCGCGUAUCACGCGAGAGGCGUGCGUCGCACGGGAGAGCGUCGCACACGAGCUUGUUUUCGGGUAGAAAUCAUAACAUAUUUCGGAUAGAUAAAGUUCACGUCCGCCACCCGCGCAUGCAAACCCACGUCGCCGCCAUUCCCAUGCAUGCAUGCCUCAGGCGCAGACAACGAGACGGCCCAUCCGAAGUAGGCCCAUCCGAAUUAGGCCCAUCCGAAGUAGGCCAUUAGAACCCUCCCCCCACUCCACCUAUUCCCCUCGCGCUGUGGCCUCCCUCCCUCCAUCGCCAGAUCCCCCACUCGUCCCCCUCUGUCCGCCACCCCUGCACGCCGUUGGCGACUCCACCCCCACCGCACCCGCGCCCCCCCAACGGGAUCGGCCGGAUCCAUCUCCUCAACCACCGUAGGACAGCGCAGGUACCCCAGUUUCUGUUGACGUCUCAAUGGUAUCCAUGCUGAUAAUGCUAGGUAGAUCGACUGAGUGUAGCAAUUUUGUGCCACCAAUCCACUUUUCUGGAAAAUUCUUGCUAGAAAACUAUCUGAAACUUGUGAUGCUUGCUACUGUAUAAUAUAGGACUUUUCAAAGUUCUGUUAUGAUUGCACUAUUGGACACAUACAGUAGAUCUGCGUUUUUAGUUGUUAUACUUUAAGUUACCAUUAGUGCUUGGGAAAGGACGAAUUGGAUGCAUUCAGGUCUACAGUUGAUAGUGUAUCAUCAUAAUGUAGGUGCUGUGUUGUGUGAUUCUUCAUGCUGAGAACUUCAGCUUUUUCAGUUAUAGUGAAAGGCUUCUGUAUAAAAAACUACUAAAUGAUCACAAAAACUUCUAGACAACAUUCUGUACGAUCUGACCAAAUCUUGAACUAAAUGAUCACCAAAAGUUGAAGGAUUUUGCAUCACAUCACAACCAUAAGUGUUCUGCACCACCAUCAUAACAAUCACAUAACUACAUAACAAAAGCAAACUUGUUCAUCAUUACAAAAGCAAACUUUUUCAACAUAACAAAAGCUAACUUGUUCAGCAUUACAAAAGCAAACUUGUUCAACCACAUAACUGCAAACUGAGACACAUAAUACCACAAACAACUCAAUAUCCCCAGUAGUAGGGGUCAUCCCAAUGAGCCUCCGCCUCUUGCCAGUACUCCAAACCUUCUUUGAUGAUUUCAAUUUUCUUCCAUGCCUCGUAGGUGACGUACGCAUCUUUCUCUGCGUACUCGAUGAGGUUGUUUGGCAGUGGGUUGUCCCCCUAUAGUUUGUGGUCGAAUUCCUUGUUAAUCUUCUUCUUAAUUUCCUUGUAUAAUGGGUGGAUGAGGCUGGCUGCAAACUCAGCCAAAGCCUGCCACUUCUUUCCAUUUUUUGGAACUCUCCAUUUGCGCUGCAUGUCGACGUACUUGUCGGGGUUGAUCUCCAAACCAGACAAUUUCAGCUUCUCCUUGUCACCUCCAAUGGAGAAGCCAACAAAGGUGUACAGCUUCUUCUCCUGCAGGAGCAGGCGGAGUUCCUUGGGCCUGCAUCAAAUUAAUCUGGUGCAUCAAAUUCAUCUACUUCAAAAACUUCAGAAACUACUAAUUAGACAUAAAAUUCAGAACUAGUAUUGCAUCUACUCCAGAACUUCAGAACUAGUAUUGCAUCUACUUCAGAACUUCAGAACUAUUGCAUCUACUUGAGAAACUUCAGAAACUUCAGAACUAUUGCAUCUACUUGAGAAACUUCAGAAACUACUAAUUAGACAUAAACUUCAGAACUUCAGAACUAGUAUUGCAUCUACUUCAGAACUUCAGAACUAUUGCAUCUACUUCAGAAACUUCAGAAACUACAGAAACUACUAAUUAAACAGAAACUUUAGAACUUCAGAACUAGUAUUGCAUCUACUUCAGAACUACAGAACUAUUGCGUCUACUUCAGAAACUUCAGAAACUACUAAUUAGACAGAAACGUCAGAACUUCAGAAACUUUAGAACUGGAUGUUUUUACCAUUUGGUUGCCGCGGUGAUGUGGUAUGCCAGGACGAGAUCCUCCACGCAUAACUGUAGAACUGCAGCCUUUUGUGGAGGUUCAUCUUCCCUCGUAUACUCGACAUCAACGGCGAUCGACCGAGAAAGCAUGCCGCCGAGCCUCCUCCUGAUCUCGCAGAUCCUCUUGUCGGCUUCGUCUGGAUUGCUGGUGCAUACGACAUCCAGCUUCUCCUUCUUCAGAUGGAUAUCAACCAUGAGCGGCACGGUGUAGUCCUGCUUCUGCCCGAGGACCAGAACGUUGUCGUCGACCACCAGCGGCUCCUUGCCAGACGCCUCACCUUGGUGAUGCUUGGCAGACGGAGGGGAGUUGCUCCAUGAUGCCUCCGCCAUUCUCUUGGCAGACGGAGGGGAGUUGCUCCACGAUUCCUCCGCCAUUGCCCUCCUGGCCAGCGAUGGUGGAGGCAGAGGGGAGUUGCUUGACGGUGGAGGCAGAGGGAGGAAGAUGGAGCGGCAAUGGAAUGAGGGAGGCAGAGGGAGGCAGAUUGAGCGGCAAUGGAAUAGGAGGGGAGUUCCCUGCGUCGUGGGGAGUUGCCAGUGGAGGGGAGUCGUGGGGAGUUGCCAGUGGAAGGGAGGCAUGGGGAGUUGCCUCGAAAACUCAAACGUCCUGCCCUUUGGCCCUCGAAAAAUCUGGAGGGGAGACGUGGGCCCUUUGGUUUGUCCUGUUUCUGAAACAAAAAUAAAAUAACAGCCAUAUUUUGCUCUCACUGCAACCAUAUUAAGAGAUCAAAAAUGGCACCAAAAAGUCACUGCAGCCAUCCUAAAUGCCACGAAAACAGCACCAAAACAACAUCAGCCAAAACAGCAAAAAAUGCAUCCAUCGAUCGUUCUUUAUUUCUUCUAACAUUCCGUGUUCUGUGCAGUGAGAUAGACACAACGCUACAAAUGCAGGCUGACAACGCCCGCGAUUUCAUGACCAUCAGGACAGACGGCGGCUUCAUCCACGCUCCGGUCCCAUGAGUCGAGUCGAAAGUAGUGAUGCUAUGUGUAGUUCUGAAACAUUGAUUGGCUCAUGUUGUAAUUAAACUUUAAUGAAUUGUAUGUCUCUUUGGUUUGGACAGUCGUUAAACUUAGAUGUAAUCGAUGCUAUUUAUUACUAGGACCAUGAAUUGUGCUAUUAAUGUCUUGCUUUUCUCUUCCGAUCCUUUUGUUGCAUACUUAUUUAUUGCUUAUGUAUUGUCUGUUGUUUGGCUUGUGCAUAGAGAUGACGUCGUAUGUCGUGUACAAGGGUAAGGUUCCCGGAGUCUACGACGACUGGGAGGAGUGUCGGAGACAGGUUCACCAUUUCAGCGGUAACAGUUACAAAGGGUACACCACUAGGGCGGAGGCGGAAUCUAGAUACACUCGCUAUCUAGCGGGAGAGAGGAGGGAGCGUUGGAGGAACCGGAUGAAGACCAGUUUCAUCGCGAUGAUGCUCAUCGUGAUGACCGCAACUCUCUUCUAUGUGAUGGUAGUUUAGAUGAUCGAUAUCGACUUGUAAUAUGAACACAAACUCGCUACUCGCGGUCUCGAGGCUUGUAAUGUUCUAUCUUUGUUCGGUCUUUUGAAUUCGGAGACUAAUAUGAUGAAUUGUAUUCGGAGAGCUAUCUUAUAUUGUAUUGGAUGAAUGUGCUGUUGCUGUGUGGUGCUGUCUAUAUUCUGUCCAAUAAUAUAUUUUGUAACCUGUGAAAAUAUCAGAAAUGUGCAUUUUUCCAACCACCUCCAAAUCACCUCAGUUUUGGCACACAUGAUCUCUUCCACAAACUAAACUAGGUUUCCAAGUUUUUGUAUUUUUUAUAUUUUUUUUUGAAUUUAUAAUGCCCUCUAGACUGACUGCUGAAAACAUCGGUCUAUGCCUCAAGGGGGCAUUGUAAAAUAAUUUUUUUCAAAAUUUUCUUGCAUACACAUGUUUUGCACAUGUGGGUGACCAUGUACAAGAAAAUUUGGGUGAUUUGGAGGUGGUGGAAAAAUUCACGUUUUUUCAAAAAAUGGCUUAAGUUAGACCAAAUGGUCCCUCCGGGAAUGCGGGCAUUUUUUCGACCACCUCCAAAUCACCUCAGUUUUGGCACACAUGAUCUCUUCCACAAACAAAACUAGGUUUCCAAGUUUUUGUAUUUUUUNNNNNNNNNNNNNNNNNNNNNNNNNNNNNNNNNNNNNNNNNNNNNNNNNNNNNNNNNNNNNNNNNNNNNNNNNNNNNNNNNNNNNNNNNNNNNNNNNNNNNNNNNNNNNNNNNNNNNNNNNNNNNNNNNNNNNNNNNNNNNNNNNNNNNNNNNNNNNNNNNNNNNNNNNNNNNNNNNNNNNNNNNNNNNNNNNNNNNNNNNNNNNNNNNNNNNNNNNNNNNNNNNNNNNNNNNNNNNNNNNNNNNNNNNNNNNNNNNNNNNNNNNNNNNNNNNNNNNNNNNNNNNNNNNNNNNNNNNNNNNNNNNNNNNNNNNNNNNNNNNNNNNNNNNNNNNNNNNNNNNNNNNNNNNNNNNNNNNNNNNNNNNNNNNNNNNNNNNNNNNNNNNNNNNNNNNNNNNNNNNNNNNNNNNNNNNNNNNNNNNNNNNNNNNNNNNNNNNNNNNNNNNNNNNNNNNNNNNNNNNNNNNNNNNNNNNNNNNNNNNNNNNNNNNNNNNNNNNNNNNNNNNNNNNNNNNNNNNNNNNNNNNNNNNNNNNNNNNNNNNNNNNNNNNNNNNNNNNNNNNNNNNNNNNNNNNNNNNNNNNNNNNNNNNNNNNNNNNNNNNNNNNNNNNNNNNNNNNNNNNNNNNNNNNNNNNNNNNNNNNNNNNNNNNNNNNNNNNNNNNNNNNNNNNNNNNNNNNNNNNNNNNNNNNNNNNNNNNNNNNNNNNNNNNNNNNNNNNNNNNNNNNNNNNNNNNNNNNNNNNNNNNNNNNNNNNNNNNNNNNNNNNNNNNNNNNNNNNNNNNNNNNNNNNNNNNNNNNNNNNNNNNNNNNNNNNNNNNNNNNNNNNNNNNNNNNNNNNNNNNNNNNNNNNNNNNNNNNNNNNNNNNNNNNNNNNNNNNNNNNNNNNNNNNNNNNNNNNNNNNNNNNNNNNNNNNNNNNNNNNNNNNNNNNNNNNNNNNNNNNNNNNNNNNNNNNNNNNNNNNNNNNNNNNNNNNNNNNNNNNNNNNNNNNNNNNNNNNNNNNNNNNNNNNNNNNNNNNNNNNNNNNNNNNNNNNNNNNNNNNNNNNNNNNNNNNNNNNNNNNNNNNNNNNNNNNNNNNNNNNNNNNNNNNNNNNNNNNNNNNNNNNNNNNNNNNNNNNNNNNNNNNNNNNNNNNNNNNNNNNNNNNNNNNNNNNNNNNNNNNNNNNNNNNNNNNNNNNNNNNNNNNNNNNNNNNNNNNNNNNNNNNNNNNNNNNNNNNNNNNNNNNNNNNNNNNNNNNNNNNNNNNNNNNNNNNNNNNNNNNNNNNNNNNNNNNNNNNNNNNNNNNNNNNNNNNNNNNNNNNNNNNNNNNNNNNNNNNNNNNNNNNNNNNNNNNNNNNNNNNNNNNNNNNNNNNNNNNNNNNNNNNNNNNNNNNNNNNNNNNNNNNNNNNNNNNNNNNNNNNNNNNNNNNNNNNNNNNNNNNNNNNNNNNNNNNNNNNNNNNNNNNNNNNNNNNNNNNNNNNNNNNNNNNNNNNNNNNNNNNNNNNNNNNNNNNNNNNNNNNNNNNNNNNNNNNAGGGGGCAUUGUAAAAUAUUUUUUUUCAAAAUUUUCUUGCAUACACAUGUUUUGCACAUGUCGGUGACCAUGUACAAGAAAAUUUGGGUGAUUUGGAGGUGGUGGAAAAAUUCACGUUUUUUUCAAAAAAUGGCUUAAGUUAGACCAAAUGGCCCCUCCGGGAAUGCGGGCAUUUUUUCGACCACCUCCAAAUCACCUCAGUUUUGGCACACAUGAUCUCUUCCACAAACAAAACUAGGUUUCCAAGUUUUUGUAUUUUUUAUAUUUUUUUUGAAUUUAUAAUGCCCUCUAGACUGACUACUGAAAACAUCGGUCUAUGCCUCAAGGGGGCAUUGUAAAAUAUAUUUUUUCAAAAUUUUCUUGCAUACACAUGUUUUGCACAUGUAGGUGACCAUGUACAAGAAAAUUUGGGUGAUUUGGAGGUGGUGGAAAAAUUCACGUUUUUUCAAAAAAUGGCUUAAGUUAGACCAAAUGGUCCCUCCGGGAAUGCGGGCAUUUUUUCGACCACCUCCAAAUCACCUCAGUUUUGGCACACAUGAUCUUUUCCACAAACAAAACUAGGUUUCCAAGUUUUUGUAUUUUUUUGAAUUUAUAAUGCCCUCUAGACUGACUGCUGAAAACAUCGGUCUAUGCCUCAAGGGGACCUGCAUGUGAAUAGUGAUUCAUCAAGGCCUUGACAGCUACUGGCACAGUGGCUGCCGCCUGAUUUGCAUGCAGCGAAGAUGAACGUGCAUGGAGGUUUUUCAAAGAUUUCCAAGCACACCCGAGUGGGCCCCGCUUAUUUAAAAAAUACGUCAGUCAUUAUUGCUCUGUAAUGAAGAAUAUGCAUGAUGAUUAUGAAUAUGCAUGACAACCAUAGUAAGGGUGAAGAAUCAUAGUGCCCAAUUUGUCGAAAUACAUCAUCAUUCUUAAAGUUGGACAUCACAUGAUACACACAGAAAGUGGAAACGAAAGAUGUAGAACUAAUACAGUAACAUGGCAGUACAACCGCACUUCACUAGAUUACUGUCACGAUGAAAUAGAAUGUAAAGACCACGUCACACAAAGCUGAAUGGCACACGACUUUCUCUGGCUCAUCGUCGGUUCAUGCUGUAAGUAGAUAUCACAGUUCAGCCUCGAGAUCCUACACAGAAGAAUAGAAUAAAUCACAUGGACAUCAAUUAUGAGUAAAACACAUGCAAAAAAAAUAUGAACAUAUUUCGUACCUCUAGCAAUUUAGCUCAUUUAGGUCGAUUGUGACCUGGUUUCUUGCAAUAGCCACAGAUAUUCUGUGAUCUUGACUUCUUUGUCUUUGCCUGCGGCCUUUUCUUCAGUGCACCUCGUCCUGGCACAUGCACGGGAUCCAGAACCUUAUCAACUUUCUGCGAGUGCGGCAUCAACGGGCCAAACCUAAUGCUGUUAUGCUGAGCAUUAGUUGACUCCUUGCUGUCAGCUAGUUCAAAACUUCAUGCUUGCCAUGAUGUUGUGCUUGCAAAAGCAUCUUUAGCCGGUGAUAGUCCUCAUCAGAGUGGCAUGCCUGGAAACUUGCGACGUGACUACAAUUCCGCAACUCGCGGUACCUCUGCAGGCUUAGCGAAUAGUCAUACAUCUGGUUUUUUCUGGUAGGUGCGUAUGCACAUUUUGCAUUCAUAGUCCACCUAGUGGGAACGCAACAACCGGGCAGAAUUGUUUGUUUUAAAAUCCCCAAUAUGUAAAAAAUGUGGGAACAUGGUGUGCCUGCGCAUUCCAGCUUACGGAAGAACAACUCACCCUGUGCAAAAGACCUCCUUGCUCUUCAAUGCGCACUCCAAACUUUUUAUCCAUUCUUUCCUGCUUGGACACAACAUAAGUGGAAUCUUCUGAUCCAUCUAGUAUCUCUCUAGUCUGACAUUUGCUGACAGCAUCUAUGCUCCAUAAGACCAUCUUAAAGACCCUAGGUGUGAAAACUGUUACGGCGUGUUUCUAAAGCGGCGAAGCAUUUUCCUCUGUAAAUGGAACGGACUGCAAGGCUUCGACGUCAUGGAUAGCUUCGUUAAUCCGUCGCGACGCAAGGCAACGCUCAUAGUGCUCUAGCAUUUCAAACAACGACAUCUUACCCUCAAGAUGCGUAUGUAGCACAGAGUUCAAGCUCUCACUCCUUUGAUUGCUGCUCAAUCCUAGGAAACAACGCCCCUCAAGAUAUGGAGCACACCAUAACUUUCUCAUCUGAUACAUCUGAUGCAGCCAAGACUCCUCACUGGUUACUUUAUUCCGUUGUAAGAAUUGUAUCCAUUUUAUCUCAUGCUCUUCAAUGGAAGAAGUAUCAUAAAUGAAAGAUCUGAAUUCCUCCUUUACGUCGUCAUCAUGCAGAUGGCGUACAAUGUUCUGCUAAAUGUGCCAUAUACAUAGUCUAUGGUUUGAGUCUGGCCAGACCACCCUUAUUGGUCUCUGCAUUGUAAGGUCCCCAUCUGUGAUCACAGAUAUCGGAUGCUUCUGUGCCAUGCAAUCAGAAAAGGUCCGCAACAUCCACUCGUAUGCCUGGCUUGUUUCAUGAGAAAUUAUACCACAGCCAAAUAUAACAGUGCUACGGUGGUGAUUCAACCCGACAAAAGGCACGAAUGGCAGAUUGUAUUUGUUGGUUCUGUAUGUGCUAUCAAAAACAAUGACGUCUCCGAAAGCCUCGUAGUCAAGUCGCGAUUGACUAUCAGCCCAGAACAGUCCCUUCAGAUGGCCAUGCUCGUCUACCAAGUACUUGAAGAAAAAAUACACAUCUCGCUCUCGCCUCGCCAUCAUGUGCAUGAUCACCGUUUUAGCAUCACCGGCACUGAUUGUCUCCUGCUUAUUAGCAUGGCAGAAAUUGUAAAGGUCCCUCUUUAUGCAUCCAACCUUAUCAAAUCCACCGUAUUGAAAGCACAAAAUAUUCAUAAUACGGUAUUUACGGAUCCCGCAUUUUUUCAUGUCCGCAAUGUCCGCUUUUUGCUCAUCGCUAAUUCGUCUGUGCGAAUGCAGCAGACAAGAAAGAUCCCGUGGGGCUAGAGGAUGGCUGUGCUCAUCGAUGAAAUCCUUAACAAACCACCGACCGGUUUCCUCCUGUCUCGUAAUGACCAAUUUAGCAUUACACCCAACACGAGUUAAACUUCGUGGCCUUCUCUUUCUAUCUUCCAUCUUUCUUUUCAUGUGCUUAUCUUCGCGAAACCCUUGACGACUACACACAAUUUUCCUUAAAAUUAUGUAUUUGUUGGAUCCAUCCCACUCAACGUAGCUUUUCCUCACACUAAAACAUUUUUCAAGAGCAUAUUUCUUGUAGAAUUCAUAGCCUUCAGCCUCACUAUCAAACAUCUUGCUGACAACAUUUACAUACUCGAACAUACUCUCAUCACUUGCAUACGCCAUGUCUUCCUGCAUAUGACAUGUGAGGGAAACCAAUCAUCAACAUCUUUCUGUUUAUCAAUGUUGCAGGUGUAAAAUAGCUCAUAGGCAAAGACAAGUGCAUGGAAAAGACUUUGCUGGUUUGACAUGUGAGGGAAACCAAUCAUCAACGUCCAACUAGUUUCUCAUCUUCCUUUAAACUAUAUUUCAUGCCUAUGCAAACCUAAAGUGAUGAUGACUUUAAUAAACUAAAUUAAGUGAACUAUGGAACCAGUAUCUCAUCUUCCUUUAGUAUAUCUCAUCUCAAACGUCAACAUCUUACUUAAACAAACAUGAUGCGAUUAGCUCAAGAGAAACUAUGCCACGAUGAAGCUUUCCAUUCGUUGUUCUAGUCAGUACCCGGAUCUUGUGGGGUUGAGGUUGUACUGCAUGCACGGUGGAGGGGCGCAACGGCCAAGAGAACGAGCAGAACGCCAAGCCGAAUUCAUACCUUAAGGAUGGUACGCGCGAAGAGAUGGGAUCGCCCGCCGCGGUCGCCGCCGAUUCAGCCGGUGCAGAUCCGGCCUUCUUCUUCUUCGGUAACGGCGUGGGGGGCUGGGGUUGGUUGGGUGGAGGACGAGGACGAUGAAUUUAUUCCUCUCGCCGGGCAGGUCGAGGACGGAGAAGGUCAGGAGCGGGGAGCGGCGACGAAUAGAUCGGAGGAGGAUUCUGAACUGGAUCGAGUAGACAUGGAUCUGGUCCUCAGGUGAUCGGUUCAAGAAAAGAUAUUUCCCCCUGGACCAUUAUGCCCUUAUCGCAAUUAACAUAUUAAAUUUAAUCAAUUAAAAUUCCCCGCAAGAUCUGACGGCUAAUAAAAAUCAGACGUGAUCAGACAUGUAAGUACUGCUAAGUACUCCGAGUACUAACCCAAUCACCGUAAAACAGCUCAAUCAAAUAAGUUACAGGCAGUUUCUAUCAAAUGCUAACACUGGUACCAAGAAUAAGUUCUUGAAAAGUAUUACUACUGUAGUAAAAAUAACCAGAAGUUGUGUCCCUCCCUUAGUUCCUUUGCAUGACUCCGGUAAUUAUCAAAACAGAACCAUUUGAAAACUUACAUGCUCACGAAUGCACGUGUCUGGUCUAGUAUGGCAUGCUCCUCUAUGAUGGUAUCAUUUAUUAUGGAUAAAUGACCACAACUUCUUGCAGCAACCUGGACCCGACAUAUGAGAGGCAUUCAUGACAGGUUUGAACAACGUCCAAUACCGUUGGCAUUGUUGUAAAAAAAUCCAUGGAUUUAAAAAAAAUGUUCACGAUUUUGGGAACCUCAGCUUGCCAGCCGGAUUUCUAAAGUAAAAUCCAUCAAUUCCGAACAAAAUUCAUCAUAUGUGAAAAAAAAUUCAUCAAUUUUGAAAAAAGUUCACGUGUUUUUAAAGCUAAGGUGCUCCAACUCUUAGCUCAUUGAUCCCAACUCUGAAGCUUAGGUGCUCCAAAAUCAAGAAUCACUACAAACAAACACACAUAGAUCAUCAAUUUACUGUGACACAAAGUUUCAGAUAUAAAUUUGAUUCAUAUCUCCGGAAACAAAUAACACAAUUCUUUUAGAUUCUCUACAGGCUCGCAGGUUCGUCAUGUCAUCGUUCACCGGUGUAUCCGUCAUCAAAGGUCAAGAGGGGAGCUUUUGCAAGACGUCCACCGUCGACGCCAGCACGAACAGCGGGUACCACCUGCUUAUGGUCAAUGGCUACUCACGUACCAAAGAACAAGUGCCCAUCGGUGAGAGCAUCAACUCCGGUACUUCCGAGACAGGAGGCCAUGUUUGGUACCUCGAGUACUACCCAACGGCCAACGCUCGGCUUGCGUCGAUUUCAUUUUUCUCUAUGUUUCCCUUUUUCCAGGAAGACGAUGACGCGUUUGGUAACUUUGCACAAAUAAUCUGGUGUGCUAGUUAGAUAUUUCGUUUACUUUUUUUUGAAAAGGAGAUAUUUCGUUUACUAAAAUCUUAAUUAAUACAAGUCCAAUUCAAAAAUUUAUAUAUUAAUUAAAGUUAGAGUUGAAUUAGCAUGCGCAGUUUGGCAGCUUGCCGUAACCCAAGGUGAGUCCGAUUAGGAUUUGUGUGUUAGAGAUGGACUUGGAGUAGAAUAGAGAGCAGAUCAUCUGGCAAAUCAUGGUGGAACUGAUCGUAGUACGGCUUGUUGGCUUCGCAGAGGCCAUCCAUGUAUAGCUGAACUUUUGUCGGCUGAUUGUAACUCUACACUUUUGGAAUAAAACUCCCAUUUCACUCGCAAAAAAAAAGAGAUGGACUUGGAGUAGGACGUGUGUUAGAGAUGGUCUGAGUCCGAUUAGGGCUUUCUAUGUUGCUUGUCGGACGAGCUGUACUACGUAGGGUUAGAGAUAGAUAGAUCGUGUACGAGUAGGACCAGGUUCAAAUUAGUUGGUGUCCGUGUAGGACAUGAUUCGGCCAUGUGUUUAUAUACAAUACUCCAUAGCCACACGUAGAAACAAACGUGAGAUUUUUUGAGAGAUAAAACAAAAUUCAAGAACGACCAGCCGGCGGUGCCAGCUCUCUGUUUCUGACGACGCGCAACGUUGGCGCACAGCGAAGAGAGUAGCGGUGUCUCCGCACGGACAACGAUAGGCUCGUCAUGUCAUCGUUCACCGGCGUAUCCAUCGUUGAAGACCAUGAGGGGUGCUCUUGCAACACGUCGGCGGUCGACCCUGGCACGGACAUUGGCUACCAUCUGUUCAUGGUCAAGGGCUACUCGCGCACCAAAGAGUUGUUGUCCAUAGGCGAGAGCAUCAACACUGGUCCUUUCAUAGUAGGAGGUCAUGACUGGUUAAUCGAGUACUACCCUAACGGCGCAUAUCCGAGCUGCGCCAACUUCAUCUCUCUCUAUGUAUCCCUUUUCCACGACGAUGAAAAACUGGAUGCCAGGGUCAGUUUUAGUCUCGUCGACCAGGUUGAGAGGCAGACACCAAUGUACAUUCAUGCAACUAAUAGAGCUUGCAGGUUCGACAAUGAUGUUUCUUGGGGCACCAACAAGUUUUUGACAAGAGAGGCCCUUGAACGAUCGGCACAUCUAAAGGGUGAUUCUUUCACCAUCCGGUGUGACAUAAUGGUACGCAAGGAUCACAAUACUGAAGAUGCCGGUGGCCACGGCACCAAGGUGCUCCUCUCAGACAUAGACCAGCAUUUUAACAUUCUCCUUCAAACCAAGGUGGGUGCUGAUGUGACAUUUGAGGUUAGUGGUGAGAUGUUCACUGCACAUCGUUGUGUGCUUGCAGCCCGGUCCAAAGUCUUCAUGACACAACUCUUUGGUCCCAUGAAGGAGGACAUUACCACUUCCGGUGUCAUACAUGUCAAAGAUAUGAGAGCAAGCGUGUUCAUGGCAUUGCUUAGAUUCAUCUACACGGACUCAUGCCCUGAGAUAGAGAAGGACUACAUGGAGGAGGAAGAAAUGUCACAAGUUCUUGAAGAAGAACAAGAAGAUGGUACAGUAGAGGAUGAUGAAAACUGGCUACAAUGGCUUCAAGACUUGUUUGUGGCGGCAGACAUGUACGAUGUCGAACAACUCAAGCGCAUAUGUGAAAUGCGAUUGUCUGAUAACUUAAUUUUGAGCUCGGUGAUGUCUACCCUUGCUCUAGCCGAGCAGCACCACUGCCAGGGAUUGAAGGAGGCAUGCUUGAAGUUUAUUCAAGUCCAACCCCCCUGGUGCUUGCAAACAGUAACGAUGAGUGAUGGCUGGGAUCACGUAGUUUCAACCUAUCCCUCGGUUAUAAAGGAGAUUUUUUUCAAGCUUGCUUCGAACCAACGGAAGUGACACUCUUCUAUAUGGUACCGAUGUUCCUUAGUUAUACCUGAAGUGACCCUCUUAUAUACUGAUAAGGGAUCUUCUAGAGAUGUCGUAGUAUGUGUGUUUUGCUUUCAGUUUUCUCGUCAUGUAAAAUUAGCCUAUAUGCCGAAUCAAAAAAAUCGAACACAUGGACAAAUUGUCUCCUCAUGGAAUAUAUGGUAGGCGACAAAUUGAUCCGUAUUGCAGCAAUCUGUAAGAUUCACAGCUAGUCUUUUUAUCCUUGUAUAGUACUCUGUGUGUCGUCUCUUAUUAUUGCUUUGUGCCUUCCGUGUCAUGUAACCCAUUUAGUGAAGAAGAAUGUAUGCUAAAUCAGGAAAAUCCGUUUCUUCAUGGAAUGUAUAGUCUGCAAAUUAAGGUGUCCUCAGUGGUGGCAGCAAAAGUAGGCAAGUUUUGGUGGGAGUUUUUUUUAUUGAAUCCACAAAGGUGCGACUUACAUUCUAGUAGAAAAUAAAAUACAAAUUCAUGAAAUUUUGACUCUUAAUUGGCAUAUAAUAGUUUAAUUACCAUAAGUGUAACACCCACCGUGGCAAACAAACAAGGACGUGAGAAUUUUUUGUGCGAAUAGGCGAAAGCGUCUUACCCUCGGUGAAAACAAGACGAAUAGUUGCAGCUUUUACAACUGGACUAAAAGUAUCCUUAUAGUCGAUGCCAUACCGUUGUUUAAAACCUUUUGCUACAAGUCUUGCUUUGUAACGAUCAAUGGUUCCAUCGAAUUUUUCUCUUAAUCCUAAACACCCACUUGCAGUCAUUGAGGUUUUUAUCUUGCUGUGGAGGAAUCAUGUGCCAUGUGUUGUUUCUUUUUAGGGCCAUGUACUCUUCUUUCAUUGCUUUCUUCCAAUUAUCAUCACUAAGGGCUUCUUCAAGGGAAUAUGGCUCGCCUAGUUCACCUGUGGAACAUACCAACCCAAAUGUUGUCAUAUGUUUGUAAUUUACGGGUGGUAUUACCCCUUGCUAAAGACGGGUGCGGCGUGUCGUAGUUGGCUCCGGCACAGAAGAUCCCGUGGGAGCUACAGCAGCCGAUCCCAAGGUUGAUGCUGGUCACCAGCAGCAGCUGCAGCCGCUUCAGAAACAGAGGCUGGAUCCUCUGUGCACCGGGACGACGUAGCGACGUGAGACGGAGCCACACGCACCGCAGAAGAUCCCGCCUGGUGAGAUUCAUCACACGGCAAUGAUUGAGCCGGUUCCUCGCGCGUGGCAGGCGUGGGGCCCGUGCCAGGCGGCCGUCUCAGAUCCCGCCGCUUGUAGCAGACAAGCUGGACGGGAAAACGACCACCCGUGGGCCCUGGUGAGUGCGGGUCGUCGCCACCAGCUGCGUGCUGCCGCGUGGCGCAGGCGGGGCCGCCUGCUGACGCUCGGUCGGGUGCGGGAGAGGCAGCGUUGGGUGCGGAAUCCGGAGCGGAUCGCCUGGACCGAUCUGCAGGCGGCGAUCCCGGGGCGGAUCCUGCUGGCAGGUCUGCCACGCCUGCGGGCAUCGAUCCCGAGAGGGAUUUGCUCCCCAAAACCUGGCACAUAAAAUAUGGCCCUAUUGGGCAAUUUUCUUCGCUGUUUUCAACUCCGUUUUCUUAAGCGUGGCUCCUUGUAUCAUCACACAACUCAGGCAAAGUGGUGAGAGGGUUAGUCACGAAGCAUAGGCAGCCGAAGACACGAAGGUGGUCAUAUGUGGGUGCAACACCAUAGAGAAGAAAAUGCGGUGUGUGUGGCGCAAUGACACGAGAGGGACGUCGGUUGAGGAGGUAGGUGGCUGUGUGUAGGGCUUUUUAGGGCCAUGUACUCUUCUUUCAUUGCUUUCUUCCAAUUAUCAUCACUAAGGGCUUCUUCAAGGGAAUAUGGCUCGCCUAGUUCACCUGUGGAACAUACCAACCCAAAUGUUGUCAUAUGUUUGUAAUUUACGGGUGGUAUUACCCCUUGCUAAAGACGGGUGCGGCGUGUCGUAGUUGGCUCCGGCACAGAAGAUCCCGUGGGAGCUACAGCAGCCGAUCCCAAGGUUGAUGCUGGUCACCAGCAGCAGCUGCAGCCGCUUCAGAAACAGAGGCUGGAUCCUCUGUGCACCGGGACGACGUAGCGACGUGAGACGGAGCCACACGCACCGCAGAAGAUCCCGCCUGGUGAGAUUCAUCACACGGCAAUGAUUGAGCCGGUUCCUCGCGCGUGGCAGGCGUGGGGCCCGUGCCAGGCGGCCGUCUCAGAUCCCGCCGCUUGUAGCAGACAAGCUGGACGGGAAAACGACCACCCGUGGGCCCUGGUGAGUGCGGGUCGUCGCCACCAGCUGCGUGCUGCCGCGUGGCGCAGGCGGGGCCGCCUGCUGACGCUCGGUCGGGUGCGGGAGAGGCAGCGUUGGGUGCGGAAUCCGGAGUGGAUCGCCUGGACCGAUCUGCAGGCGGCGAUCCCGGGGCGGAUCCUGCUGGCAGGUCUGCCACGCCUGCGGGCAUCGAUCCCGAGAGGGAUUUGCUCCCCAAAACCUGGCACAUAAAAUAUGGCCCUGUUGGGCAAUUUUCUUCGCUGUUUUCAACUCCGUUUUCUUAAGCGUGGCUCCUUGUAUCAUCACACAACUCAGGCAAAGUGGUGAGAGGGUUAGUCACGAAGCAUAGGCAGCCGAAGACACGAAGGUGGUCAUAUGUGGGUGCAACACCAUAGAGAAGAAAAUGCGGUGUGUGUGGCGCAAUGACACGAGAGGGACGUCGGUUGAGGAGGUAGGUGGCUGUGUGUAGGGCUUCAACCCAAAAUGGUGGUGUGAGGUUGGCUUGAAGAAGGAGGGUGCGCAAGACAUCAUUUGUGGUGCGAAUCAUGCGUUCCGCUUUGCCAUUUUGGGGGGAAGUAUGGGGGCAGGAGAAGCGAUAAGCAACGCCGUUGGAGGAGAAGAAGGCGCGAAGAGAUGAGUUGAUAAAUUCACCACCAUUGUCACAAUGUAUGCUUUUGAUGAUUACAUUGAAUUGGGUGUAAAUAAACGUAAAAAAGUGUUGCAGGACCNNNNNNNNNNNNNNNNNNNNNNNNNNNNNNNNNNNNNNNNNNNNNNNNNNNNNNNNNNNNNNNNNNNNNNNNNNNNNNNNNNNNNNNNNNNNNNNNNNNNNNNNNNNNNNNNNNNNNNNNNNNNNNNNNNNNNNNNNNNNNNNNNNNNNNNNNNNNNNNNNNNNNNNNGCACCACAAGAUAGUAUUAGAAACCAGAGAAACUAACAACAAGUGAUGUCCAUAAAUCAUAGUGUAUUAAAUCAAAAGGGGCAUAAGUUUUGCUAAAAGAAGAGGCAAAGGGUAAACGAGGCUGCCGACCAAGUUGGCAAGCACUACAUGGCGUGUGGGGAGCCUUAUUACAAUCUAAUUGUUUAGACAGGGAAGAAAAUAUGUGGACGCCGGGAUGCCAAAGGCGACGAUGCCACAAGUCCGAGGGGGUGGCUGCAAGGAGAGCGGACGCCGGCGCCGGUUUAUUGCCAACGAUGGGGUAGAGAUCGUCGUGGCUAACGGAGAUCGUGAGAACUCGUCGAGUGCGAAGAUCCUUCACAAGAAAACCACACGGGUAAAAUUCAAUAGAGCAAGAAUUAUCUUUAGUGAAUUUACGAACAGAGAUGAGGCUAGUGACUACAUUGGGGGAGACAAGAAUGUUGGUGAGGCGAAAAUUAUGAGGGGAGAGGGUGGUAGAGCCCGUGGCAGUGACAGGAAGAUGAUGCCCAUUACCGAUAACAAUGCUAGAAGGUAAAUGCGAAAAUGAAGAACUCAACGAGGUCAGGUUACCUUGGGUGCCCGUCACGUGCGAGGAAGCGCCACUAUCGAGAAACCACUCGGGAGCCGGGGGCGUGGCGUAGCCGCCGUUGCUGAAGGCGGAGUUGAGCAUGGCGAGGUGGUCCCACGAGGGCUGUGGGGGCUGAUAGUAGGGAGUGGACGGCACCGGCGAGGGUGUCUAUGCAGGAUACGCCUGGGCGUGUGCGCCGGGUCGGGGCCCAAGAACACCGGCGGUGUUCGGCGGAAUCCAGCCAGGGCGGGUCGUCGGGAGAGCCAUCCCGUACGGGGCAAAGUACCCCGUGAAGGGUGAGAACGAAGGCGCCUGCUGACCGCGCCCGGAGUGAUCGCCGCGCCCACGACCACGACCGCGCCCAUGCCCGUGGCCGCGGUCACCACGCCCGCGACUGGAGGAGUGGGGCGGCGGAUGGGGAGCGUCGGAGGCGCGAUCAUAGGAGCGGGCAGCCGCGCGAUCACCCUGGCCGCGACCACCAGAGGAACCGGCCAAGGAACCGCCGCCCGCCAUGGCGAACGCGGAGGCGCCUUCCUCCGCCACGCGUUGUGCCUGCGACUCCUCCGCAAGGACAACACGGGAGAGGACGGUGUCAAAGGGGAGGCCCUGAUCACCAAGGACGACGUGGAUGGUGUCGAGCCGCUUGUCGAGGCCGUGAAGAAACUGCGUGGUGAGAUCCACCUCGGUAACGGCAUGGUCGAUGUCAGUGAGUGCGUCGGUGAGGAGUUUGAGACGGCUGGCGUACUCCGGCACCGAGAGGUCACCCUGCUUGAGGUUGCGGUAUUGGCGGUUGAGGAUCAUGAAGCGGACGUCGCGAUUGGCGAGGAAGAAAUCUUUGAUCUUGUGCCAGAGGGCGUAGGUGGUGGUGGCGCCAACAACGUGGUCAUAAUGGUGUCCGAGAGAGUGGCAUAGAUCCACAGAACGACAUGGGCGUCGAGCUCAAGGUAUUGGGACGGAGCAUUGGGAGGUGGAGGGUGGUCGAGGAGGUAGGAGACACCUUAGCGUACCAGGACCAUCAGGAAGAAAGUCUUCCACUUAUGAUAAUUGUGAUCGGCAGGGUUGAGGAGGAACUUGAUGUGGUUCGUGAUGUGAUCACGAAAAAUGGGGUGGGGAACGGCGGUGGCCGGCGAGGGGGUAAGGGAGGGGCCGUCGGUGGUGAAGAGAGGGGAAAAUUGAGAGGGUGCCGUGGCGGGGAAGGAGCCGCUGAAUAGGGUGGGGGACGUGCCAAAGACGAAGGGAGGGGUGGUCGGGGCGGUGGCCGGGGAGGUGCCGGCGGCAGGCGCCGAGGAGGAGGAGAGGGUGCCCGGCGACGUGGCCGAGCUCGUGGCGGCGGCAGAGGAGGAGGUGGUGUCGUUCGCGGCCAUGGCGAGGGUCCUGGCGACUGAUUCCAAGUUGGAAAGUGAUUUCCUUAAUUGAUUCUGUUUACAUCUCAAAGUAUACAUAGGGAGAGAAAGUCCCGAGAGAUAUGGCACGCAGGCCCUCAGAUCCUACAAUCUAGGAUCGUUACAACGUGCCAGUUAAUGUUACAAAUGGUACAUAAAUAUACAACUUAACACAGCACCCCAUACGUGAUGCAUGGUGUUCCAUGGCCUUGCUGCUGGCAGAUGUCGAGGAUGUUGGUGGCGUCGUACAUAGUGCGCUUGAGCUCGGUCACCCAGCCCUGCACGCUGGUGUCAGCGAUGCGUCUCCUCUCGGCGUCGGCCAGGAACUUCUUGAGAUCCCCAAGCUUGACGCCCAUCUUGUCGAUCUGGCCGGUGACGCCGAGAAGCAUCCCCACCUCGUCCUCCACCACCUGCUUGAGCAUGUCAGCGACAUAGGACGCGAAGGCAUCCAGCACAAUGGCCAUGGUUUCUGUUUCUUGUUCUCAGGCUCAGGCCGAAGGUUGGUUAAUCAACAGUGUGUCUCUGUGUGUGUCUGUUGCCUUGGUUAGUAGGUGGUACUUAGCUUAGGCUCCUUGCUGGCAAGCCUUUGUUCCUUCCUUGAGUGACGGCAAAGCAGUGGCGGCCGUGGCAAGAAAGCAAUUGGUCUCCUUAUUCAUCCAUGCUCGCGGUCGCGGACAGAAUCCUUGCAGUGGACAUGCAUUUCCUUGCUGGCCGCCUGAGCGCUCGGCUUGGGCUAGCUAAUAGGGAAAGGGAAAGUAGUGGCUGAAUCCCACCUCGAUGCACCCACGCAAGAAAACAUAUCAAAGUAUUUUGAAAAAAUUUAAAACUUUGUGGAAACGAUCAUCAACAAAUAUUAGAGAUGCUUGCCAAGUUUGGUGGUCAAAUGACAUCCAAGAAGAACUGUACAAAAAAAAUUAUAAAAAUUUUGGUCAAAAAGUGCACAUACAAUUUGACUAAUUUUGAGUAAUAUUUUUUGUAUAGAGCUCCGCGGAUGUCAUUUGACCACCAAACUUUGCAAGCCUCUCUAACUUUUGUUGAUGAUCACUUUCACAGAGUUUCAAAAAAUUUCAAAAUAUGUUGGUAUGUUUUUUUUUUGCAUGGGUGCGCUGAGGGUGGUUGUAGAAAAACCACUCUCAAUAGGGAAAAGAGGGACGAGAUCGCCGCGGCCGCAGUCUUCCACCGCUCUCGGCUUGCACUUGAUUUCGCUUUUUUAUUUCAGGGGUGUGUAUAUUAAUUCUUUGCCAAGUCAGCUCAUUACAAUUCGGUCUAGCUGUCAACAAGUGAUUGAAUGGGCCAAAUCCUUUGAUCAGUGUUUUCUGCAAAAAGAUUACUAGAAACACGGUGAAUUUUGCAACAAAUCAGCGACUAGGUGGAUUACUGCAAACCUAGCCGCAAUGUGAUAGUUUUGUGCAAUUAACUCUGAAUGAAAUCGUAGAAUCGAAAACAAUAGUUCCUUUUCCCGGGCACGCUGAAUCUUUGCCUACCUGAUCCGAUAGUCAUGCUCUUGAGAGAGAGAAUUUGCAAAUUAGUGCAAGUCAGUGAAAGAUCUAGCUUGCAAUAUCGGAUAUCAAAAAUAAAUCGGAAAUCUAUAUUUUGUAUGCAAUACUUGAAGGGCUAGUUGAAAGGGUUCCAUAGCAGGUAAAUACCACACGACGUAUUCCUCGUCCCUCAUCAAGUUUUCAACUCGUUUCCAUUUAUCCAGCGAAUGCAUUUCAUACACCUUCAAUCAUUUCCAGCAUUGCAAAUGAUUCAUGGGGACUUCCUGCGCAACAACCCGGGAUAGUAAAACACCAUCACACUGGCUUCCUUCCUGCGGCCUCGCUUGCUAUUACAGCUCUCAGACGCUUUCCUCGGCGACCAGGUACCACACCCCUAGUACGUAGUCUCCCUGCUGUCAUGCGCUUUCAGAAGAUAUACCUGCGUUGUUCAGAGGAUUCAUUACAUGCGUGGCCACACUGACGGAUUCCACGCGAGCUGCGGGUUAACGUAACUACUUUGCGCAUAAUGGGUGCAUCGCCGAUUUAUGCACGAUGCAAAAUCGGACGAUGUCCUGAAGUUUGCUUCCUCACAGCAACGGUUUGAUUAACAACAUCGUGCAGAUGACGUCAUGUCUAUAGCAACAUUCCUGGGUUAACAAAUGCAGACCACUGCGUUUCUUUUGCUUCCAGAAAGUAAGCGAUCAAAUGCAUAACUUACAAGGAAUACAAAGAGUUCCAAGUAAUGACUGCCUCCGUCCCUGCUAAUUUCUUACAUGACUUGUAAAUCAGAAUUCGAAUAUGUAACCAAAAACAAGAACUUCAGAAGUAUUGGUCUUAGAAAACUACCACAUUUAACGUUUCUCUAAAAGCUACAACUUUUGUUCUAAAAUUUUGCUAAAACUAUUCACUCGGAAGCAUAUUAAUUGUCGCUCAUCCUCUAUAACACUAAACUCCUUAGUUUUGAAGGCCUCACAAUCAAUUGAGGUCUUCAAUUUGAAAUUGGAUCAUUCAAUUUUGAUCGGGUCAACAAUUUCACAAGGAGCUCGCUCAUUCUCAAUUUUUUAAUACACUAUGCUCCCUAAUUUUAGAGCUCUCCCAUUCCAUUGAGGUGUACAAUUUUAAGCCUUGAUUUUGACUCUGUCAAUCCUUGGUUGUUGCAAUAAAAUCUUUAACUUCAUUAAGCUCUCUAAUUUUGAAGCCCUCUCAUUCAACUUAGGUCUUCAAUUUGGAUUGGAUACACGAUUGAUUGGGUCGUUGAUCUGGGCUUCAUGGUGGGAUCUCUUGGUUAAUGGGUCCCUUGUUUAGUGCCCGGAUUGAUGUGGGCCUUCCUUAACAGAAGGAAGUGCCACCUACGAUACAUGUGGCCAACGAUGUAAGUAACUUUCUCAUGUAUUUGUAUUAAUUAAAAGACGCCCUUCAAUCGCACGGCCAAAAAGAUCCACCCAAACACCAUAAUAAAAUAAGAAAAAUGAUACACUCAUGGACAAUUCACUAUGGAUUGGUCGUACUAAUUAAAUACUCUCCCACCAAUCACUUCCUUGAUUUGACCGUAAGGCCACGCUUCCCCUAAUCUCCAACCAUAAAUUGACACAUCCAUCUGUAACCAUGAUUCCACAAAGUUUGUCGGUACGUGUAACAUCUCUGAUAAAAAGAACACACACUUCAUUGUUUCCCCCACACGCCAAACCAACUAGCACGUAAAUAAUGUUCACAACUUAGAAAAAAUUACCACGUAAAAAUAAAACAUGUCCAACCCCAAGAACAUAAGCGGUGCAGCAAAGCGCACUGCCCUUCUAGUUUAGUACUAAAUCUGAGACAAUUAAUAUGGAUUGCAGGGAGUACAACUUUUAGGUAGUUGCCCUUUUAGGAUUUUUAUAACAUGGAUUGUGACCAAGGUUAUGGAUUCCGAAUGGACGAAUUUUCUCAUGGCUGGGCGAGAUUCUCGGUUACCAUGGUUACCGAGAAAUACCGAACAUAUUUCGGACGAAAUUUAUAACUAAAUUUUGAAUUCAAAUUCUUUUGAAGUAGAUAUAGAAUUGUGUACGUGCUAAGCGUACGUAUUCUAAAAAAUAAACCAAAAAAUGUGCAAAAGAGGGGACUCAAUCUGCCGUCCUCUCGAGGAGAGAAGUAGACGGCUACCACCACGCAACAGCUACGUUUAGUGAUACUCUUGAGAUGCUAUAGUAUUGUAGUAUACUUUGGACGUAAAAAAAUCAAUUUUUGUUUCGUAUAUGUUUCAUUCUUUUCUUAUAGCAAAACCUAUUACUCUUCCUUUUUCAUACUAUCUUGGCAGUUCUUUGCUUUUUUUCAUACUAUCUUGGCAAUUUUAAGAAUUUUAUAGUUCAGAGGAUGGCACUUUUAUUUUUGAGAGGAUGGCAUCUUUAUUUUUAAUGGCAUGGCAGUUUUAUUAGUAAGAACAUGCCAUUUUUAUUUAUAAUAGGAUGAAAAUUUUAUUAUUGAGAGGAUGCCAUUUUUAUUUUUAGUGGCAUGAUAGUUUUAUUAUUUUAGAGGAUGGCAUUUUUAUUUUUUUGUACUGCCACUUUUUUUUUGUACACAAGAUUUUUGGGUGAUAACUUUAAAUGUGCCAACUUUGUGGGUGUAAAUAAAUCGGCUCAUUUAAAAAUUAAAAUUCUUACAAUUGUUUUUUUUUCAAAAUCAGAUUUUUGGGCCAGCACCUUUUUUUCCUACGUGUUGCACAAUUGGGCCAGCUGGACCUCGUUCGAUACAUCACCCAGCCCCAGUGAAUGGAAAUGUUUGCUGGUCCGGAAUUACUCGUCGUAGAAAUGGAUAUACCUAGACAUAUUUUUAGUUCUAGAUAAUCCAUUUCUAAGCAUUCAUUUUCCAUGAGUUGCACGAGAAGUGUAAAAGAAAACUGGGCCUUAGUCUGAAGCCCAGCCCAGCAGGGCAGUUGAUGAGCAACACUGGAGCCCAUCGAUCUACUCCUCAUCCCAUCUCGUCUCUGAUAUUUUUUUUUAUAAAAAAAACUCAUUUCUCUGCAGCGGUGGAGGUGUCCAGCACGGCAGCGAAGCAGCCGCGGCGGCGAGGGCUCUCAGGAAGCUAGGCGCGGCAGCCGGCGAGGGCCAGCCUCUAGCAGCAAAGCGGCGACAAAGCGCACCGACACUCCGAUCCUCUCUGUUCUCCCAGGCAAGGCAUAUGUAAUUUCUUUCCCCCGAUUUCACCUCACUGUCUGUCCCUGUAGAUCGAGAGGCACUAAGAGGUUAUAGCAUCUGAACCUCUGAAAUCCUCAAUGUAUAUGCAACUAGUAGUAGUAUACAACAAGUCAAUAAAUAUAUAGAAUGUAUGUGUACUUUUGGUGCUUAUAACAAUCUCUAUUGUCACUUGUACCCAGGCCGGCGAGUGUCACUUGCUGCAGGAACAAGUUUUAUCAGACUUAAUUGGAACAAGAGGGGUGCUCCGCCAAAAGCAAAGGAAAGCAUGUACAGCUGCACAUCCUGGCUGCAUUAAUUUGAAUAUUUCCUACGUACAAUGUUUGCUAGUUGUGUCUUAACAUGAAAUGGACUAACUACAUACAUCAUGUAAUGGACUAACUACUAAUCAUAAAAAUCAGAUUCAAUGAAAUUUUGUUGAAAUUUUUAACCCUGAUAUCGUCUGCCAAAAUUAAGAUAGGGUUGCAGGAUAGUUUUGACACCUUCUUCGCAUUCCAGUCUCUCCCAGCAUCGAGCAUCAUCAAACCGUACCUCCUUCAGCUUUGGAGGCAAACUGUCCGACCAGAAAGGAAGCCUCUUCAAUGCCAGACUACCUUCAAGCUCAAGUCGCUCUAGGGAUGGGAAUUUCAUACCGUUGUCCCCAAUAGUUUCCAACGAUUUGGUAUAAAUAAGAACGAGAAGCUUGAGGCGAGGAAAUGUUUUUGUCUUGUCCUGUCCAUUGCACAAUUUGUCACCGUGGCACCUCAUAAAUGCUUGCACCAUACCAUCACAGGAAAUUAUAUGAAGUUGUUCAAGGCGAGGCAAAUACAUAACCCAAGAGAGGUGCAAUAGCUGUUGGCACAAAAACAAUUCCAAAUAAGUGAGCCUUUGGAAUAUAAAUGCCGGAGUUGCUCCCAUCCACUUUAUCUCUCUCAAGGAUCUCAUAAAAGUUAAGCUGAGUUUGUUGAGAGCACCAAAAUGGUUGUUUGGUUGUUCCGUGUCAUGUUGUACUACUGUUAUUUCUCGAGUGUCAAAUUCUUCAUUAAUAUCCAAUUCAUUGAUAUCCACUUCAUACAAGGUCCUUCGUGCAAAGUCCAUUGAUAAAAUACGAGUGAGUGCACAUACGUCAUUCAGAGCCAAAUAUCUAACAGGGAGGCUAUCCGCUUCUCCUAGUGACUCAAACUGAGCUAAAUCUCGGACCAAAAUACCAAGCGCUUUCAACUGAGAUAGGGUGCCCAACUCUCGGUAUAGGAAUUGGGUACAUUUUCUUAAGAAACUUCUCAAGUCUAUUACCUGCAAUGCUUUAAGGCUAGACAUGACCCCAGCUGGUAUUCUCACGGAACCAAUACCAGACUUUAGGUACAAGAACUUGAGGUUGAUGAGGUUUCCAAAGGAGGGAGGCACUUCAGUUUCCCCAAAUUGAUUUUCCGACAAAUCAAGGUAUUCCAGCUUUACCAAGGAACAUAAUUCUUCCGGUAUCCCCUUGAGGUUGUUUCCGCUCAAAUCCAGAUAUGUCAGUGAACUGGAAUUCUUAAUUUCUUCAACAAUUAAGCUUUCAUCAAAUUCGUUGUUCCGAAGGCACAAGAUCCUCAAUUUUAAUGGAUCAAGAUUAAACCUGAUAGGAAUUCUGUUGAACAUCAAGGAGAUGCACUCAGCUUUGCUCGAAAGGAUAAUAACUUUUUUGUCUCUGUCACCUGGUGCCGCCACAAUCCAUUUGUCAUUAUUCUCACCACAGUCACAAGAAAUCCAUAAAGCCAUAUCACGAAUCACAUCAUGCACUUUAACAUAACCAUGUGAAUUUUCGAAGGAAGAUCCUGGGCGAACAUCGCUGCCAUCUAGCAAACAUGCAGCUAUAAGGUCAGCUAUCAAACUAUAUGAUUUUCUGAAGGAAGAUUAUAUGUCAUGCUCAUUGACUAGACCUAAGCCCAUCCAGCAUUGAGCAAGGUUAACUUUGCGAAUGUUCUCAUCCUCUGGCCACAGUGCACAAGUCAAAAAACAAUCUCUUAAGGUCUUGUUUCUCAAAUUGUCAUAACUAAACUUCAGCCGCCUGAAAACAUUAGUUUCCAUUCCCAGUUCUAUUGGGUCUUUGUCAUCAGCGCAGCAUGACUGCCGCAUAUAUUGGAUGGCAGUUUCCCAUUGAUACUCAUCUUUCCGAUACAUUGCAUUUCCAAUAGUUAUCAAAGCUAAUGGCAAGCCUUUCAGUCCCUUCAUAAGUUCUCUAGCAAGAGCUUCAAUAUGGGGACUAGAAAGAGUUUCGGCACCAAUAUUUUCUUCAAAUAGCUGCCAUGCCUCAUGCUCCUGCAGAUAUGUGACUUUUAACUCUUUCUUCACCUUCAUUUGGCCACAAACUUUUCUUAAUCUUGUUGUUAGCACCACUUUUCUAUUGAGUUUGUUUACUUUUCCAAGGGGGUAUGGUAUCCCAACUUCUUCUAGAUCAAUUUCGUUCCAGAGGUCAUCCAAUAGUACAAGAAAGCUUUUCGUUUUCAUGUACUCAUGUAUAGUAAGACCAUUAGGACCAAUACUUUUCAGCCUGAGCCUUUCUAUGAUUUGUGACUGGACCUUUUCCACUUGGCACCCUCUGGAGGCAGUUACAAAGACAACAAAAUCAAAGUCCAUGCCCUCUCCAAAUGAGUUAUUGAUGUUUUUGAGAAGAUGUGUUUUCCCGACUCCACCUGGACCCCAAAUUCCAAUCAUUCCCACUUUGGGAUCAUCCUUAAUGUACUGGAGAGCAUCUUGAAGGUUACGGUUCUUAGCUGACAUAGAUGGACCAGGCAUCUCUUGGACAUGAGGUGGCAUUGACUCAACUGCAACAGUACUAGGACAAAUACUAAGACAUUCUCGAACCUCACGAAGCUUCUCAGAUGCCUCCAUGGCAACAUCCUUCUUCAACUUAUAGUCCACAGAGAUUACACGCACAACAUCAAUGAUUUUGGCCACUUUUUCCAGCCAUCUGUCGGCCUCAUUUGUUGAUUUCUUGCCUUCCCGCUCAGCAUUCUUAAUCUUCUGACAUACAUCCUUUUUUUCGCGAUCAAGUCUUCGGUGGAAUCCUCGAGACUUCCCAUAAUUCUUUCCGCCUUCAGGUUUAAAAAUAAUAUGCAUAUAUUAGCACUCAGUAAUGGCAUUAAUACUAUUUAGAAAUUUUAGUAUCGAAGCAAGCACUUACCAUACAUAAUGGGUUAUCCUUUCGAAGGUUUGAUCUCUUUACUGCAUCAAUGACAUCUUCCCACUGCCUUUCAUUUCUGCUUCUUCGCAUCAUCUUCCCGAAAUGUAUCAGCUCUGAUGGUCGGCCAAUUAGUUCUCUCACGAGAUCCUUAGCAAGUACCCCGACGAGGGGAUCAGUAUAAAGAUUCUCCUCACCAAAACUUUGUUCAAAUAGCUGGUGUGCCUCCUCCUCCUCCAAACCAAGCACUUGUAUAUAUUUAUCCACACUCAUCAUAUCACAUAUGGAUUGUGAUCGUGAAACGAUUAGCACCUUCCUCUUCUUUUGGUCCACAACUCUAAGAGGGUGUGGAAUGCCAACUGCUGAAAGGUCUAUCUCCUCACAAAGGUCAUCCACCAACACCAGAAAACUUCUUUUCUUGAGAAGUUCAUAUAUUUGAGCUGUCACAUUAACAUUCUGGUUUAUACCGAACCUGUUUAUGAUUUGAGAUUGAACUUUUUGCACUGUGCAUUCACUCAAGCCCUUAAUAAGGAUAACAAUAUCAAAGGGGCAAUAUUCAAGAAAUGAAUUGUUUAUCUUUGUGAGAAGAUGUGUUUUCCCUACUCCACGUGGACCCCAUAUUCCAAUCAUUCCCACCGUGAGGUCAUCCUUAAUGCACAUGAGAGCAUUCUUGAGAGUACGCUCUCUGCUUGGCGGAAGUUGAGCAGAGUGGGUGGACAAAUCUACGACAGGAGGUGGAGGUGGUACGCGUGUGACAUUAUCUGGUACCGGUACGCUACUGUUAUAUUGUCGCACAACAUCCACCUUCUCAGCCGCUUUCUUGCUGGUUUUAUAGUUUCCCCAGCAAUUCAGGGAGCACCCAAAGCUUCUGCACCUCUAAUCAAAAGACUCGCGGUUUGCCGCUUCUUCAGAUAUGGCUUGCUCCGCCCUUUGCACCCACUCCUCUGCUUCAUCUGUCGGUAUCAGGCCAUUCAUUUCGCCAUCUUCAAUCCUCUAUUUGACGCGAAGCAAGUUGCCACUCAAAGUCUCAGUUUCAGUCCUGUGAUUUGUCACGUUUGUGCGAGCGGUGAAGCAAUACGUGGCAUUUUUGGAGAAGAGCGUAUAGAAUGGACUUAUGACCGUGUUGACAGUAUUUCCGAGCAAGGGACCAAGCGCCGGUGCCUCAAUUGGCAUUUUUGGCACUUGUCCGAAGAAUCAGUACUGCAAGGCAGACAAUUGUUGUGUCUCAAUGAUGUAUAUGGCAAGUAAAAACACCAAUCAAUUAAGUUUAUGAAAAGCAUAGACUGCAUCUGCAUGCAAUGGCAGAUGAAGCGCAAGCUUUGAGAUGUUGAAUACUCAUAAAUCUUGUGUGAUUAUGUUUGAACUUGUGCAAGUUUACACUGUUAUACUACUUGUAACCCAAUAUGUCUUGCAUGAUUGUACAGGCUAACAGAUCCCUAUGAAGGACUUUUCUAUAUGGAAGGUGUAUUAUAUACUCCCUCCGUCUAGAAUUACUUCUCGGAGAAAUGGAUACAUCCAUUUUCCGGCAAGCAAUUCCGGACGGAGGGAGUAUAUGACUGCAUUAGAAAGGAGUUGCGGAAAUAUGUUCGAUUGUGGAGAUAACACUUGUUGUAAUAACAAAUAAACUCGCAACAAAGUGCUUACUGUGUCUCUUAUAAUAAUUGCAGGUAAACAAAACAAUCUUGGUAUAUAUGUUCCUCCAGGAGAACUAAUCUUGGUAUGUAUGUUCCUCGAGGAGACCUAACCGCACAAAUGAAAACAUGGCCACGAGAAGAACUUGUUUGAGUUUUGUUUCUGCAUUCAAAUAGGACACCGAUGUUAGACGAUGAUGGGAAAUCUUGUGUGAUUCUCUUUGAACUUGUGCGAGUUUAUAGUGUUAUACUAUUUGCAAGAACACUGGAUGGGACCAAAUCUAUCUUCUGUAAUUGUACAUGCUAACAGAUCCCUGUGAAGAACUUUUCUAGCAACUGAUUGUAGUAUUCGGGCCAUUCUGUUUAAAGAACUUCUCUAGGAACUCACAAACAUAUAUUUUUUACUUUUUGCGGAAGAACUGACAAACAUAUCAAAAUCUUCUUCUAACAGGAGUUAAUAUAACCAGUGGAGCCUAAAAACUUGAAAUAACUGUUCAUAUCAACAAAAUAAUUAAGGAGUUAACAAGGGAGCAUUACUGAAUUACUUGGUAACAAUAUUUUUUUUCAAUAGUAGCCAGGUGUGUCCUUAGUUUGGUGUUGGUGUGCCCCUCUGAAUAAUUGCUUUUUCAACAGUAAUGGACAAGUUUUUAUCAGUUUUCUGGCAGAAGCAUAUUGAGUAUCUAGAGACUAAAAAAUUCAUCAAGAGGAGAAUUAUCUGCUAGCGUAAGACAAAGUAGAAUAUAUAUCACGGGUGCGGCUAAUCUGCACCCGGGCUCAUCUGCACCCACGCUUAGUAAAAAAUUCAAAAAAAAUACUAGAAAAAUUCAAAAAAUUCCAAACUUUUUUGUGGUGGUAGAUAAUUUGACGCGUGAGGUGCGCCCCAAAAAUCAGCUCAUUUGAGCAUCUGAGCAGCUCUCGACAAAAAAGACAAAAUCAGGGUCUGUAAAAAUGUAUACUGUUCACGCACUGUUUUGACCCGAUUUGUCUUUUUUGCCGAGAGCUGCUCAGAUGUCCAAAUGAGUUGAAUUUUGGGGCGCACCUCACGCGUCAAAUUAUCUACCACCACAAAAAAGUUUGGAAUUUUUUGAAUUUUUCUAGUAUUUUUUUUGAAUUUUUUUCUGAGAGGGAGCAGAUGAGCCCGGGCACCGUUUUGAGUUUUCCAUAUAUCACGCUCUAUAUGGAUGACGUACUAUAACUUCAGCUAUAGCGGAUUGGAGUUCUGAAAAUAUGCCCGCUUGUUAAGAAGUUUGAACAGAUAAAAGAUAAAGCUAUAACAGAUAAAGUUGCAAGAAAGUGCUUACUGUGUCUCUUCUUUUAUCAGGGAAGAGCCCUUCUCCGGAACUUGUUUCAGAAGAAGUAUAAGGUUUUGUCACAAGGGAAACAAAACUAACUCCACGGGAAUUGAUCACAGAAAGAGAAGAGGACACAAAUGAAAACAGGACCAUGAGAAAUUCUUUUUUGAGUUUCGUUUCUGUAUUCAAAUAGAACAAGGAAGACAAGGGUAAUUCACGUUCAAUCAGAAAUGAAGUUCUGAAAGCAAAGAGUACCGAAAAUCAGCAGAGCAGAGCACCUCAACUCAGUUUUUGUGGGAUGCAGAAGAAGCAGAAGAGGAGGGAAAUGAUUGUGGGAGCUGUGGAAGGGAUCCCUUGGAAGUGAGAGAAAGAAUAGUCAACAACCAAGGUGCAGGAAACAAAGAUAGACUAGGUCAAAAUUAAGAUGCUCAAUUAUUGGCCAUUAGUUUAUAUCAGCUGGGUCUAAAAUACAUGGUGGAAGGUAAUAGCCGAAUCUUUCAAGCUUAAGAAGUGCACGUUGGCACCAGUUGGUAGGCUGACACCUAUGCAAAGUCGCAUGCCAAGUAUCCAUUAUUUAUGUUGGAAUUCAAUGAACCUAACAACGAUUCAUCGAUCCUUGAGAUGUGCAGGCUUGCAUAUGCGCAAGUUGUCUGUAUCAAAAUUACAUACCCAGCCCAUUGUAGAAAAAAUAAAUUAACUAGUGCGCUGAACAAAAUAGGAAAAGGUCAGUUGCUUCCAAGGUAGUUUUGCUACUAAUCUAACCAAAGUACAUCGUCCUACAAUUGCCUUGCCUAUGCAUAUAAGUACUAUGAGUAGUUUUAACAUGCUCCACCUUACCCCCUCUUUUCACCGUGAGAGGUAAGAGUACAAACUAGAUCUGAGCGUUGAUCUCAUUAUUUAGUGGCCUGAUGCCAAGUAUUAUGUAGUAUGGUUAUAUUUCUGCUCUGCCAGCUACUCCAAAAAGCGACUGUUGAAAAGCUAAUUAAAUUGGUUGGUGAUUGCUUAGGAGAUUAUGCAUGCAGGAAAAGAUGAAGGGGCCCUUUUUCUCAGUCAAGCAAGUAUAUUCUCUAGCCGACUUGUGCCUAGUGCGUGGAGAAGCUGUGUGUGCGGGGAGGAUGACAACGAAGGGAUGACGACCAACGAUUAUGACAUCUAAUCAUAUGGUGCAGAAAGUGGCUAAUCCAUGCCUCGCGUCGGUCGACCCAAAGUGCUACCCAAUCUGAAAACUACCUGCAAGCAGGCCCAGUAACCUGCAAAACCCAAAAGUGCAGUUUUAUAGCAUUCUGAUGAAAAUAGACAGAACAAAAAAUAAAUAAAUAACUAACCUGAUGUUGGAUCUUGAGGUGUAUCUCUCCUUGUGUGUGAUUUGAGUAAACUUGUGCGGUGAACCUUGUUCUUGUGUGAUUUCUCUUGUGUUCCUUUUGUUAUUUGGGACCCUCCUCAACAAUUUUAUUACCACAGAGAACCACUAUUUUAGCUCCGAUUAAACAACACAAAAAUGUUGUACCCAUACCUUCAUUCGUAGUGGGCUAAUACAAAACAUGGAAUAAUAAUUAACGAAAACCAGGAAUUAAGAAAUGGCAAGGCUGACAAUAAAAAGGCACAUAAAAACAACCUUUGGAUGACAAAGAAGACCGACGGUGCAGAAAACUAUUAGAUCCCUCGGUAGGGUACCUAGCGUAGCUGGAAGUCAUAGAUCGGAGGUCACACAGAGAAUUUACCCAGGUUCGGACCUCCAUAGUGAUACCCUAUAUCUUGCUUGUGUUUGUCAUAGAUGGUGGGCAUACCUCGAGCAAGGGAUUACAGAGAGAUGUAUCAGUCUAUCAAGAGUUGUUUCUAUGGUAGUAAAUGGGAUUGAGAGCCCCAUAGUCUCUGUUCGGAAAUAUAGUAAACAAAAAUCGCCCUACAAUUAUCCAGAAAAAAUAUGAAGAUACAUUAACGGUUUGGAUUUGAUCGUGCCCACCUUUGAGUUGCAGCGAAAGAAGAUGAGUCAUUGUAGAUCUUACUUGGAGUCCCUCGAACCAUAGAUGAAUGAUUCCGCGAACUGCUCAUCAAUAUUCCCUCGAACGAAAUACCGAAAGCACGACCUCUCUAUGAGUUACAAGCGUACGGUCUUUACGAUUCGGCGGCGCUUAGCCGUCCAGAGCUAAUCGUUGCCGAAGAAUUAGAGGGAGGAGAUUAGAACCAUACUCGACUUCUAAUUAUGAGGAUUAGAGGAUCCAGGUCAAGCUGUAAUUAAUCAACUAGGAUCAAUUAGAACUACAACUAGAGAACUAGAGGAGGCUCCAAAACUUAUGUAUCAAAAGUGCCAAAAGCCUCUACUAUAUACAGAUUGGAGGAGGGGGCACCACAAGGGGAGGGAAACUCGGAAAUCACUAAUUGAGGAAUGCUCCUUCCAAAGAUCACUUUUCACUUCCCUAGUUGCGACAAGUGGUGCGCUGCAUGCGCGCCACUUGUCACAACCCGGGAGUUUUCCCUUUUCUAAUAGAUCCGUUUAUUCAAAAUGUUUUCUCUUAAACCAUGCGUCCAAAUUUGAAGCCCUUUUGACCAUUGGAUUCCUCACAUCGAGAUCUUCAAAACUAGAUAUCAUGUUGAUAGUUUUUGAUGAAAUUUUUAUUUAAUGAAAAAAAUUAUGCCUCUUGCAGAAGGAACAAAUAAAAUAGAAAACAUGUUAUUUUUCGUUUCCGAUAGGCAUGGCCGUGCCUCGCACGGAAGCAAAACCGUGCCUCUCGCAGAAGAAAAAAAAACGUGCUUUCCCAUUUUCGAGAUGCACAAGCGUGCCUCUCGCGGAAGCAAAACCGUGCCUCUCACGGAAGGGGAAAAAAGAAAGAACUUUUUUUUUCAUUUCCGAGAGGCACGGCCGUGCCUCUCGCGAAAGCAAACCGUGCCUCUCAUAGAAGGAAAAGAACGUGUUUUUCCCCAUUUUCGAGAAGCACAGACGUGCCUCUCACGGAAGCAAAACCGUGCCUCUCACGGAAGGGAAAAAAAGAAAGCACUUUUUUUUCAUUUCCGAGAGGCAUGGCCGUGCCUCUCGUGAAAGCAAAUCCGUGCUUCUCGCGGAAGCAAAACCGUGCCUCUCGUGAAAGGAAAAAAACACGAUUUUCACGCAAAAAAAAAAUCAAAAACCGAGAUCCGUCAUGUAGUCCCGGUUGCGAGUCGGGAAACAUAGUUGCCGGUGAAAACCGAGUCGACGGCAGGCGAUGGUGGCAUUCUGCGCCGUUAGCUUCAUGAAGACAUCGUCGUGUAACUACUGUCGACCCACUCGUGCUGCUUCGGGGGAAACCCUAGGCUCUUGUCUUCCAGAUCGGACGAUGGUGGCACUGCGGUAUCGUUUCUCUCUUGGGAGCAUCUUCUUCUUGCACGGAGGUGGAGCAGCGCUGGAAGCCAGUGACAGGAGGUGGAACGGCUUCGUCUUGCACGGAGCUUCGGUGGAGAUGUCAAGUAAUGCAUGAUCGACAGGUGCUAUGCUAUGUCAUGCAUGUUCGGCAGGUGCUACGCAUGACAGAUCUUCCAUAUUCUUCGCAUCUGGAUGAACGAACGCAGGGCAGUGGCGCCGUUGUGCUCCAUGGUGGCGUCGACGGUUGGCCGGAUUGGCAAGGAUGAUGCGGAUCUCUCUCUCCUGUAGAUGGGUCAGCGGUUCGAUGAUGAUGACGGCUUCUAAAAUGUGUGCAUGUGGUGUACUCUUUAGAUCUGCUGCACGGGUUGUUGGUUUCAAUACGUUAUGUGGAUGAAUCGGCGACAACACCGGUUUCAGAUAUGGGAAGUGAGAGCACUUCAUAUUGUCAAGUUUAUAGGUGUGAGUGAUGGCUUGAUAUAUAUUCUUGUCAGACAUUUGUUGAAUAAUUAAUAAAGAUGAUCAUAUUUAUCGAUUGAUGCAGAGGCUGGGGUUUUAACCUCCGUUUCAAAAAAAAAACGCAUCCUAGAUGCAGAGGGUAAAUGCAUGCAUGCCAAAGAGAGGCUCUUGGUCGUCGCGCUGAUGGGGCGAGGCAAGUUGGACAUGUGGUGCUGCGGGUCACCGAUGACAGUGAGACCGAGGAUGCUGAAGCGUGGUGUUGAUCCGUGGGGAACGAAACGGUCCCGUCUCCACGUAUGAUCGCUCUACGAACGUUCCCAUUUCGACUCGUCGCCAUGUGCAGCAUCAAUAAUUCAAUAUUCAACUUCACUGCUUGGCUGCUGCUGCUGGGAGGUUUCGUCGUCCAACCACAAGGCAACCGGACGGGUGGUUGAGUUGAUUCAUUCCAGUUAACACGGGUAAUUGCCCCCAUCUCCUCAUUCAUAUAUGAAGCCACCCUGAUAGUUAGGUACGUAGGUCGUUGCAAUCAUUUUGAGGGCUUUGCUCCAUCAUCUCCUCUUGCCUGCCUUUUCUCCUGUACUUGGACCUUCGUUUUCCCUCUGAAGCACUGCUCGUUUGGGGUGCUCCAUUGCCAAAGCAAGAGCAGCAGCAGCAGCUGGCGUUACACUUCAUCCAGGUGAGUGCUCCAGCUCCAUCUUAAUUUGCUCAGUGCUUAAUUUAGGAACCAGUCGGACUUUUAGUUUGUUGUCUGUACAUGUUCUUUUGAACGAUUUCUUCCCCAAUGGCAUCGGUACUCUCACCGGCGACAUGUUCUUUGUCAUGCGGUGCCACCACUUGAUGUUGGUGCAUCAACAGCUUGCUAAUCCCCCCCAUGCUCUCCCCUGAUGAUGAUAAUCCAGCCUCUGCAGUUAGGCUGCCAAAGUGCCCAUGCCCAUGUGGUACUGCACAACAUCUCCAUCCGCACACCUUCGAUCACAGCCCGUAUCUUGUCUUCAGGCAGAUGGAAUAUUUUAAAUAGUGAGCUAUGCCAUUUAGCGGUGGCUCAACUAGAAGCUAUGAAAAGCUAUAGUGGAGCUAUAGCAAAGCUAAGUUCCAUUUAGUGUUUUCCUUAAAAUCAUGAAAUUUUGAAAAAGAAUAAGCACACAAUCAGUCAUCAUAUAUGAUAUAUUCUAUAUACUUGACAUAUACAAAUGUUGGGCUAUUCGCACAUCAAAACCCGAGCACCAAUCGGGUGUCAUAAUUCAAUAACCAAAGCUUUGCAUUGUAUAUAUCAUAAACAAGAAGAAAAAAUAACGCAGAAUGAUGGUUUUUUGUAUAGCGGCUUAGCGGGCUAAAUGACUCUAAAUUUAGCACUAUGACAAGAAAUAGUAGGCUAUUAGCGUCAUUUCAAAUUUAGCUAUAGAGCUCUCAAAAGCUAUGGAUAUAGCUAUUUAAAACAUUGGGCAGAUCUGACAACAAUUUUGCAAUAGUCCUAGCGUCACGGAUCAUGCCUCCCUGUUGCUGUUGGGCACUAUCUGGAGGUGGAGAUACUCUAUUUUACAAUAUUCCACCAUUUGGCAGCUUAAUUCAUCCUAUUAACGUUACCGAUGAGCAGGCUGGUCAACACGCCGCUUUGAACCACCAACUUCACAUGUAUACAGCUCAGCAACGCAACUUGCCCGAAUUGACUAUUCCCCGUCUUAAUAAUGACAAUGUAGUUUAAUGCUCCUUGACGGAGUAGCCGGUAUCCAUCACAUGCUCUUCAACGUGGCAAUCAGUGUUUCUUACCCUUUCUCCUACUUGUAUGUGUGAAACAGCAAAAGUGAUUUGUGAAUGAACUGUCUAAUUCCAUUGAUUGAAGAUUAGGGUAUGUAUACCCCAUGUACUGACGUUUGAUAAACUAGAGAACCAAUCAAAGCAUGGAUUAACCGGAUUUAAUUAAUUCUUAACUGGAUGUUCUCCUUUUGAAAGCAAUGCUUAGACUAGUCACAAUGGGUAGUAACUUAGACUAGUAACAUUUACUAGUCUAUGUUCUUACCUCUAUAGUGGGGAGUAACAUACGUAUGAUGUUAUGCAACACUUCAUUUAUUAGGUUGUAGACUCAUCUUGUCUUGAUAUGUGUGAUGUUACAGUAACUAGCUAUGUUACCACAUGCCUCUCUUUCCUCAUUAAUUACUCGCCACAUCAUGUUUUGCCUACAGAUGUGUGAUGUUACCACCUAUCUUAUUACCACUGACUGUGGGUAGUCUUACUAGCUUGGGUCUUUCUGAGCAGCAACCACAACCAAUCAGCGAGGAAGGGUCUACACCAUCCUCAAAGUUGACCAAUAAUGACAGUGAUAUGGUAGUAUAAUGCUCCUUAACGUGGUAAUCAGUACCCAUCCCAUGUACACAUCACCCACCCUUAAAUGAAGCUUCUUGAUGUUCAGAGACUAGCCUGUUUUGGUCUUGUUAAUUGUAUCUUGAUUCGAGAUUCAACAGCUGUGGAGCACACUUGCCCACAUCUCUUGUAGCUUGACCCUAUCUAUUCAUUUAUAUGAAGCAAAUGGUAGUGGUUAUGGGUCGGUUCAAUCCCUUCUUCCCCUUUCUCCUACUUUGAUCUUUUCUCUUUGAAGCAAUACUAGCUUGGGUGUUCUGUGAGCACCAGCUAGCUAGCAUCCGUAAUCUUCUUCUAGUUAGUGCUCGAUCAACACUUUUGGGAAUCACUCAGCCAUUCAGUUUUAUAGUUUGUAUGUAUAUGUUUUUCUGAGAGUUCUGCUUUAACAUUUGGAUCCAGGAAAUAUGGCAUGUUUUUGCAUUGGACGGUUAUAUAGCCUUUAAUGGGUUCCACGUCCCCAAACAAUUCAUGAUUCAAGGUUCUUGUUUUUACCAUCAUUCAUUAUUCAAGGGUUGUAGGACUUUAUGAUAUCUCGCCCAUUAGUCCAUUAUUCACGAUGGCCUUGCUAACCCUAAAUUGUUUUGUGUUUAAAUGAUGACAUUGUAAUCAAUUAAUUGUGAGAAAUAUAUAUCGAAUGCUUUUGACCAUUGCUCAUUAUUGUCUUUGUUCAAACAAAUUGUUUUGAUUUUCAUGGUACAACUUCCGUAUACUAAUGGAGAAAUUAAUAACAUCUUGGAAAAUUUCAUACUCCUAAGUUUGGUAAUACCUAUUACCUCCAACCACAAGGUAAAAGUGGAUGGUCCACAAUAGUUGGGAGCACCUUAGAAUUUCUCUACUACCGAACAAUCAGCUAGCAACACAACUUCACACAUACAGCUCAGCAAGACACAACUUUCCCAAACUACAACCAUAAUUGAAUAUAGGAGUACAUCGUUAGCAUUGACUAAUCCACCUCUACCCAAUAAUGACAAGAUUUUCCACAAAGUCUAAUGCUCAUUAACGUUCUACUUGCUAGUCAUCACACGGGUCACAUGUACUCAUCACCUCCAUCAAACGUAGCAAAUCAGGGUAGGAGGGAGUGAGGUCUGCAUCAUCCUCGGCAUUGACUAAUCCUUGUUUAUACCAAAUUAAUCAUUAAUUUUAACUGUUUACUCCCUUUGGUUGGGUUUAUAACUCGGGGAUGGCUUUUAACACCUUCAAUUUGACUAGUGAAACUGAUGUUGUUAGUCACACAUAUUUUGUUAGUCCAUUGAUUGAAGGCUUAAAAGCUCAUGCCGGACUUAUAAACCCAACAGAAUGGAGUAUCAUAUAUUCCAAAUUAUAAUGUUGCCAGGCUUGCUUAUUAAUUUUUUUUGAGAAGGGGGAGUACCCUUAGCCUCUACAUCAAGCAAUGCAGACAUCCAUUUUUAUAAAAAAAAUAGAGCAAGAAAGUACGAAACUCGUCUCAUGUUUGUAAACAAAAGCAAAAGAUAAAACCAGAUGCCACAAACAGAACAAAUAGGACACGAUGCCUAAACACAUAUCGUAUUAUUGUACCCCCAUCCAAACAUGUAUGUAGCUCGUGCUACCAUCUCCCAGCGGUUGCACCCAAAGGCCAGAAGCUCCCUAACUUCCACACGACUGAAUAAUGACAACCUACAGAUCCACCAGACGCCCAAACGAUAACCUGCAAAAAGUUUGUGAUAUUGGUUCGGUUAAAAACAACAUCAUUCCGACAGUUCCAGAUAACGGAAAGUAAUGCAUGUUACUAGCUGCGUUGGGAUUUUCCCCGAAGAGAAAGGUUGAAGCAAUAUAGUAGCGAAUAGUAUUUCCCUCGGUAGGGAACCAAGGUUAUCGAACCAAAAGGAGAACCACACAAACACCCGCCAAUAGUACCUGCAUAUAUAAAAGCAAAUACUUGCACCCAACGCGGGCAAGUAUUAAAUCUGGUAAUGGUAGACAAAUAUAUUGCAAAGUAAAAUAAAAGAAAGAAAAUUGCAGCAAGGUAUCUUUGAUUUUUAUAAUAUGAUUAACGUAGACCCGUGGGCCAUAGUUUUCACUAGAGUCUUCUCUCUUAUAAAAAUAAUAUACAGUGGGUAGACGAAUUACUGUUUGGCAAUUGAUACAAAAGCGCAUAGUUAUGACGACAUGCAUUCAUGGCGUGAUCAUGUAUAUAGACAUUACGUCCGUGACAAGUAGAUCGACUCCUGCCUGCAUCUACUACUAUUACUUCAUCAAUCGACCACUAUUCAACAUGCAUAUAUGGUAUUAAGUUCAUGACAAACAAAGUAACAUUUUAAGCAAGAUGACAUAAUGUAGACAUAAUAAAACCAAGCAAUAUGAUUAAACCCCGUCGUUUUCCCUUUAGUAGCAACAAUACAAAUACGUCCCUCGCUACCCCUUCUGUCACGAGGUGAGGACAUCACAAGAUUGAACCUACUACUAUGCACCACUUCCACUAAUGAUCAACUAAUCAACUUGGCCAAAGAAAACACAUAGAUUGGAAGCAUUACAUAGCUAUAACAAUCACACAUAAUAAAGUUCAGAAAAGACUCAAUUACUUUCAUUGAAUAUUCCAACCAUAAACCGACAAUUCACCGGAUCACAACAAACAAACCGUAAAAGAAGAUUACAUCGUAUAGAACUUCGAGGAAAUAUUGUAUUGAAUAUCAAAGAGAAAGAAGAAACCAUCUAGCUAAUCACUAUGGACACAUAGGUCUGUGGUGGACUACUCAUACAUCAUCGGAGGUCCAACAAGGUUGAUGUAGAAGCCCUCCGUGACCGAUUCAUUCCUCCUCCGGUAGAGUACCAGAAAAGGCCUGCAAAUGGGAUCGCAGAAGACCAGAAACUUGUGGCCGCGGAAAAAUAGUUUCGGCUGGCUCUCUUUUGGUUUUGGGAUUUAUGGGAAUUUAUAGGCUUAGAAUUAGGUCAAACGGAUAUACAAUGGGCCCAUAACCUCAGGUGGCGCACCCCCUGGGGGCGCGUCAUGUGAGCUUGUGGCUCUCCCGUACAUAUUUUGGCCUCCUCCCGAAGUUUCUAGGGGCCCUUCUGGCUGAGGAAAUACCACCGUAAAGUUUCAUCAUGUUUGGACUUUGUUUGUUAUGGAUUUUGUAUAAUAAAAAAUAUGCAGAAAACAUCAACUAGCACUGGACACUGAGUUAAUAGGUUAGUUCCUAAAAAUCAAGAUUGAUAAUAUAAUAACAUGAAACAAUCAAAAAUUAUGGAUGCGUUGGUGACGUAUCAAUGCACAAACUCCCACAUGAAUUUGUGUUGUUAUAUUAGUCUUCAGCCCAUUUAACCAGUUACCAAAUGAAUUGGAGAUGCUACUCGGCGGUAAAAAUUAAAUAACACAUGUAUUCUUUGCCAAAUAACCCAGCUAGUGGACAUUUGAAAAAAAAUGUUGAAUCGUUUCCUAUCCUCCCACCUUUCUUUUGCCAAGUUGUGCUUAGUAAAAAAUCACUCUCUUGUGCACAAACAACAUAAAGAUCUUGAUUUUUAACACACCUUAAUUUUUCAAAUAUGGGUCGACCUAGGGAUUUGUACAAUAUUAAUGAAGUCGAAUACAUAGAUUUGACUUAAUACGCAUGAAAUUAAAAAUUUCCGUCCGAAUGUAUUUGGCACAUUAGAUAGAUUGACCUCCAUCAACCUACACACAAAAUGUAGCCAGCUAUCCCAUCAUUCCCUCAGUAGUACAUGUCUGCACUAAACGUUUAAGGGAAAAUAACCUAGAAUUGUACUCACAAAGGCGCUUUAUGCUGCACAAUAUUUUAAAGCAUUGUAUACUGUAAGGCUAGACGCAUCUCCACAACCAAGUAUGCUCCCAGAAUCUAGUUGUGCGACAUUCGCCAAUGAUAGAUUUACUCAUGUUAAAGAAAGUGAUCCUUGUCUUCAUCAACCUCUUUCAAAAAGGAGAAUCAUUCGGCCGUGCCAUAACAUGUGCUAGAGUUUUCGAAUGUAGAUAAUUGUUACGCAAUAAUUAUAUCCACACCCCAUCCUCAUGUACCAAAAGCCGAUAUAACCAUUUACUAAGUAGGAACUUGUUCUUUACUUUGAGAUUUUCAAUACCCAAACCUCCUUGGUAUUUCGUUCUACUAAGAAUGUCCCACUUAUCCGGUUUGUACUUGGUUGUAUUCUCAUCAUUUUGCCAAAAAAAUCUCGACAGAUAAAAAUCUAAAUUUUUAUAUACCCCUACGGAUGCCUCAAAGAAAGAUAAUAGGAAUAUCGGCAUGCUUGUAAGCACAGAAUUAAUAAGAAUAAGCUGACCCUAAAUGACAUAAGCUUGCCCUUCCAAGAUCUUAGCUUUUUCUAAAAUCGAUCUUCAAUGAACAUUCAUUCUUUGUUGGUCAACUUCCAGUGAUGAAUUGGGAUCCCUAGAUAGCUAAUUGACUAAUAUAUCUUUUUUGGCCCUCUGUUCUCUCAUAUAUGCAGCCUGAUAGGUUGUCUCACUACUAGGAAAAGGGCUAUAGAUGUGAUGAGCACUAAUGGCGCACUGUACAUGUGGUGCGCCAUUACUAAAUACUAAUGGUGCACCAUGUGUUGGUGCGCCAUUAGUGUGCAAAUACUAAUGGCGCAUCCCAUCCCACGGUGCGCCAUUAGUAAAAAAAAAUUAUUUAUUUUUUCAAAACUACUAAUGGCGCACCGUGGGAGUGGUGUGCCAUUACUAGUUGAACUAGUAAUGGCGCACCAUCCCAUGGUGCGCCAUUGGUAAUUUGGCCCAAACAUUCCCCCGAAUGCACACACCCCCUGUGGACCGCCUUUUCAGUUUCAAAAAAAAUAAAAGAAAAUGAUAGAAGUGUCAAAAAAUAAAAGAAAAUAAGAUUCCCAUGUGAUAUGUGGUCUAGUUGUUAGGAAAAUUUACAAACAUGAAUUUUUGACUUUUUUGCAAAAUCUCUCGAGAAUUUGUAAAAAUGGGCAUAACUUUUGCAUACGAACUCGGAUGAAAAAGUUUUUUAUAUGAAAAAUCAUCUACUCGAAAAGUUACAUCUGAAUUUAAUCGGGGGAACCCCGUUAAACAUUUUCAAAAUCCUCAAAAACCUAACAGAAAAAAGAUACGGGGCUUUUAAGAUCUGGAGAGGCAAAAAAAUUCAAAAAAAUUCAAACUUACGAAUGGCGCACCUGCCCAUGGUGCGCCAUUACUAUCUUCCCGCCUUCAAAAUUCAAAAUAAAUCAAAAAAAAGUAAAAAAAUACUAAUGGUGCACCUGCCCAUGGUGCUCCAUUAGUAUCUUCCCGCCUUCAAAAUUCAAAAAAAAUAAGUAAUGGCGCACCUGCCCACGGUGCGCCAUUACUAUGUUGUAUAUAUGGCUGGGCGUGUCCUCUCCUUACCUCUUCAUUCUUCUCCUCCACUCCACCUGUCCUCCACUCCACCUCUCCUCCACUCCUCCACUCCAUCUUCCCUUCUCUCUUCGACCAUACGACCCUCCUCCUCUCCGGCGACCUCCUCCUCCUCCUCCUCUCCGGCGACCUCCUCCNNNNNNNNNNNNNNNNNNNNNNNNNNNNNNNNNNNNNNNNNNNNNNNNNNNNNNNNNNNNNNNNNNNNNNNNNNNNNNNNNNNNNNNNNNNNNNNNNNNNNNNNNNNNNNNNNNNNNNNNNNNNNNNNNNNNNNNNNNNNNNNNNNNNNNNNNNNNNNNNNNNNNNNNNNNNNNNNNNNNNNNNNNNNNNNNNNNNNNNNNNNNNNNNNNNNNNNNNNNNNNNNNNNNNNNNNNNNNNNNNNNNNNNNNNNNNNNNNNNNNNNNNNNNNNNNNNNNNNNNNNNNNNNNNNNNNNNNUCUCCCUCCUCUCCGGUGAGCUCCUCCUCCCUCAUCUCCGAUGAACUCCUCCUUCCUCAUCUCCGGUGAGCUCCUCCUCCCUCCUCUCUGGUGAGCUCCUCCUCCCUCCUCUCCUCCCAUCCCCUCAUGGUUUCUUCUUCCUCCUCUCCGAUGCUCCGGUGAACUCCUCUCCGGCGACGUCCUCCUCCUCUCCGGCGACGUAGGCGAGCGCCUCUGCGGUCACCUCCUCCUCCUCCUCUCCGCCGAACUCCUCUCCGGCAAACUCCUCUCCGGCAACAGAACACGGCAAAAGAACGUACAAGAUCCAAAAACGGGAACAAAAUUUGAAAUAAUAUCAUGCAAAAACACGAGCAAAAAAACGAGCAAAAAAUGGGCAAAAAAAUCGCGAUCCAGAUCCAAAUUCAAAAUUCAAAAAUAGCAAUGGCGCACGGUGGGGGUUAGACGGUGCGCCACUACUAUUUUCCCGCCUUCAAAAUUCAAAAAUACUAAUGGCGCACCGUGGCCUAUACUAAUGGCGCACCAGCGGCCUAUACUAAUGGCGCACCGUGGCCUAUACUAAUGGCGCACCAGUGGUGCGCCAUUAGUAUACCAGAUACUAAUGGCGCAUCAGUGGUGUGCCAUUAGUAAAAAAUACUAGUGGCGUGAUACUAAUGGCGCACCAGUAGUGCGCCAUUAGUAGGCAAAACUGGUGCGCCAUUAGUAAGCCUUUUCCUAGUAGUGUUUGUCAAUCCACUAUCUUCUUGCCCCUCCAUUUUUCGACAACCUAGAAGCUACCUAUGACCAUGCAGUUCUUCCAUGCUAGAAGUGCGCAAUCCAGAUCUUUGUUGAAUGGUUAUUGAAAAAUUAAUCGGUCUCUCAGUUUCUAUACAGUCUUUUGAAAUUUAUGUUUUGCAUUGUAUUUUUCCUUACAUGGAAAGGUUUGCUUUAUAUUGUAGAAUGAAUAAUAUAGCAGAAAUGGAAGCCUUGGAGCGUGUAUUUAGUGAUGCAAGUGCAAAGCCGAUCAAACUAUCAUAUGGACUUCUCGAAAUUAUUACGGAGAAUUUUUCGAACGAAAUUGGCCGUGGUGGGUUUGGAGUUGUUUACAAGGUAUGAUUUCUUCUCGACUAUCUCCCAGAUAAUAAUUUUUCACUUAUGAAACUAGUAAAGCAAAAUUCCUGGGCUGAUGAUAAUACCGUGAGCAAAACAGGGAUAUCUACGAAAUGGGGAGGUUGCUGUGAAGAAGCUCUCCAAUCCGCAUGCUUUGCCUGAUAGGAAAUUCCUGGAUGAGAUCACGUGUUUAAAAAAGGCAAAGCACACAAAUAUAGUAAGAAUUCUGGGUUAUUGUUCAGAAACGCAGGGGGAGUUGCUUGAAAUCAAUGAAAAACAUAUAAUGGCAGAGAUACAGAAAAAGUUGAUCUGCUUUGAGUAUGUUCCUAAUGGAAACAUUCAACACUAUUUGAAACAAGGUAUGGAGGGUACCAGUUGAUAUGUUCUUCUAUUCUAUUCUAAGCAUAUGGAAAAUAGUUGUGCCAAUUUUGAUCCACCGAUAUUAGCAUGUUGUGCAUCCGGCGACUUCAGACGUGCGAUCGAGUAGCAUCGUUCACUCUAAGAGUCGCACACACACACGCACACAUGCACGCACGCACGCGCGCGCGCGUGCACACACACAAUCAAAUAGGAUUAAACUCUAUCUUUGUUGUUACAAGAUAACUGGAGGUAUUAGGUGUGGGUACUAAAGAAGGAAAAUGUGGUAUCUAGGAUUUGGGCCUAAUUCAAUAUGUGGCUUCCUUAACUAUGUCAUUAUAUCUCACUAGUCUGUGUAGCCAUGACUCAAUUCCCCCUUUAUGAUAGUAUGUUGUGCACAACUCAAUGAAAUUAUUAAGGCCAAAAGACCGAACCAGAAAUGUGCUCUGAAGUUAAACUUCGUGUGGUAAUUAUUCUGUAUGGUUGCCCAUGUCAUCUAAAACACUAGCAUACACGAUAACAUCCCAUCAUUAUUGCUAGACAUGCGACUAUAAGUAGCACAUAAUAUCGACCAAGGGUUCACCAAAGCACAUCUAUCUACUCCUUAUGAUGUCUCAUGAUCUAGACGUGUAUUAACCCAUGGACUGAACAACUACAGUAACAAAAAUAAACAACAUGAGAAGAGUAAGAACUAGAGAUUAAUUAAAAAUACCAUUACAGAAAUUUUUGCUGAAACCUUGAUAUGGUGAUCAAUGGACUCGUAAGUAACUUACUAUGAGUGGUGAUCCGAACAGCACUAAAAAGUGCCCCCACCAUAAAUGGAGAGUGAUCAAUUCUGCAAACCAACUUGAACAUGUCAGUGGAAAAGAUCCCAGCGCUAGCUAGGAGUCGACAACAAGGGUCACCAAUAGUAGACCUCCGUCCUAUUCCUCUCAAUGUUAAUCCUCUCUAUGACAAGCCCGUCAGAACGGCCUGUUAGUUGAAUGUUACCACUGACGGCCUCCUUGUAGCAACUCAUCGAUGGUACUUUCUAUAGGUAAAAUGAAAGAAAUUAGCGACCAACGAUCAUAGAAGAGUGAAUCGUGAGAGGUGAUAGGUUGUCCCAGGUGGAGAAAAUGCAUGCAUUUGUCUAUGUUCCUCAAGAACUAUAUAGCAGUGCAGCCCCAGCAGCCCUCACAUUCUGUUGGAAAUAUGAGCAAUUUACCGAAUGAUUUUAUUGACAGAAAUACUAGAUAAAGCAUGACUAAUAUAGCAGAGAUAAAACAAGUCAUGCAGUUCGAGAUAGAGAAGGUAAAUAGCAUAUGUAUAUAUGAACUAGAUCCGAACACAUCUAGAACAGACACUAGAACAAGAAGUUGUGACAGAGCCUCUAACCGAAAGAGUAUGAGAACGUAUGGAACGGGAGCAGAUGCACCGGUCUUCGGGUCGGUGUCCUCGCCAGCCAUGUCGUCGAGGAGGUUGUCGACGUCGAAGUCCGGGGCGUCCGUGACGAAGAAGUCAGUAGUCGCGCUGAGCGCUCCCCAAAAACCUUAUCACCCUUCUUUCGUACAGGACUCAAAAGGUGUGGUUUCAGAGGCCUACUGUGUCUCUCUCAAGAGGAGCGACCUCUCUUAUAUAGGCACAGGAGAAGGAGGCGAACAGGCUGCGACGGCAGGUGAAGCAACAGAGGGAGACGACAGGAGGUGAAGCAACAGAGGGAGACGAAGUGAACAGACUUCAGCCGAAGAGGCGAGCUGUUCGGAUUCAGUGUCCACUACAGAAAAACGUUUCAGCUCCCGCUUGACCUUUCAUAUACCCGUCAUGCGUGGCAAAAAUUUAGACAUCGGCUCGGCUCAUUCCCGCAACUCGCGGCGCGUCGUGACGAGACGUGGCGAGGCGGGCGACGGAGGAGGAGCGCGCGUGGAUGUCCCUCUUGUUCUCAUCCUCAUACAUGUGGAGAAAGAGUCUCCCUUAUAAAGAGGUCCAACUCCCUCUAAACAAGCAAUAUGGGACUAAACUUUAGUUCCACCUCUUGCCUUGCAUGAAUGGGCUGCGUGGGCCUCUAGGAUUUAUUAGGAAUUUCUUAAACUGCUAUUGGGCUAGGCCCAAAAUAGACAAAAUUCCAGCAAUCCCCCACCAGAUCCCAGAGGCACACAAAAUUUGCCUUUGGUUCCAAAACACUGUUUUAUAUACCGGUACUACAGUGGAAAUUGUUAAGUUGAACUUCCACCUAGAACUCUAUGCUACACUAGUAAGCAACUUGGACAGUGAACUAUGCCUUGAACUGCAAGUUUUCUGUGAAUCUAGCUUCACAUAAAGCCUUGACCGAUACGUGGCUACCGUGGGUCUUCCCCGCCGGUGGAGCUUAUGCGUCAUACUCCAAGACCUUUCAUGAGUUUACUAGAGAGAACCUGACUCUCAUAGAUUGCGACGUUUAACAAUCAGACUCAUAUAGGUGCGUUCUUCAAAAGAUAUUUUGCAGGACGACAUCUCUGCUUCAAUGAGCCACUUAGAACAUAUUAGGAUAUAAAUCAAUCUGCCAUGCAGAUUACGAGAGUAUUGCAUCUUCAUGGAGUGGUAUUAAUAGUAAGGAUACUCUCCUCUCAGUUGACCAAUAGCUUGUCUUCCACAUCUAAUUCACGGGAUCUUCGAUCACAAAGAAUAGGUUACCACUGUGAACAACUUAUAUUGUAGGUCUCAUACCCAUCUCCCUUGAUGCAUUAUCUAUCACAUUACGUGAUAGACCCUUAGUAAAAGAAUCUGCCGGAUUCUUAGACGUUUGGAUAUAAUCCAAUGCAAUAACUCUGGGGUUUUUCAUUUUCCUGAUAGACUUUAACCUUCUUUGAAUGUGUCUUGAUGACUUCAUGUUAUCCUUUGAGCUGCUCACUUUCGUGAUCACAGUUUGAUUGUCAUAGUUCAUAAGGACACCCGUUACAGGUUUCUCAACAACCGACAAGUCAUUCAAGAGCCGGUGAAGCCAAUCUGCUUCGACCGUAGCUGUAUCUAGUGUUGUGAGUUCUGUUUCCAUUGUUGACCUCGUUAAGAUGGUCUGCUUGCAAGACUUCCAAAAAACAGCGCCACCUCCAUGAGUGAAUACAUAUCCGCUCGUGGCCUUUAUCUCAUCAGCAUUUGAGAUCCAGUUUGAGUCACUAUAUGCUUCAAGCACCUUUGGGUGCCCAGUGUAGUGAAUUCCAUAAUUCGCAGUGCCUUUCAAAUAAUGUAAGACUCUCUCUAGAGCUUUCCAAUGCACAUCUCUUGGUUUUGAGACAAACCAACUUAGUUUGCUAAAAGCAAAAGAGAUGUCAGGUCUUCUAGCACUGGCUAAGUACAUGAGCGAGCCAAUAAUCCGAGAAUACUUCAAUUGAUCUCUAGCAAUUCUUCGAUUCUUUUGAAGCAGCACACUAGCAUCAUAUGGUGUUGGAGAGGGCUUGCAGUCACUUUAGCCAAAGCGACUCAAGAUCGUUUCCACAUAGUGAGAUUGAAGCAAUGUAAUCCCACCGUCAUCAUCUCUCAACAACUUGAUGUUCAGAAUGACAUCAGCCACUCAUAAAUCCUUCAUCUCAAAACAACGAGAUAGGAAAUCCUUGACCUCCUUAAUAACAUUCAGAUUUGUUCCGAAAAUCAAUAUAUCGUCAACAUACAAGCAAAGGAUAACUCCCUCGCCCCCACCAUGGUGAUAGUACACACAUUUGUCAGCUUGGUUUACAACAAAGCCAACAGCUGACAAAUGUGUGUACUAUCACCAUGGUGGGGUCAAGGAUAACUCGCCUCCACCAUGGCGAUAGUACACACAUUUGUCAGCUUGGUUUACAACAAUGUGAGGUCAAGGAUAACUCCCUCCUUAAAGUUCUUUCAAACUUCUCAUGCCACUAUUUGGGUGCUUGCUUGAGUCCAUACAAAGACUUCAACAACUUGCACACUUUUCCUUCCUGACCAUCUAGUACAAAUCCAUCUGGUUGUUCCAUAUAAAUUUCCUUGUCCAACUCUCCAUUUAGGAAAGCAGUCUUAACAUCCAUUUGAUGAACGAGAAGACCAUGUGAGGCAGCUAGUGAAAGUAGAACUCGAAUAGUGGUCAGUCGAGCCACAGAUGAGUAAGUACCAAGAAGUCUUCAACUUCCUUUUGGGUAUAACCCUUAGCCACGAGCAGAGCCUUGGACUUUUCAAUAGUACCAUCAUUGUUGAGGAAAUCGUUAACUGGUAACUGCUCGGUUGGCUAGCGAGUAGGGGAUUAAUAUGCUAAUCCGCAAGUUAAUCGGCCAUUUAAUCAAUUAAUCGGACGAUUUAUCGGUUUAUCGGCUACUCGAUGACCCUACGAGUAGGGAUUAAUCGGCAAGUUAACUGGUUAAUCGGAUGAAUUCUUGAACAGGGAGUACCAUCAGGCCUAAGUUUCUUCUUGAAUACCCAUUUGCAUCCUAUAGGUUUGCACCCAUAAGGACGAUCAGUUAUCUCCAAGUUUCAUUUGCCAAGAUAGAAUCCAUCUCCCUACGAACCACUUCCUUCCAGUAGUCAGCAUCUUCAGAUGCAUAGGCCUCUAAAAUAGAUCUGGGAGUGUCAUCUAGGAGAUACACAAGAAAAUCAUCACCAAAGGACUUUGCAUUCCUCUGUGUCUUGCUCCUAGUAGGAACUUCAUUGUUCUCCUCCACAGGACUUUCAAAGUGUUCCAUCGAAAUGGCAGGUUCGAUAGUUGUAACUGGUUUCUGAUUCGAUGAACUAGGCAUCUCCUGAUUAGAUGAGGUAGUCAUAUCCUUCAUGGGAAAGAUAUCUUCAGAGAAAGUCGCAUCAUUCGACUCCAUGAUCGUACCGACAUGCAUGUUAGGUACCUCAGAUUUUACAACCAAGAAUCUAUAACCAAUGCUAUGAAAAGCAUAUCCCAGGAAAACACAAUCCACAGUCUUUGGUCCAAGCUUGCGCUUCUUUGGAAUUGGCACGUUGACUUUCACCAAACAACCCCAGGUUGGUAGAUAAGAGAGUUUUAAUCUUUUCUUCUCCCAUUCCUCGAAUGGAGUUAUCUCUUUAUUCCUUGUGGGAACUCGGUUUAGGACGUGGCAUGCAGUCAAUAUCGCCUCCCCCCACCAUGCCUUGGAGAGACCUGAUGUGUCUAACAUGGCGUUAACCAAAUCUGUUAGAGUACGGUUCUUUCUUUCUGCCACCCCAUUUGACUGAGGUCAAUAGGGAGGUGUCCUCUCAUGGAUUAUACCAUGUUCUGCACAAAAAGCAUCAAAUUCAUUGGAAAAAUACUCUCCACCACGGUCGGACCUAAGCCUCUUGAUUUUCUGAUCAAGUUGGUUUUCCACUUUAGCUUUAUAGAUCUUGAAAAAGUUCAAAGCCUCAUCCUUAGAUUUCAGAAGAUACACACGAUAGUAUCUAGUGGAGUCGUCAAUUAACGUCAUGAAAUAUUUCUUUCCACCUUUUGUCAAAACACCAUUCAUUUCACAUAGAUAUGAAUGUAUGAGCUCUAGUGGUGCAAGAUUUCUCGUUUCCGCAGUCGUGUGAGACAUACGAGGUUGCUUAGCUUGCACACAAACUUGACACUUAGAUCCCUUGACAGUGGUGAAAGUAGGGAUUAAGUUCAACUUCGCUAGUCGCGACAUGCAACCAAAGUUAACAUGACAAAGACGUGAAUGCCACACAUUUGAUUCACUAUUGUUGCAAACAUGAUUAACAACUUUAUUGCAAACGUCUGUCAAGGAUAAAUGAAACAGGCCUCCUGACUCAUAGCCUUUACCAACAAAGGUUCCAUACUUGGAUAUUACAAAUUUAUUCGACUCAAAGACAAGUUUAUAGCCAUCUCUACACAGAAGAGAUCCGCUAACAAGAUUUUUAUUGACGGAGGGGACAUAAUCCACGUUCUCCAGCUGCACGAUCUUCCCCGAAGUAAACUUCAGAUCGACCGUGCCAACACCACAAACAGAAGCACUUGAACUGUUGCCCAUCAGCACGAUUGAAGUCCCCGCGGUCUGAUAAGACGAAAACAUGGAAAUAUCACCGCAUAGAUGCACAUUAGCACCCGUGUCAAUCAACCAAUCAGGAGAAUGACAUACUGAAAGAAUAGUGGGAAAUAUACCAUACCCAACAUCCUUCAUUUCAGUGUCUCCAAUGACAACAUUAGCGGUCUUGCCGCCUUUCCCAGGAUGACGCUUAUCAUAGCGAUUAGGGCAACUAGGAGCCCAAUGAUAAGGAUCCCCACACACAUGACAAACACCUUUAUUCUUGUCAUUCUUCUUUUUGAAGUUCGUGUGUUGCAUAGCCUUGUUCUUCCCAUCAAACUUUGCUUUACCAUCAAACUUGCCCUUGUUCUUGAACUUGUGGGACUGGAAGUUCUUCUUCUGUACCAGAUUGGCACUAGAUCCUCCCUCAAUACGUCGAGCACGUGUGUACACCUUUUCUUCCACAUCAAGAGUGCCAAUGAGAUCCGGGACGGAAAACUCCUGUCUCUUAUGCUUCAGUAAGGUAGCAAAGUUCCUCCACGAAGGAGGAAGCUUAGUGAUGAUACCUCCGGCAACAAACUUGUCCGGUAGCAUACAACUGAAGUGCUCAAGUUCUCUAGCAAAUGACUGUAUCUCAUGAGCUUGCUCAACCACGGAGCGCUCGUCAGUCAUCCUGUAAUCAUAUAAUUGCUCCAUGAUGUACAGCUCAGUGUCAGCAUCCGAGACCCCAAACUUGGCCUCGAGUGCACCCCGCAUAUCUUUUCCAUUAUCAAUUGACGCAUAAGCAUCAACUAUGUUCUCACCAAGAACACUCAAGAGAGCAGCCUUAAACAGAGUAUCCAUUUUCUGAAAAGCUUGUGCCUGUUGAGCAUCAAGCUCUCCUUCAGAUUUGCCAAGAGUGGCGUCAUAGCAACUCAUUUUUUGAAACUAUAAGACUGCUACCACGCACCACCUCUUAUAGUGGAUACCCUCAAACAUAGUAGGUCUCAUGGAAGCAACAAAACCACUCGGGGUAAAUUGCCUAUAAUAAGGUUUUUGGAUUGUUGUAAAUAUGAGCAAUUUAUCGAAUGAUUUUAUUGACAGAAAUACUAGAUAAAGCAUGACUAAUAUAGCAGAGAUAAAACAAGUCAUGCAAUUCGAUAGAGAGAAGGUAAAUAGCAUCUGUAUAUAUGAAUUAGAACCGAACACAUCUAGAACAGACACUAGAAUAAGAAGUUGUGACAGAACCUCUAACAGAAAGAGUAUGGGAACGUACGGAACGGGAGCAGAUGCACCGGUCUUGGGGUCGGUGUCCUUUCCAGCCAUGUCGUCGAGGAGGUUGUCGACGUCGGGGAAGAAGUCGUCGUUGGCGAAGUAGUCGUCGGAGUCCGGGGUGUCCGUGAUGAAGAAGUCGGUAGUCGCGCUGAGCGCUCCCCAAAAAUCUUAUCACCCUUCUCCCGUACAGGACUCAAAAGGUGUGGUUUCAGAGGCCUACUAUCCCGACCUGCGGUGCACGCCGCAAGUCGGGAUGGGGAAGAUCGUAGCAGCAGCGCAGUGCUCAGGAGAGGAGCGACCUCAUCUUUAGGCGGUAUACCAAAAGAAAGUGAAUAUCAACCACUAGUCAUCUGUAUGGGGAUGAUGGUGGGUAGGGUAGUAGUAAAUAUGGGGGGUGGGGGAGGGGAAUCCCGGGAGAAAGCAAUACAUUUGAUUCAUACUUGUGGUGUCAUGAAUACUAGAUGACACAUGACCUCUUCUCAAGCUUGAUAAAAAAAUCGUGGAGAUUAUCUUGAUCAAUUUAUGUUGCAAGACAUGUGGACAGGAAUAAAGAAUCUUCUGCUUGCUUUUGCAGAGAGACAUCAUGGAGACGAUUGGCAUGUACGCUACCAAAUGAUUGUAGGGAUUUGUCAAGGGCUGCACUAUCUGCAUGAGAAAUACAUUAAUCACUUGGAUUUGAAACCUGAAAAUGUUUUGUUGGAUGCUGAUAUGAAGCCAAAAGUUACAGAUUUUGGUUUGUCAAGAUGCCUAGAUCAAGGACAAUCUAUUAUUACACAAAACAUACUUGGAACACCGUAAGUUAAGGCGGUCUCCUGACAAUCCCUGGUCAUUAGCUUUUUUCAUGCAGUGAUACUUGAAAUGAACUAACACACUACCGAUGCAGGCGGUAUAUUGCACCAGAAAUCAUAGACAAAGGAGAAAUAUCAUUUAAGUCUGACAUUUACGCUUUUGGUAUUAUUACCAUAGAAUUAUUAACAGGGAUCAGCAAAGCAAAUCUUGACAAUGUAAGGAUGAUUUAACUUUGCCUUCUAGUUGGCUUUUUUUAACUAUGUCAAAAUUUUACUUAUUCAUACUACAGUUAUAUACAAAUUUGUAGUAAAUUUUAUUUUUGACCACCUGGUUGUGACUUUCUAACAACUUCUAUCACAUUUUUAAAAUAUUUAGUCCACACCCUGUGUAUUGUGAGAAACUAUUUUACUAAAACAAGUCAAGUGGGACCAAGCUUUUUAGCUUUGAUAAUCCUUCUUACUACUUUAGUUUUGUAUUUAAGGUAACCCUCAUUUAGUGUCUUUUGAGAGAAAAGUUAUGAGAUAUGGUUGCUCUACCAUCUAUCCUCAUUAAAUAUGGUGUCACAUCAGUAUUUUUACCUAUGAAACCGUGGUAAGAUACUACUCCCUCCAUCGGUAUAUAUAGUGGUCAAGUGAAAGUGAAUAUGGCAUAUUUUCUUGAUGUCGUACUAUUUGGGAAAGUGCUACCAUCAUUCCGUCAUGUUUAAACCUGAUUUGCAGUGGGAUAAAUUAUUAGACAUGGACUGUCCACGAAUGAGGAGGUGCAUUGAAAUCGCUCGAAAGUGCACCGACCCUGACAAACGCGAAAGACCCACCGCACGUGAAGUAAUCCGUGACCUGGACGAGCUGGAGAGCAUGGUUCCAUGGUCCUCCAUGAACCAGGUAUGUAAUUAAGAUUGACCUGGGCGAGCUGUUUAAGAAUUCUUCACGUUCAGUUCACACUUCACACAUGCAUCCCUGGCCGCGCAGUCAACCAGGGAAUGUAUCUAGUGCACCGGGGCAAUCGGUGCUGCCGGUGCACCGAUCCCCCGUUACACAUUCAAAAAUGUUUAAAAAAAAUCCAUAAAAUUUUACGGCAUUGGCACAACAUCAAUGUAUGUUGUCCUAAAAAUUCAAACCAAAAUUUGAAACAUUGCUCGAGAUACAAAAUGAUAAAUUUGACACUGAAUAGUACAUAACACAGGUUGGGCUUCAGUUUUGGCCCAUUAGCAUAUUUAUGUCAAAUUUGUCAUUUUUGUAUCUUGAGUGAUGUUUUGAAUUUUGAUUCAAAUUUUUGUGACAACUUAUAUUGAUGUUGUGUCAAUGCACUAAUUUUUUUUCGAACAUUUUUGAGUGUGCAACGGAGUCCGGUGCACCGGUAGCACAAAUUGCCCCGGUUCACCCGAUACAUUCCCCAGUCAACCAAGAUGUAUAAACGCAGGUCACCCCCACUGUUGUCCCUGGAAAUGAGGUACUCGAUGUGUACCCGCUGGAGCUCAGGUUUCCCUUCGUGCCAAACAAGGAGAUGCGUUGCCACUUGACCACGACCACCAAGACAGAUUGUUUUGUCUUCUGUAUGCUCGUACCUGGAGUUCCGGAUAGAUACUCGGGUGACUUGGUAGGCAUUGUACCUGGAAUGUGCACUUCCGUUACCCCAGUAGUAAGGCAGGCGGAAGAGGAGCUUCCCUCAGGCACGGACGAGUUGGAGGUACUGUUCUGGCUCACAGGGUGCAAUGAUCCCGACAAACUCGCACUUCAGCUAUCAGCAUUAUCAGUGUACCCUGGUUCGCCCUCUCAAUAUGAAUUAAAGGCGGCAUUCCAUGAGCUUGGGUGGGAGCUACACCGGACGACGUUGACAGCGGUCGUCGUCGCCCCCGAGGAUGAUGAUCUAGCUGUGAGUAUAUGCCAUGCAUGCAUAUGUUGCUAUCUUAUUAGCUAGAUUUUAUUAAGUAUUAUUUAAUUAUUAAUUAUGUCAUUAUAUCAGCUAGUGGUGAAUACUCCGUGCAAAGAAGAAGAAUUUUUUUAUUCUAUCGAUUGCAUGGAUGUGCAUCCUACGGAGCCCUGGUGAGUAAUUGUUCUACCUACGUGGAAUAUACAUAUACUUCACNNNNNNNNNNNNNNNNNNNNNNNNNNNNNNNNNNNNNNNNNNNNNNNNNNNNNNNNNNNNNNNNNNNNNNNNNNNNNNNNNNNNNNNNNNNNNNNNNNNNNNNNNNNNNNNNNNNNNNNNNNNNNNNNNNNNNNNNNNNNNNNNNNNNNNNNNNNNNNNNNNNNNNNNNNNNNNNNNNNNNNNNNNNNNNNNNNNNNNNNNNNNNNNNNNNNNNNNNNNNNNNNNNNNNNNNNNNNNNNNNNNNNNNNNNNNNNNNNNNNNNNNNNNNNNNNNNNNNNNNNNNNNCGUAUUUUUAGAUCCUCAAGUUGACAAUUUUAUAAAAAGUAAUCUCAAAUUGACCAAUAAAACAUGGAUUAUGUCAUAAAAAAUAUAUUAUCGAAUUUAUAUUUGAAAUAAUGGUAUAAAUUUUAUGUCGUAACCUAUAUUUCGUAUUGAAUAUUUUACCAUUCUUUGGAACUAGCAUUUGUGAGGGCACCAUCUUUAAUUUGUUGUGCUUUGUAAAAUAAAUUUAUUUUUAUAUAGACUCCAAAAACAUGAAAUUUCAAAUUACUUGGUUCUAUAGCCACCGUGAAGUUAUGUUAGGUAAAAUAUCAACUAUGGUCAAAAGAAUCUAGCGAUACCACCAAAUUCUUCCAAUAAAUUAGUUGCGUCGUCAUAUGUUCGGAUAAUAUUUUUAUUCACAUGACUAACAAAGCAGAGGAAAAAAAACUACGAUUGCAGCACAUGCAAUUAAUCUUAAAGAAUUCAAAACGAAUAUCAAACACAAAUGUGUAUUUGAUUACUUCAUGUGCCGGAAACACAUAUGAACUCAUGAGCUGAAAUGUGUUUUCCAAAAUGCUUGACUCAGAGGAAACUUUCCCCUUAAGUUAAUAAUAGUGAUAAAAAUAAUAAUUCUUAAGAUUCAAGUCCUAUGUAUUGGACAAUCUCAAUAGAAAACUUUUGUCGGAACAAAUAUUGUUCAAAACACUUUUGAUAUUACCCUCGUUACAAGUCCACUUAUAUAUACGGUGGCGCUAAAGUGAGCCUGAGCGCAAAAGCGCUAAUCCUACGCUCCAGCCAGUGCCACUCAACCGAACCAACUAAUCAUUUUCCACCUCCUAGUAAAAUCCUUCACACAAAAAAGUAACGAGAUUAAAUUUGUUACCGGGUGCAUGUACCUCUCUCCAUGUCAAGCCGUACAAGCUAUUUACGUGAUGCCUUCUAGUAAAAUCCUUGUCAAACAUAGUCAAAUGAAUAAAUUCGUUACCGAAUGCAUGCACAGUACCCCACCCCGCCCCGUGCUACUUAUUCACCGUAAUAACUUGUAGUAAAAUCCCUGGCAAAUAUAGUAACGAAAUAAAAUACUUUGCCAACUGCAUGCAUCAAUACUCAUUCCCACCACUUACUAGCUAUUCAAUUAAUUAUUCCUAGUAAAAUCCUUCACAAACAUAGUAAUAGAAUUAUUAGUUUUACUGUCACUAUGCACCAAACCCACCACGCUCACACUAGCUAUUCAUCCUAAUGCCUCCUACUAAAAUCCCUGUAAAACGUAGUAACUAAAUUUUUACAAAAUUUACUAGAAGCAUGCACCGGGUUUUCCAUUACUGCAAUCUCUUUCCUAGUUACGCUCAAAUUUAAAGAUUUAAUUUGGUUACUAGCUGCAGCAAUGUUCACAUGGUAAUCAAACCUAGAAAAUACAGUAACUGGUUUAAGUUUGUUACUGGAUGCGUGCAACAGAUAAUUGCAUCGCCAACAUCUUCCUUUACUAUAUGCAUCACGGAACUAAACAUGGUAAUAAACCUUGAAAAUAUAGUAACUGCUUUAAUUUUUUACUAGAUGCAUACAGUGGUUCACCGGCUCGCCACCAUUUUACUUUGCUACUAUAUGAGUGACUCAAAGUACACAUAGUAAUCAACCAUGUAAGAGAUAGUAACACAAUUAAUUUGGUUACUGGCCGCAUGCAGCAGUUCACCGCCCACAAUCAUUUUCUUUUACUAGUAGUAACGAAUCAUGCAAAACACAGUAACAUAAUUAAUUUUUUUACUGGUCGCAUGCAACAGUUCACUGCCCAUCCUUUCGUAGGCUACGGGGCGGAGAGAUGUGCAUGGAAGGUAGUAACCUGUCGCCCAACGUCCUGAUUCAUAGGUCAUUAAUUGUUUGUAGUAAUAUACUCCCCCCGUCUCAAAAUUCUUGUCUUAGAUUUAUCUAGAUAUGGAUGUAUCUAACACUAAAACUUAACUAGAUACAUUCAUAUUUAGACAAAUUUAAGACAAGAAUUUUGGGACGAAGGGAAUAGAUAGAAGAGAUGGUAAUGGAUGAUAAUUGUUUACCAAGCAAUAAGAUGGUUCGAUUCCUUGGCCUGGUAAACAUAGUAAAUCCAUUCCAUUAUGUAGUAAUGAAUUACUACAUGCUACUAAUUGUUAGCAGUAAAAAUGGUGGAGUGGAUGGUAAUAAUGAAACAAAUUGUUUUACCAACGAACAAAUUAGACUACCCAUAGUGGGAGUAACAUAUCUAGAUAAAAUAGAUGGUGUGGCAAACAAUUAAUAAAGAAAGAGAGGCAUGUAGUAACAUAGCUAGCGAAAGUGCUAUUGUGAGCUCGAGCUCACAGGCACCCUUUGCUACAGUACAAACAAAAAAAUAUUUAAAAAGUUCAAAAAAAUCUGAAUUUUUUUGGCAACAAACAUUGACAUAUUUUUCACAUGCGUACAAAUUUUCAUGACAAAAUGACAUUCAUGCAGGUCUCAGCAAAAAAAAACAAAAUCGAUGCUCCAAAAUGCUUCCAAAAACAGUUUUUUUGGAGCAUGAUUUUGUUUUUUUUGCUGACACCUCCACAAAUGUCAUUUCAUCACGAAAAUUGGCACGCAUGUAGAAAAAACAUCAAAGUUUCUUGACAAAAAAAUUCAGAUUUUUUUGAAUUUUUUUACUAUUUUUUCGGAUUUUACUGUUCAUCCGGGAUCACUGGUGCCCGGGAUCAAUUCCUCCGCGUCCCAUAGCUAGUUACUAGUCCUAUGAGUAACAUCACACAUACCAAGACUAGAUGAGUCUAUAACCUAAUAAAUGAAGUGUUGCAUGACACUACACAUAUGUUACUACUCAUUGUAGGUAGUAACAUAGACUAAUAACAUAUGUAUGUUACUAGUCUAAGUUACUCUCUACUGUGGCUAGUCAGAGAUGCUUCAAUCCUGGCGUGCAUGGUAAACGUAGUAAAACUAGGCUCCUAUGUAGUAACGCAUUACUGCAUGUGCCUAUUGUUGAAACAUACACGACCCUGCUCUCUUAACGCAUUACUUCAUUCUAUUAUGUAGUAACAAAUUACUACAUGCUCAUUAAUUGCUAGCAGUAAAAAGGAGUAAAUUGUUUUACCAACGAACGAAUUACAGAUGCUUCAAUCCUAAUGCAUGGUAAAUGUAUUACUGCUAAGAGUAACGCAUGGACCAGAAUGUAGUAAUUAUUUUUCAUGAAGAAAUGGGAACUGGCAAAGCGAGUUGACCAGUAUUGCGUCGGUUGUGUAUAAUGCCUCUGAAAUGUGUAUGCUAAGUUAGCGCGUAUUCUGGCCGGUUGGAUCGAACUGGCCGGAGCGUACGCUAAGAAGGAAUGUGCACAAGCUGUGUGUGUGUGUGUGUGUGUGUGUGUGUAGAACAUACCACAUACAACCACCUUUGUUAAAAAUGCAUGAAAAUAUCUAUGAUUUGGUUCCCGCCCUUGAGUCAGAAGACAAACGUAAACUAAAUAAGCUCGACUUGGGUUGAUCUAAUGGGAUCUGCUGAACGCAGUUUACAACCAAUAGCACUAUAAAGUGUCCACCCAAUCCCACCACAUAAAAAUCCUAUUUAUAUAGAACAAUGAGACUGCAAAAGUGAUCAACUAUGAAGCGUGCCGUAUAGAGCGAGCAAAUCUGACAACAACGGUGUUAUCAACGCGAUAAUUGAGGUAGCAACCAACAUUGGCCAUAGGAAGUGAAUCAGCGUCAUGCAUCCUCUUCAAAUAUUUAUUUUAGUCUUGAAAUGCAACAAUAAGAAAGAAUAAUAAAAAGAGAAGGGGUUUGAGCAGGAGCAAUUGGAACUGACCCAUAUGUAUCCAUGCAAUAAUUCUAAACUGUCAUUCUUGGUGAUGCUAACGAUGGUGGUGUUUCCAUCCAUGCAGAAAUCAUUCUAAUGCCAAAAAUAAAAGGUGUGUGGAUUCCAAAUUAACCAUGUGAGGAAACAAACAAAAACAAUAAAUUAAUUACAAAGUUUUCCCUAUACAUUUGUGCACAUGAUUUUGGUUCCACCUUUAGAUAAAUAUUUUUUCUUUUAAAAAACUGGUUUUUAUGAUUUACUAAUUUAUCAAAUUUUAGUGUUGACAGACGAACAAAUCAAAUGAAGCAGAUAGAAAUUUACCUUCAUAGAAGGAAAAAUUAAAAAAAAAACAGAAUCAAAAACGGUGUACCGAUUUGUUAAAUUUCAGAGCUGCCAUUUAGAAAGAACAAACCAAAUGAAGCACCUAGAAAUGGCUAACUCAAAUUACCUUCUUACAAAGAAGACUGAAACCGUUUGCACAUUUCACGAUGAUAGCACACAUUAAGUUUCCUAAUUCCUCAAAGUCUAAAACCAAUGAGCAUAGCAGAAACAAUUACAAAUUUCUUCCCCUAAUUUUGAACCUGAUUUAAUGCUUGCCUAGGUAUAAAGUUGCACAAAUUAAUUAAUAGCGGCAACAAACCGGUACACCUUCUAUAUCCUCUCAGAUAAAUGGUAGAUUCCCACAUUGAUCCGUGCCGCUUCUAGCCUUACAUCUAUAAAAUAGAUCACUUUUAUUGAGUCUGCUGCCUUUUUGGUUGUCCACUUGGAUUUUUUUUCUUACAGAACCUUGGGGACCGUGAUAAGAUUUGAAGAUCACUAAGACUUGAUUCUGCAUUAUUUGAUUUAUAAGAUUGUACAUAGGAAUGAUAAAUCACGCUUAUAAUAUCACAACAAAAAAAGGUCAACGAUGACAUGAAUCCGGUAGAAAGGGAUAGCAAGCUGAAGCUAUUUAAAUAUGUUGUCAAAAUAAAUUUUGUAUAUGUAAUGCAUGAAGCCACGAACAACCUCCACGUAAAACUACGACAAUUAGAUAUACAUGAGUGACCACUUAAUUGAUAUUUGAAAUUAUUGUGAUGUUAAUUUCAUGGCCCCGUGAAAGUAUGAAAACCUUAAUUUGCCUAUAAAACAUUUGGGUAUAUACAUAAUAAUCUUGGGCAGGUAGCAACCCUAGUACGUGGGAGCAACUUGGAAGAGCUUUUCUUCCUUGUUCAUAUGUAGUGGUCUCACAAUUUACUGAGGGUCUAAAAAAUCGUAAAACAAAACUGCAAUAAAAUAUCUACCACCACCUGACUAACUUUCCACAACUGAUUUACAUAUAAAGUGGACCAGCCGAGGGCACAAAAGCGAGUUAUGCGGCGGCAUUGAGAAAUUAUAGAGAUUGUGUGAUACAUACCUAGCAGUCUACAAUUGAUCUUGAAGAGUUUGCAUGAGGCACGCCGUGCAUGCGCAGCAACUAGGAGACGAUCUUGUGCAUGCAUUGGGAGGAUUGAUUGAUCUAGGAGGGUUGCAUGCUGUACGCACAUGCGUGGGGUCCAAGAUUCAGACCUGAAACAAUCUUUUGUACGGGCACUGGGAGGAGGUCGACCAUCCUAGGAGAAGCAAAUACUGCGGCCGGCGGCCGGCGGCGACAUGUGACGAUCAGGAUUGCCUGGUAUGAGGGAGCGCGAGAAUUCCAAGGGCAACAUAGGUGCUCUACGGCAGAACCGCAGCCUUGGGAGGGUUGGACUUAUUAGAGCAAAUACAGCCGCGUCCCCAAGAGCCCCCCGGGCCAUUUUUUAGGGCCGACGCCGAAAAAAUGGCCCAACCGCGUCCCCAGAAGCCCAAUUUUCGUCGGAUCGGGCAGAAACUGGCGCCGGCGGAUUCAGACCGAACCCGGCGCAUGGGGCGCCCAGGGGCGCCGGGGGAAUUAAUUUUCGCGCAAAGGAACGGAGGGCCCGCCGAGUCAGCGACCCCCACGCAACGUCGUCCUCAUCGCCUUGGUUUCCCGCGGGGAAUCCAUGCCAAGGCUGCCGCCGGUCAGCCUUCUAUUGAUUCCUCCCGGGCGGGCAGAGCGGCGACACGCCCCCUCCUGCCCACGCGUACACACGUUUGCGGCCCUCCGACGCUAUAAAAGCCGCCCCCCUCCCUGGCCGGUGGACGCACCCGCCCGCAGCACCAUCCUCUCUCGCCGCUGACGCCCUCUCUUCCCCUCUCUCCCCGUCUAGCCAUCGCGUGCACGCUGUCGAUGGGUGAACGGUUGCCCGGCAAUGGGGCUGCGGCCAACGGCUUCGGCCGCCGUUCUCAGCACGAGUCGGAAGCCCACCUCCUCCACGAAGCGAAUUACCCGGCGCCGUCGGNNNNNNNNNNNNNNNNNNNNNNNNNNNNNNNNNNNNNNNNNNNNNNNNNNNNNNNNNNNNNNNNNNNNNNNNNNNNNNNNNNNNNNNNNNNNNNNNNNNNNNNNNNNNNNNNNNNNNNNNNNNNNNNNNNNNNNNNNNNNNNNNNNNNNNNNNNNNNNNNNNNNNNNNNNNNNNNNNNNNNNNNNNNNNNNNNNNNNNNNNNNNNNNNNNNNNNNNGCAACCCGGCAUCGAACACCCCGGCUACUUCCACGCCGAGAUCUACCGGGUUCAUGCCUCGCUGACGGAGGAGGAGCGAGACCACCCGGAGUACUUCACCGACGACCACGCGGACUGGGUGGCGUACUUCCAACACCGGCAGCAGGAGCGGCUCGCCUCCAGCAACAACACGCCAGUGGUACGGGGCGUAACAACAGUGACGGUCACCGCCUGUGGUGGGGCGCCCCCGGCCACACGCUCCACGCCGUUCUCGAGUUCCUCGAGCGCGGCAACGAUCUGCCGCUCGAGUACCUGGCGGCCCCGGCCCCCCGCCGGAGUUGUGGCCCAUGGCUACCGGGGCAUAUGCUGGGUGGGUCUUCCUCCUCCUCCUCCUCCUCUCAAUCCUCCUCCCACUCCUCCGGAUCGCCGACGCUCUUCAGCGUCAAGGCCGAGCCCGUGGAAAAGCCACUCGACUGGCGCACCCACGGCGCCGCCCUCGUCAUCAACGAGGGCGGCCGCACCUCCUCAUGUCCUGCCCCCCGCCUUGUUGGGCCGAGGACGGAGCCGGGGCUCGGCCCCGUGAAGACCAGGCACGACGACAAGGCCGCCAUGAAGUGGGCGCGGGAGGACUGGGCGCGGCUGAAGAUGGAGCGCCGGCGCCGCGCCCUAGAGGACAUCGCCGCUCGACGCCGUGGCCGCGACGAGGGAGGCGCCGUCGUCCUCGACGACAGCGACGACGAGGCGCCGCCGCCGGCCAAACCAGUCCGCCCGGGCGACCCCGGAUAGGGGUCCGGUAGGGACGGCCGCGGCGUGAAGGAGGAGAAGGAGGACGAAGGUGGCGGCGACUUCGGCGUGUUCAGCCAAUUCUUCAGCAUGUAGGCGCGGCAACAGCAAUAUUUUCUUCUUUUUAGUUGACUUUAAGUUUCUAUAUGUAAAAAAACCUGUGGAACGCCUAAAUAUCGCAGAAUCUUUGUCGUGUUUGCCGAAUUUUGGCCGAGUAUGUUUUUGAAAAUAUUUUCAAAAAAACGGCGUCUGGGGGCGGCGGCUGGGAAGCUGAUCACCCCCAUGCUUUUUUCUAGCCCCUAGGGGGUGAACGGCUGGAGAUGCUCUUAGGGUGACGGCCUUGGGAGGGUUGAACGUAGGAGGGCGACGGCCGAACCGCAACCUUGGGACGGUUGGAAGAGCUACGAAGAUCUUGGUUGCUUUUGUCCUUUUUUUUCUUUCUUCAAGUAAAAAAUACGAUCUGGUUGUAGAAUAGGAGAGAGACAUGGUGGUGAAAAACUGCUUUAGUGGCAUUGGUGGGUAAUUUCUUUUCAAUAGAUCCAUAUCUAUUGGUUGUCAUUUUUGUAGACAUUAAAUUGACGGCCAGAUGUUUCUGAUUAACGUAGGAUUUUCUAGAAAAAUCCUCUAUUUUUGACCCGUGUAUUCUUUUAGUAGAUAAUAGAUAACUCAAUCCAUAUGGAGUAGAAAAUAAUAACAAUAGAGCUAGUAAUACUAAUCAUGCGAUUGCAUACUAGCGUAGAACCAACAGAUCUUUGAACUUGACGUGUACAACAAGCACAUAAAGCAAGAGAGAAUGAAUAUAUCAUACCCUCUAGUCGGGGAGGAAUGGACAAAUGUGGCCUUUUUGGUCGCAUUGUAGUUGUCGCCCAUGCUGAGGUCAGCAAUGUCAUGGACGUAGUUGAAGUUGUUGAAGCUGAUGGACGAGGCGAGUAGUCAUGGCGAUACGCUUCCCAAAAAUUGAAUUUCCUUCAAGGGUGCUGUUUAGGAAGCCUUUCUUCCGUACAACUCUUAGUUAAUAAAAAGAAUUAUUCAUUCCAGCUGACAAAAAUAAAGAGUUGUUUCAAAGACUACCUCUCCCAUACAACUCAUAAUUAAUUGGAAAUUAUUUAACCAUUCAAAGUGGAAAAAAGUCGCACAUACGGCAUUGGUCUUUGCCCGGCUAACCUCGUUCCCGAAGCACGCCGCACCAUGAGGGGCGCUCGCGUAUCACUCCUCUUCUCUUGCUCCAACAGACGCAUCAUCCAUUUUGAACAAGCGCAUCAUAGAUUUUAGGUUCCUUAUGAUGGAACCGGCCCACCCAGGCUGAAGUCCUAGACUUGCAUGGGUGCUCGCAUAUUUUCUAGAUGCGUUUCAGGCUGCUGCCGACUAUUCUUUCGGUGCUAUGACUUGUCCGUCGACUAUAGGAUGCUUUUGAUGAAUUUUUAAUUUCAAGAUUUGUUGCUCGGUCUCUCUAUCACAGAUGCUCAUAGUGAUAAGGUGCACGUGUAUGUUCAUAGGUUAGAGUGUGCUCUCAUGUUGUGAGCGCCUUCGUCUGUACAAUUUUUUCUUUUUCAAAAAAAUUAUCCACUUCCUAUGUAAGACGGGACUCUCAUUCACAUGAUGACACCAUACAUGGUUCUAUGAGAUUUGUCCACAAAAUAAAAUGAUAUAUGGGCUGAAAGCUGAUGUAUAUUUUCACAUUAUUUUGACCAAAUUCUAUCCAAAAAAUAUGUGUAGGCCUUAUGAACACGAACUGAAAAAGUAUGGUAAUAGUUUCUCGUUAACUAAAUUUUCUAUUAACUGUCACAGGGUUGCAAUCUUUGCUAAAAAUAGAAAGGGUGUUUACCUUUGGAACUGGCAGACCAAUGAGAAAAUAGGAGAAUGUAACUCUGGUGUUGAUAUAUUGGGAUCUGAUUGUGAUGGAGAGAUGCUCGUGACCAAAUUUAUCUCUAGAAAGCAAUGGGUCGUAAUCGGGAACUCAGACGGGUUUAUCCUUGUGUGCACGUGUCCUUCAAUGGACCAAGUCACACAUUUCAAAGCUCACCGUGAUAGUCUCGGUUUAUUGGCAGUUCACCCAACUCGCCCGUUCCUGUUGUCGUGUAACAACAUGAAGAUGAAGAUUUGGGACUGGAACCGUGGCUGGUCUUGUAUUGGAAAAAUUCAUAGCACUAGCCGGGUGACACAAGUCAUGUUUAACCCCAGGAAUACUAACGAUUUCGCUACUCACCAUCAUGAUGGGAUUGUCAAGGUUUGUCUUCCUUAUCAACCUUUUCAUUCUUCAUUUACUCGCUUGUAUUAUACUGUAAUGAAUAAUCUAACUCAUUAGUUGUCCUUGUCCCGGGUAUCAUAAAUAAUAUAGAUGUGGAGAAUUGAUCAUCCCGACCCCGUCGGCACAACGCACCGCCUACAUGACAUGUAUGAGACUGCUAGCAGCUCUUUCACUUACACGGGUGAUCGGUAUUUCAUUGCUGCCAUCCACAACAGCAAGAAUGUUGCGCUGACCGUAAGGGCAUUGAUACCACUGACCGUAUAGAACACGUGGACUAAAACACACACGUCACUAAUCUGUGUACAUCUUUUUCCCCCCUUUUUUGUUGGGUUGAACCAGAUAUGGGAUUUGCAGAAAGAAGAACAUGUCUACACACUCACCACUGACGAGGUGACUGCUGCCGCCGUUUGCCAUCCAACACUUCCAGUAUUAGUUACGGUUUCAAAUGGCGGGACUAUUCAUGUGUGGGACUCCACUACCUACAGGUAUGUAAUACUACUCGUACAUCUGGUUUUAUUUAUUUAGUUUUCAAAACAACACUGAUCCACGAAUUCAGUUCAGACUAUUUUCCAGUACUACUAGACUUGAUCUCCCUAUAUGUCCCUUGGUGUGGAAAUAUAUCUUGCUAUCCCAUGUAUCUAAUUGUGAUAUAACAUUCUGGGCAUUAAGGUUAGGGUCGUUUCCUUAAGAAACAUUCAGUACAGCCUGAAGCACGUACACACACUCGUAUCUUUUUCCAACCGGGCCACCACCCCUUUCCAUUAGCACACACUCACUCAUAUAGUGUAACUACAACAUAUAUAUGAUAUAUUAUGAUGCUAGAAGAUGCAACUAACCAUGGACUUCUGACGUUUACAGGCUUAAGAAGGUCUAUGAGAAUUGUCCAAAGGACCCUAUUCAUAUCGGUUUUACAGGCUCAGAAAGGUAACCGAAUUUCUCAUCAAGUUUUUACCUGCUUAAUAUCAUGGCUUCUAUGAAAUAAUAAAUCUGUAUGUACACAUAAGGGGACACUAAGACUAAGUUGGACAAAACAAAUUUUACAUUAAUUGGAUAUGUACUAUCUUUUCCAAGGUUUUUGUCUGAAUGUGUUGUGUUCCACAAACCAGGAAUUUCGCAGUAUCAUUCCCAUGAAUCUAUGAAAGUUCUUGUAUCAUGGAAACAGUCUCUACGCAGGUGUAACUUAGAUAUGUAGAAUUACUGAAUGGUCCUUAGUAAAUCAUAGAGUAGGAUCGUGGCAAUUAUAUAUAGCUAGCCUUUUAGUUUUCGCUGCCUGUAUUAUGUCUGCAGUACUAAAUUUUGCCUUUUCUCAAACAUUUAAUCCGGAAUGUCUCAAUCAUGUAGGCUUGUGAUUGGACAUAGCAAGGGAAUAUCAGUAUUGGAUAUUGAUCUGGAAUAGGAGGUGGAUCUCAGUGAUGCCUGCACAGAGUGUAGUGUUCCGGUUAUAUAUCUCUUUGAAUUAGCUCUCAUCAAUUCAAAUUCAAAAUUUCAGUUUAUAUGUAAGUUUAUUUGCCGCAACAGGCUGACCUAAUUCCCUAUGUAACUGCUCUGCCUCUGGAUUGAAUUACAAUUACACCAUCAUUUUGGUCGACGUAUACUGUAACUCACUGAUAUUGUGAUGAUUGCAUCCAUAAAUUGCUGCACAUUCAUUCCGUAUGCAUUUAUAUUUUGUCAGUUCUAGUACUCCCUCCAUUCCAAAAUAUAGUGCGCCCGCGCUUUCCGAGGUCCAACUUUGACCGUAAAUUUAACCAACUAGACCAACUGCGGCGGGAGAAAAAAUUAUAUAAUUGAAAACUUCUUUCGAAUACGAAUUCACUGAUAUAAUUUUUGCUCCCGCCGCAAUCGGUCUUGAUAGUUAAAUUUACGGUCAAAAUUGAAGCACGUGGAUAGAGGAAGCACUAUAUUGUGGAAUGAAGGGAGUAUCAAAUAGGGGCGGCACUGCGCAUCUGCUUUUUCUUUUGCCAGUGGCAUCGCUACUAGCUGUGGAACAGCACUUUGCUCGUCAAGCGGCCUCCCUGCUGACAUGAAAAGUUGAAGGAUCAUCCCUCUGCAGUUUGGCCGUCCACAUCUCCAUCCCCAUGUACUAGUACUGAAGGGGCCGCACACAGGUAAGGUAUACUCCACCCCUGUCGCCAGGCCUUUAGCCUGCACGUAACCUCUUCAUCUAGUGGCGGAGACCCAAAUAUUUUCUUCCGGCAGACCCAGACACCAACUUGGCAAUUGUCCGAGCGUCACUGGUGAUGUCUUCCCGUCAGGGUAUUCAACACCAAAAACUGUGCUCCGUGUAAGAGCAUCUCUAGCCGACCCCAUAAAGGCUAUAGAGGAGUAAAAUUUGCAUCCGGCACCUAGCCAAAGUACUAAACUGAAUAGUGGACGCCUAAAAAAGUAAAAAUACUCAGCUGCGACCGCGCAGUGUAUGACAGCUGUUGACAUGGCCACCAGUCUGGACACCCAUGCAAACAGAGAAAGGCAAACAGAUUCCUCUUCACAUUGUCCUUGGAUUCAUUUAGCACGAUGUUUUUGACUUAUUUCUGUUUUUCUCGUCUACAUUUCCUACACAUUCAAGAGUUUGUAUUGCAAAUGAUUCACUGGGGCGGGGCCUUCCUAUACGACGACUUAAAAUAGUACAGCAGCACUGCGCUGGCUCCCUUUAUUGAACCGUCCCCUACGUUAGCGGCUGUAGACAGAUAUCUGGGAUGCUUUCUUUGGCCACCCGGCCGGUGCCACAGCCCUACUCUGGCCUUCACAAGAUAUACCUGUGUGGUUCACAUUAUUUGUUAACGACGCACGUGAGCAGCAGCAGAGGAACAAUUGCAGAUGCACAUUUGUGAUUUGCUUCCCGGAAGGAAGUGAAUCAAAUGCAACACUUGCCUACCAGUAAUUCUGAGUUUCUGACACUCUGAAGCGAUCAAGACCGCGCCUCUUUCGCAGCUAACUUAUCAGGUGUCCGUUUGUUUCCCUACAAGCAUCCCAUAAUCAGAGCAUCUCUUGCGUAUGUAGCUUGCCACCAAGACCCCCAAAAGCAGUUACAUCACCAGCUCACCAUAUAACUGUACUAGCAAGUGCAAUCAUAAUUCCGUGAGUAUUGAAACGGUGAAAGUUGAUCUGUUUGGUUUUUCAAAACCUUGACCGGAUGUCAGUACAACAAAAACAGGUGGAAGCAGGUGCUCCCUUUGUGCGAUGCGGAAAACGUCUUACCUCGCAGAGAGGGGACGCGUACAUGUUAUAUGCAGGGGUGCGAAACCCUGGUAGCGCAUACAGUUGGGAUCGAUCUCAUCCGGGAGAGAAGAUCUCGUACAGGUACAGGAGGUUACAACUUGGAGUCCAAGCUAGCUAGAGAUAGAAUUAUGAGCUAGAGAUAAACCUCCUAUCCUAACUACCAAGAUACAUACAACUCCCGCUAAGAUACGUCACAUGUGACGCGCACAAUGAAGGUACACAUACGGCUUGUUUAACACCCUCCCUUAAUCACAACUUCAUCAAGUUGAGAUUAUGCUUGAAGUCGUCAAAGCUUCUUGUAGGCAAAGGCUUUGUGAAUCCAUCUGCAAGUUGAUCUUUGGAGUGCACAAAGCGUAUAUCAAGUUGCUUCUGAGCAACUCUCUCUCUGACAAAAUGAAAGUCUAUCUCUAUGUGUUUUGUUCUAGCAUGGAACACUGGAUUUGCAGAGAGAUACGUAGCUCCAAGGUUAUCACACCAUAAACAAGGUGCCUAUUUACUUCGUAUGCCAAGUUCCUUCAACAUUGAUUGAACCCAUAUGAUCUCUGCUGUGGCAUUUGCCAAUGCUUUGUAUUCUGCCUCUGUGCUUGACCUGGAUACGGUUGCCUGUUUACAUGCACACCAUGAUAUCAAAUUAGGUCCAGAAAAUACUGCAAAACCACCAAUGGAACGUCUGUCAUCAAGACAACCUGCCCAGUCAAAGUCAGAGAAUGCACUGACUAAAGUGAAUGGUGAUUUGCUGAAGUUCAGUCCUAAGCUCAGAGUGUGCUUAACAUAUCGAACUAUGCGCUUUGCAGCUGUCAGAUGAACAUUAGUAGGUGCAUGGAGGAACUGGCAGACUUUAUUAACAGCAGAAGAAAUAUCAGGCCUGGUAAGUGUGAGAUACUGAAGGGCUCCUACCAGACUCCUGUAUUUGGUGCUGUCUUCUUGACUUAAGGGCUCGCCUUCUGCAAGGGAUAGCUUUUCUGAGCUGGACAAUGGAGUAAGAGAGGGUUUACAUCCUUGUAGCCCAGCUUUCUUGACCAAGUCAGUGGCAUACUUUUCUUGAGAGAGAACAAGUCCAUCCUUGUGCUUUUUCACCUCAAUCCUAAGAAAAUAAUGCAAAUCACCAAGAUCCUUUAAAGCAAAGUCUGCACUCAAAUCCUUAAGAAGUCCUGUGAUUGCUUUAUCAGAUGAGCUAGUCACAAUAAUAUCAUCAACAUAUAUGAGAACAAAUAUGCAUGUGUUGGACUUGUUGUAGAUAAACAAUGAUGUGUCAGACUUGGACGGAACAAAACCAAGUGCUUGCAUUUUGUGACAGAGGCGAGCAUACCAUGCCCUUGGAGCUUGCUUUAGUCCAUACAAUGCUUUAUCAAGCUUGCACACAUAAGAAGGAGCAUUCUUACUCUCAAACCCAGGAGGUUGUUUCAUAUAUACUUCCUCUUCCAGAACACCAUGGAGAAACGUGUUCUGAACAUCCAGCUGUCUGAGACUCCAUCCUCUAGAGACAGCAAUAGAUAAGACAAGGCGAAUAGUGGCAGCCUUUACUACUGGACUGAAGGUAUCCUCGUAGUCUAUGCCAUACCUCUGUUUGAAGCCUUUUGCAACCAAUCUAGCCUUGUAACGAUCAAUGGUUCCAUCAGCUUUCCUCUUUAUCCUGAAAACCUACUUGCAAUCGAUCAAAUUUUUACCUUGCUGUGGGGGAACCAGGUGCCAUGUUUUGUUUUUCAUCAAUGCCAUGUACUCUUCAUGCAUGGCUUUCUUCCACUUUUCAUCACACAAUGCUGCUUCAAGGGUGUUAGGCUCAUCUGGUUCACCUGUGGAACAAACCAUACCAUACUUGGUUAUAUGCUUGUAAUUAACAGGUUGAAUUACCCCUUGUUGCAGCCGUGUACGUCGUGGUUGGGAAACAUCAGGAUCGGUGGCCACAGAAGAUCCUGCAGGCUGCUCAUGUGUGACUACAUCUGAUCCCGAUGAAGAUGCUGCUUGAUUUUCUGCGCCUAACUGUUGAAGCGGAGUACGUGAGUUUGCCGCAGAGGAUCCCGCUUGAGCAUGUGCAUGUGCAUGCAGAUCAUCAUGGCGUGAUGAUGGCGUAUCCGCCUGAACCUCCACGCCGGUCGGGCCCUCCCUGCGUCGCGCGUCACCGCGCCGCGUGUACGUCACCGGAUUGGUGGCGUACCUCGUACCGCAGGUUGACAGGGACCGGUGCGGGGCCGCCUCCGCCCGACCGCACGGGGAUCGAUGCGAGAACGCGUCCGCCCGACCGCGUCCGUCACGUGGAUUGAGGGACAGCGUGGCGCGCGCGCCCGCGCCUGGGCCUGCUCCCGCAGCUGUCACGCCUACUCCCGCGGCUGUCGCUGCCCCGUCAGCAUGGAGAAAUCCCGAGGCGCCUGUACCUGCCGCGUUCGCAGGAACCGAUCCCGAGGCGGAUCCGGUUCGCUGCAGAUGGGCAGAUCCCAAGGCGGAUCUGUUUCCCUCGGGGAGGCACAUGAAAUACGGCUCAAUAGGCGCCGUUUUUUCUGCAUUUUCUGCAUCUGCUCCUGUAGUUGCCGCGCUGCUUUGUUCUGUUGCAUCAACACAAAACUCAUGCACAUCAUUAGAUGGGUUAGUCAAUAGAUCAUCAAUAUUUUGUCCCCCUUGAUCAAAACUAGUGAGAUGAGAGGGCAAAAGAAGGAUUUCUUUGCGAAGGAGUGCACCAGCAUUGGGAUGGAGGUCAGCAAACGGAAAUUCUGUUUCAUCAAAGACCACAUCUCGUGAGAUGUAGACACAGCCAGUGGAGACAUCUAAACACUUGACCCCUUUAUGCUGUGCACUAUACCCUAGGAAGACGCACUGUUUUGAGCGAAACAUGAGUUUGCGGUUGUUGUAGGGACAAAGGUUGGGCCAACAUGCACACCCAAACACACGGAGAGACUUAUUGUCUGGUUUAUUACGAAGAAGUCGUUCUACUGGAGUUUCAUUGUUAAUGACACGACUAGGUAGCAUGUUGAUAAUAUGAACAGCUGUGAGAAAAGCUUCGUCCCAGAACUUGAGAGGCAUGGAUGCCCUGCUAAAAGAGCAAGACCAACCUCGACAAUGUGCCUAUGCUUGCGUUCGGCAGAACCGUUUUGUUGGUGAGCAUGCGGGCAGGACACAUGAUGUGAGAUGCCAAGAUUUUGGAAGAACGAAUUUAAUUUUUCAUAUUCCCCUCCCCAAUCAGAUUGGACAGCAACUAUCUUGCUAUCAAACUUUCGUUCAACUAGUGCUUGAAAGUUUUGGAAAACUUGAAACACAUCGGAUCUCUUUUUGAGGAGAUAUAUCCACGAGAAUUUGCUAUAGUCACCAAUAAAACUGAGGUAAUAUGUGUGUCUACCAACGGAGGUAGGGGCUGGACCCCAUACAUCGGAAAAAAUAAGUUGCAGAGGUUUAGUAGAAACACUAGUUGAGAUGGGAUACGGUAAUUGAUGACUUUUAGCUCGCUGGCAUGAAUCACAAAUUGUUUCAACAUGACGCUCACCAACAAAUGGGAGCUUAUUUUUCCUAAGCAACUUUUCUACUAAAGAAAAAGAGGCAUGUCCUAGACGGUCGUGCCAUCGUGUGGACGAAAGCUUGAUAGCACCACAAGCUUGUUUAUUGAAUCUUCGAAACUCCGAAAUCAACGGAUAGAGCCCUCGAACACAUCUACCUCGAUAGAGGAUUUUCCUCGUGACCUGAUCCUUAAUCAAGAAGAAAAAAGGAUGAAAUUCGAGAAGAACAUUAUUAUCAAGGGCAAUUCUAUGAACGAAAAGAAGAUUUUUGUGUGCACUAGGGACAUGCAAGAUUUUCUUAAUGUGUAGUUUUCGACUAGGGGUACGAAAUAUAGAGUGACCAAUGUGACUUAUACCCAUACCUUCUCCGCUAGCAGUAUGAAUUUGAUCUUUGCCGCGGUAUUUUUCCUUCAUGGUGACCUUCUCAAGCUCGUUCCUGAUGUGGUUUGUGGCACCGCUAUCGACGUACCAAUUGGUGUCAAUACCGUAGGAACCAUCAGCGGCAGCAGCUACCUUGUCAUCAUCUUGGGAGUCCUCAUACUCAUCAUAGCGGUACCAGCAAUCCUUAGCUAUGUGACCUGGCUUCCCGCAGAUUUGGCAUCGCGGGGUUUCUGGACGCGUUCGGUUUCCUCCACCGUGCCCGCGCCCGCGCCCGCGACCACCCGAGCGCUGAGGAGAGUGGCCGCGAUCGUUGCCGCUGCCAGCAAAUCGCCCUUUGUAGCGCGAGGAGCCACGUGAGCGGGAGCCACCACCCCGGCCGCGCGACGCCAGGUUUGCAGAAGAUUUGAACCAACCGCUGGAUCCACUGAACUGUGCCAUGCGCUGGUCGAAGUUCGACAGCAUGGCGAAGAGCUCAUCGAGGGUUGCAGGAGUAACACGGGCGUCGAGGGCCGAUACCAGUGGCUGGUAGUCCGCUCCAACCCGUGGAUGAUGUACGAGAGAAGCUCGUCGUCCUGGAUGGGCUUGCCCGCCGCGGCCAGCUAGUCGGCAUAGCCACGCAUGGCGGCGAAGUAGGAGGCAACCGAGAGGUUACCCUUCUGCGCGUUGAUGAGGGAGGUGCGUAUGUUGUUGAUGCGACUCGCCGAUUGGGACGAGAACAUGGCCGCGAGCAUCGUCCAGAGCGCGCCCGCCGUGGUGACCGUGGUCACCGUGACCAGGACCUCCUUCGUGAGGUUAUUCAGCAGGUAGCCAAGGACCUGCUGGUCCUCCCGUACCCAUAUAGGGUGGAGAGGGUUGGGCGAUGAAGUCUCCUUGCCCUCCUUGACGGUGACGAGGAGCUUCGCCGGCUCCGGGUUGGUGCCGUCGACGUAGCCGAAGACGCCGGCGCCGCGCAGCUGAGGUGUGAUCUGCGUGCGCCAUAGCACGUAUUUCGUGCGUGAUAGCUUCUCUGUGACCUGAUUGUUGAGGCUUGGAGAGAAGGCGCUGGAGGAAGACAUGGCUAGGCUAGAUUGGUUUGACAGAAGCUCUCGAUGGGAAAAGGAAAGGCUCUGUUACCAUGUGCGAUGCGGAAAACGUCUUACCUCGCAGAGAGGGGACGCGUACAUGUUAUAUGCAGGGGUGCAAAACCCUGGUAGCGCAUACAGUUGGGAUCCAUCUCAUCCGGGAGAGAAGAUCUCGUACAGGUACAGGAGGUUACAACUUGGAGUCCAAGCUAGCUAGAGAUAAACCUCCUAUCAUAACUACCAAGAUACAUACAACUCCCGCUAAGAUACGUCACAUGUGACGCGCACAAUGAAGGUACACAUACGGCUUGUUUAACACCCUUUACAGAUAUGACUUCGACUUAGUUGUUAAACCCUCCAAUAAAAUCCAGUUUCCGACGAGGUCCAUCUGACAUUGCUGUUUCUUUCACCUAGGUCGCUUAUCUUUUCCUAAUUCUAGAUAUGACAGUUAGUUUGGAACAUUAUUAGAGUUGCGCUCAUGCAUUACUAUAAUUAAACAGGGUUCCUCUAAACAACUGAUUUCACAUAGUAGCACAGAGCAGGUGCAAAAACUGUGGUGGACCGAUCCGGCAGGUCAGGUUCUUCCAGAACUGAGACCAUCUAUAUCUCAACACAAAUUCGAGCCGAGUUUACAAACCAUAACCCACAAUGAGGUGAAGUUGUAUCUCAGAAUUUCUGAUGCAGUACAUUAUACAAACAAUCUGCCAAAUGCACUACAUACAAUGCAUCACACCGUGCAUCACUCGGAAAACAGAAAAACUAACACCAUGCCGUCAUAAUUAAGCACAAAACAGAGUAUUUGUAUUUAAGAAUGGUAAACAUGCAUUGUCAGACUUUACUGGUGUUGUUUGAGAGAGAAGAGCGUCUUGAAGAUGCCCACUAGAACACCAGCCACGGAGAAGACAGCGACAAUGGUUUUGAAGUUGUUGUAGAUGAACCUGUGCAUCUUGAUCCACAUCCACCUUUUGACCUUGUAGUCCUCCAUGCGCAAAAAGAAGCGGAUGUACGAGCUGCCCGCAGGAAGGUGCUUAGAAACACUUUUGAAGAACUCGAGCAUCUCUUUGUUUGUGAGUACUCCAUGCAGAAGAUGCUUCGUUCGUAGCUCGUGCACAUCCUCCUCACGAUCCAUGAGCAUCAAAAGGAGGGCGAGGUACGAGCAGACAGCCAACUCUUCAUCAUGACGUAGAUCCCCUGAGAUCGUGCAUAUCUCAAAAGCCGCCAUGUUUACAAGCCAACAUGCGCCUAUGUUGCUCAGCGCUAGGGGCGUCAUGAAAAGCUCGCCAAAGAGGUGGCCUUGGUUGAUGCCGAUUUCUGUGAAACUUCCAGUCUUGAUGGCUUGCAGCUUGAUGCCAAUUUCUGCAAGCUCGAGGGCAGUUGUAGAUAAUGAAAUUGUUUUUUUCUUGGUUGAUGGUAUAUGUCUUCUCAUAGGGCCGGGGUUAGGCUUAGCAACCGUUCGCGCGUUCAAGAGUUUCAAUGUUGAAGAAAACAUUUGCUUUGCCCUGAUGGGGGCUUUCAAACGAUUCAAUGUUGAAAAUACUUGAUUGAAGCAGGCCUUCUUGUUGACUUUGAUGGUUGUCCUGCUGCUUGUUUUGUUGAAUCGGACGAGACCAAGGAGAUGGGGUGGCCUGUACUUCUCAUCCAAGUAUGAAAUGUUUUGUUCUGGUAUAGUAUGAUACAUGUUUGUGAGACCUUCUCCCAUUACUGAAAUUGUCUUGUUCACUUGCGCGGACACAAACCCAAAGGUUAGGAUGGUUUCCAUAACUAGCCAAGGAACUUGGUCCUCCAGCAACAUUACAUCAUUAUAGAUAUGCAGUUUGUUGGAGUGAAAAACAUAUAGCAACUCUGGACAUAGAAGCUGCUCAUCGCCCAUAAUAAUCAUAAACUCAAGCAAGAAACAAGCAUCAUAGAACAUCAUAGCCUCAAAGUCAGCAUGACUUAUACCUGUCACCGCGUCAUCAGCGUAGAGGCGGUGGGCCUUGUCCGCAACCUUGACGACAGCCCCAUAGAUCUCCUCAAGCGAGUGGCCUGACCCAUUGAUGAAGUGGUGGGCAGCCACAUGCUUCACCUUCUCCAUCUGCCGGAGGUGGGGUGAGUCAUGGUGGUAAGGGCCGAUGGCCACGACCCUUGGCACAAUGUACUGGCUGCCGAGACCGUGUAGGCUUGCAGGGAACCCGCAGGGAACCUAUGCAUCUUAUCUUGUCUCUUGUGGAAAUCAACCUUGAGGUCACCUGCUCUACUUUCCUCAAGUACUGCUCCUCAACCGAAGCCGGUACUGCUGCAUCUGUAAAGACCACGAUGUGCUCAUCAUUCAACUUGCUGGCGGCUACAACUAGGAACCACCGGCACAUCUGUAAUCUCAGAGGGGGAAGCAGCCUUGAACUCUUGAGCUGUUUUCUUCAGGUAUUCCUCAACCGGAGCAGGUACUGCUUCUACUGAUUCCACGGCUUCCAUCCUCGAACUAAUUUGCUGGAUGGGUUAGGAGUGCCACACAGAUGUGUUAUAUCCCAGAGGAGAAAUCAAAUUGCUAGAACUAGCAUCGUUUCCAAACUAGAAAAGCAAAGUAUCGACGAACAGAUUAACAAACAAGAUGCGAAGAUGGCACUUCCACUGUCCUGUUGGAGUACUAUACUAGUGCAAAUGGUAUUAGCUUUUCCACUACGAAAAAAUGUAUAUUCUGAAUCUAAUUAACCACUCUUUAGCUUGUCCCCAUCAGCAUGGUGAGCUCGCCUAUGCUAACCACCCUUUCCGUUUAUAAGUUUGCUAAUUCCAAGGUAAUUCAGGGUUAGCCAAGGCCAUCCUGAACCGUAGAGUGUAGACUAUUGGCAAAAUAUCAUAAAGUUCUGCAGCACUUGAAUUGAAUCAUAAAUUCUUUGUAGAUGUGGAACAGUACAGCUGUUUGUAGAACUGACCAGUGCAAAACUAAGUCAUAUUUCUUGCAUCCCAACAUGAAAACAAAAUUAUCAAAAUAACAUACAUAUAAAUGAUGACUGAUUCUAAGAGUGCUCAACAAAUUAAGUGCUUAGAGCACUAACCUGGAAGAAGAUUAGAGAUAUCCCAUCUAGCUUCUGAUCAAGAGAACACCCAAGCUGGUAUUGCCUCACAAGGAAAAAAGCAAGCAAGGGAAAGGGGAAGAAGAUAUUGGCUUGACCUCUCGGUGCCAGGUUGCUUCCUAUAAAUGAAUAGAUGGGGGCAAUGUUGGAAGAAAUGAGGUCUCAAAAAAAAUGUUGGAAGAAAUGUGAGCAGGUAUGCUCCAGAUCUUGUGACCUUAGAUUCAAGAUUUUCAUUCUUAUUAUUAAGAGACUAGCUAGUCUCCAAAUAUUAAGAAUCUUAAUUAAGGGUGGGUGAUAUGUACAUGUGAUGGUUACUGAUUACCACAUUAAGGGCAUUAGACUAUCAUUAUCAUUAUUAAUUGACAACGAGGAUCAUGAAGACCCUUCCUCCCUUAAUGGUUAUCGUUGGCCUCCUCUAAGGUGAAAGAAGAUAAUAACGGGAUACAUGCAGCCCGCAGCCGGCCAUAUGUGAAGUUCUUCUCCCUAGUUUCAAAUCGGGCAUAUACAAAAGAAACGGUUUAAGAGCUGGCCUAGAACUUACCAAGAAGAAGUGUAGGGAUGCCAGCUAGUUUCUGCUCAGAAAAUACCAAGCUAGUAAGUAUUGCGGGGUGAUUGAUGAUCGUUGUUUUAUAUAUAAAGCGGGGCAAAAGCCUUUUCGGUAAGUAGGAGAAAGGGUAGGAAGUGGCUGGACCAACCUAGCGUACCAGGUUGCAUAUAUAGAAAUGAUUUUAAUUAGGUGUGCGUGAAAUUGUUUCAUUGGAAUCAAGAUUAAUUAAGACGAGCAGACAGUCUAGUCUCUUUACGUUUAGCAGCUCAAUUCAUCAUAUUGUCAACCUUACCGGUUACCACAUUAAGGAACAUGUGGUGGUACCAAUUAACACGUUAAUGAACAUUAGACUAUGGGCACGUGAUAAAGUAUUCCGGAUGUAUUUAAGAAGACCAAACAUAGUAGUGUCUUUAAAUUUAGCAGGAUAACUUACCCUAGGGCCUACGGUGGGUCUGUUGUUGGAUGUGAUGGCUACCAACAACCAUGCUAAGAGACGUUAGACUAUUAUUAGUACUCCCUCCGUUCCUAAAUAUUUGUUUUUCUAGACAUUUUAAAUAACUACUACAUACGGAUGUAUGUAGACAUAUUUUAGAGUGUAGAAUCACUCAUUUUGCUUCGUAUGUAGUCACUUUUAAAAAUGCCUAGAAAGACAAGUAUUUAGGAACGGAGGGAGUAGUAAUUAUUGGGUAGACGGGGAAUUAUUCAAUGCUGAUGACGGUGUAAACUAAUCCUCCAUGAUUGUCAUUGUUUGAGCUUCUCAGAGGUGAAAAGAGAUAAAAACCAGGUAUACAUACUUGCUGAGCAUAUAUAUAGAAAGAUUUAAGAGCCGGCUGGAGCACUAACCGAGUAGGUGUAGAGGUGCCCGCUAGUUGCUGGCUGCUGCUCAGAAAAGACCCAAUAUUCCCGCAAAAAAAAAGACCCAAUAUGUCUAGUACUGCUUCAGAAGGAGAACAUCCAAGUAGUAGAAGAAAGAGACAAAAUGCACCGAUUACUGCGUCAAGGAGCGGAAACAUGUCGUUGUUGGGUCGACGGGGAUUAGUCAAUUCGGGCAACUUGCGUUGCUGAGCUGUUUUAAGUUUGAAGUUGGCAGUUUUCAUUGGUAUUGGAAGAGCGACCUAUGCUAGUUAAUGUUCACUUGUAGUGGUGAAAAUGUUGCCUGAAGAACAGCUGGCAAUAUUUUGUUGCACAGAUGCUUGAUUUGCUAUCCUGAAUCCUGAUGCACGAUUUAAACAAGGAGGUACAAUUCCCAGUGAAAGUAGGUGUUUCGAAGAAAGAAAAACUCGGAUCGGUUGGUAAUGAAAUAGUACCUGAGAUUUGUAGUCAGAAUUAAACCCCGGUCCUCGUCUACCAAAGCUCUGCUCUUGAUAAGGAAAGGCGCUACAAUGAAUGGUUGGCCCGCCAUCUCUUCUUGGAAGAAAGGCGAUGCCGGCCGGUGUGCUCAGCAGCGUGCCACCGCUGCGUCGACGAGGCCCACUGCCAUCAUCUAUCAGCUAGCCUGAAAGAAGCCUGGUCUGCCAUGGCCGCUGCGGCGGGAUGCGGAGGAGCAGGUCGGCGGGAGCUCGUCCGCCGGUGGUCUUGAGGUGAGUUAUUUACCGAAAACCAUCACACUUGAGGUUAGGGUAACAGAUUGGUACCACAUUUGAAUCAGGGCAUAAAAAACCACCGGUUGACUAAACUUCUCUCACGAGCAAGACAUGAUCAUACCUUUGUACUCUUUGGGUGUUAAUCACAUAGCGAUGUGAACUAGAUUAUUGACUCUAGUAAACCUUUUGGGUGUUGGUCACAUGACAAUGUGAACUAUGGGUGUCAAUCAUAUACAGAUAUGAUUAUUGGUGUUAAAUCACAUGGCGAUGUGAACUAGAUUAUUGACUCUAGUACAAGUGGGAGACUGAAGGAAAUAUGCCCUAGAGGCAAUAAUAAAGUUAUUAUUUAUUUCCUUAUUUCAUGAUAAAUGUUUAUUAUUCAUGCUAGAACUGUAUUAACCGGAAACAUAAUACAUGUGUGAAUACAUAGACAAACAUAGUGUCACUAGUAUGCCUCUACUUGACUAGCUCGUGAAUCAAAGAUGGUUAAGUUUUCUAGCCAUAGACAUGAGUUGUCAUUUGAUUAAGGGGAUCACAUCAUUAGGAGAAUGAUGUGAUUGACUUGACCCAUUCCGUUAGCUUAGCACUUGAUCGUUUAGUAUGUUGCUAUUGCUUUCUUCAUGACUUAUACAAUGUUCCUACAACUAUGAGAUUAUGCAACUCCCGUUUACCGGAGGAACACUUUGUGUGCUACCAAACGUCACAACGUAACUAGGUGAUUAUAAAGGUGCUCUACAGGUGUCUCCGAAGGUACAUGUUGGGUUGGCGUAUUUCGAGAUUAGGUUUUGUCACUCCGAUUGUCGGAGAGGUAUCUCUGGGCCCUCUCGGUAAUACACAUCACUUAAGCCUUGCAAGCAUUGUAACUAAUGAGUUAGUUACGGGAUGAUGUAUUACGGAACGAGUAAAGAGACUUGCCGGUAACGAGAUUGAACUAGGUAUUGGAUACCGACGAUCGAAUCUCGGGCAAGUAACAUACCAAUGACAAAGGGAACAACGUAUGUUGUUAUGCGGUUUGACCAAUAAAGAUCUUCGUAGAAUAUGUAGGAGCCAAUAUGGGCAUCCAGGUUCCGCUAUUGGUUAUUGACCGAGAAUAGUUCUAGGUCAUGUCUACAUAGUUCUCGAACCCGUAGGGUCCGCACGCUUAACGUUAUGAUGACAGUUUUAUUAUGAGUUUAUAAGUUUUGAUGUACCGAAGUUUGUUCGGAGUCUUGGAUGUGAUCACGGACAUGACGAGGAGUCUCGAAAUGGCCGAGACAUAAAGAUUGAUAUAUUGGACGACUAUAUUCGGACACCGGAAGAGUUCCGGGUGAUUUCGGAGAAAACCGGAGUGCCGGAGGGGUUACCGGAACCCCCCGGGGAAGUAUUGGGCCUUAGUGGGCCUGAGGGGAGAGAGAGGGCAUCAGCCCAGGAGGUGGCGCGCCCCCUCCCUUGGGGAGUCCGAAUUGGAGUAGGGGAGGGGGGGCACGGCCCCUCUUUCCCUCUCCCUCUCCCUCUCUUUCCUUCCCCCUUCCUCCUUCCUAGUUGGACUAGGAAAGGGGAGUCCUACUCCCACUAGGAGGAGGACUUCCCCCUCCUUGGCGCGCCCCAAGGGCCGGCCGGCCUCCCCCCUUGCUCCUUUAUAUACGGGGGCGGGGGAGCACCCCAAAGACACACAAGUUGAUCUACGGAUCGUUCCUUAGCCGUGUGCGGUGCCCCCUUCCACCAUAUUCCACCUCGGUUAUAUCGUCGCGAAGCUUAAGCCCUGCGCCGGUAGAACAUCAACAUCGUCACCACGCCGUUGUGCUGACGGAACUCAUCUCCGGAGCUCGGCUAGAUCGGAGGCCGGAGAUCGUCAUCGAGCUGAACAUGUGCUGAACUCGGAGGCCCCGUACGUUCGGAGCUUGGAUCGGUCGGAUCGUGAAGACGUACGACUACAUCAACCGCGUUAUCAUAACGCUUCUGCUUACGGUCUACGAGGGUACGUGGACAUACACUCUUCCCUCUCGUUGCUAUGCCAUCACCAUGAUCUUGCGUGUGCGUAGGAAAUUUUUUGAAAUAAAACCCAACAGGCUCAGCUUCUUCCCGCAUUACCGGCUCAGCUUCUUCCCCCAUUGUUGUAUCAUCGUAUUCAGGGAACCCAUGGCCAGGAUAGUUGUCAUCGUCCUCUUCUUCUUCAUUGUCUUCCAUCAUAACCCCUCUUUCUCCGUGCUUGGUCCAAACAUUAUAGUGGGGCAUGAAACCGGACUCAAAUAGGUGGACGUGAAUGGUUCUUGACGUAGAGUAAUUGUGACCAUUCUUACAGCUAGCACAUGGACAAGGCAUAAAACCAUCCGCCCGCUUGUUUGCCUCAGCCGCAAGCAGAAAAGUAUGCACGCCCUCAACGAACUGGGGAGAGCAUCGGUCAUCGUACAUCCAUUGCCGGCUCAUCUUCAUUACACAACACCGAAUAGACCAAAUUAAUACAAGUUCAUACAUAAAGUUCAUACAACACUUAAAUGCAACAAACAAAUAACUCUCUAGCUAGAGCAUUUAAAUGCAACAACAAAUGCGAUCAAGAUCGCAACUAAGAUAACAAUUGAUCCAACAGCAUAAUGAUACCAAGCCUCACUAUCGAUGGCAUAUUUUCUAAUCUUUCUAAUCCUCAAGCGCAUUUUCUCCAUCUUGAUCUUGUGAUCAUCGACGACAUCGGCAACAUGCAACUCCAAUUCCAUCUUCUCCCCCUCAAUUCUUUUCAAUUUUUCUUUCAAGUACUCGUUUUCUCUUUCAACUAAAUUUAACCUCUCGACAAUAGGGUCGGUUGGAAUUUCCGGUUCACAUACCUCCUAGAUAAAAAUAUCUAUGUCAACUUGAUGGGCAGAAUUUGUCAUAAACACGAAAUGCAAAAAAUAGUUUUAAAAAAGAAUAUACCACAUCCGAAUCAUAACAAGGAUGAGGGCCGACGGGGACGGAUAUCAAAACCAUGGCACUAUGUAUAACAAACAACGUACGGGUAAGAUAAUUAUUAUACGAGUAACUAUAUAUCCAAAUCACACAAACAUCAAUUUUUUAUAUAAAAUUUCAUGAACAAGAGGCUCACCACAAGGUGGUGCCGGCGACGGGACGGUGGGGCGAUCGACGGUGGUUACGACGGAGAUUUAGAAGGCACUAAGUAAACCACACCUACAUAUGCAAACUAAGUGUUAUUUUGACCUCAAAUUGCAUAUAAAUCAAAUACUACCACAUAUAAUUCCUCCCAAAUUACUAAAACCCACAAUUAAUCACUAAACCAAUGCAAGAGCUAAUCUAGCAAUGAGAGAUGAAAGGACAAAGUUGCUAACCUUGGUGAUCAUUUGAAUGGAUGAGGGCCUGCAAAUCUUGACAAAUUUGGGGCAAAUUUUGUGAUGAACUCGAGAGGAAGAAGGGAAGAACAGAGGAGAGGGAGAGGGGAAAGGGGGAAGAAUAGAGUGUGGGUGGACGAAGGGUUUAUAUAGGAUGACCUUUAGUACCGGUUCGUGGCACCACUUUCUUUAGUGCUGGAAGGGCCCCACUCUGACAACAUCCUGCCACCACUUUCUUUAGUACCGGUUCGUGGCACGAACCGGUGCUAAAGGUUCACCACGAACCGGUACUAAAGAGCUCCUCCCGCCUAGCCGUUGGAACCGGCACUAAUGGACACAUUAGUGUCGGUUCUGUUACAAACCGGGACUAAUGUGUCUCACAUUUGACCCUUUUUCUACUAGUGUGAACAAGUUUUGUGCAAUAUUGAACUACAAAAAAAACAAGUUAGCACUACAAACACCAACAACAAGCAUGAUGAACAUGGAUGAAAUGGCACUUACCCUAUCUUCAUCAUUAGUGCCACUUGGGUUCAACUUGUCAACCGCCUUUUGUGCGGCCGCCCACUUUUGACAAUCUCGGCUGAUUGUCGACCACUGGGAGCGAAGAGAUCGUUCCAAGCAGUCAAUUUCACUCUUGUUGUGUAGAUCAAAGUGCUCCUUCAUCAGGUUCCAAUAAGCAUCUUUACUUUGAUCACCUCCAACGGAUGGAUCCCUCGACACUUGCAACCAAGUAUUGCAUAGCAAGACAUCUUCCUCAUUGGUGUAGUUGCCUCCUCUUCCUUUCGGUGCGUCGACAAUGCCCUCACCAUCCUUGUCCACCUCAAACACAUGGUCAUCAAAAUGCAUGUCAUUGGUUUGAGACCAAUGCAAAUUGUUGGAGCCAACACCCAUAGUUGACAUAUAUGCCUCAUCGUUGAAACUACAAAGUAUAUACAACGAAGCAAAUAAGCUAUCUAUAUGUAUGCAUUCAAAAAAUACAACAACAAAAAGUUGGCGAAAUUUUACACCUUUGGGGCAUUUCCUCGAACACCUUCUGCGCGUCGGCCGCCGGCUCAACAAGUGAGCUCGUCCGUGCUUCGGUAGCCGACGCACCCCUCGCACGCCCUGCAAGCUUCUUCCUCGACGGCUUCGAGGAGCCGGAGCCGUCCGCCGCCUUGUUCUUCUUCGCAGAUACCUUGCCCUUCUUCGGCCGCGCCGCAUUUGGGAGCUUCGAGAGGGGGGCACGUGGCUUCACAGCGGGCACCGGCGCGACGCCACCCGCCGCCGAGGUCAUCCGUGGCGGCAUGAAAAGGCCACACACUAUGUCGGUGCUUGAAGGAGCUCCGACAGAGGAGAAGCCAAAGCUUCCCGCGCUAGGGUUUGCGGCAGCGGCAGAGGGGUUGUGGGAGUAGGAAGGGGUGAGGGGGGUGCCAACACGGGCGUCCAUCGGGCCGAUUCACCGGCGGCGGCGCGGGCGGAGCGAAGGUGGCGCGACGGAGAGAGUGCGGCGCGAUUGCUCGCGUGUGCGGCGCGCGGAAGCGGGCGUACAAAAUACACAGCGUGCGAUGGCGAUUUGGACCGCGCGCCCAACUCUAUAUGCCGCGCGCUUAUUGCGCGUCCGCUGGAGCCCCUACAUCGAUUGCGCGCGCUAAAAAGACAAAUUUGCGGCGCGACCCUUAUUUAGCACGGCUGUUGGAGAUGCUCUAAGCAGUGCAGCGGCUUCGGUCGCCAGAGGUCGAGAGGAGUGAGGGGAGGGGGGGUCGAUGGGGAUUUUUUGGGAGGGCUGGCUGGGCUAGGUCGUUCGAUGUCUAAUGGGCUGUCUGGGAAUCGGGACCCAAUUAACUAAUAUCCUUCCAAGUUCAUGAAUGAAUCCUUUAAAUCUUUAUUUACUACUCCUUUUCUACAAUCAUUUUCCUCAAUUUGGAAUAAGGAAACAAUUCAGAUUUUGAUUUCUCCUUGUUUUCAUUCAACAAUGAUAAUUUCAUUUCAAUUUAAGUACCAAUUUUGGAACACACGCUGUCAAGAAAUAGGCAUGUACAUACUCUCUGUGCAUGGCAAUAUUAAUGUGCCAGUUUAUUUGGGCUGAGCUGAGUCCUGAAGGUAGGACGCACAAUCUUCUUUGAAACAAAUGCCCUUUGUAGUUAACUUGGCAGUGGUAGUAGCAUCAUUUAGAUUUCUAGUGCAAUCCAAUAUUUCAAUUUUUAUUUUGUUGGCUAAGUACACCUCUAUGCAACUUCCACAACAGAAUAUUCCAAACUAUAGAAUGGUCUCAGUGUACCAGUUUUUCGAAUCUCCAUUGAAAAACUUGAAGGAAGAUGCUCGCCAAAUGGUCGUCAACUAUUUUAAAAACUACUUUGACUUAUAUGGAGAACAGUAUUAGUACUGUAAAACUUGACCAAGAAAGCUGAUGUGUAACAGCUAUUUUUUAAUACUGUUAAAACAAUAUACCUUUCGAGAUGUAGCUAUGAUCUCCAAAACGAGUAAGAACUUUUUCAUAUCAGUUAUCGUUACCUAGUAUACCAUGUUCGGAAAGUUUAAUCGUAUAUGUUUUGUAGCUCAUGCAUUGCUACCAUUUUCAUGAGCAUGGAUCUGUUACAAUAGGAUGAAACAAAUUAUGAGGCUGUGUGAUGUAAAUGUGGAUAUAUAUCACAGGUGCACAGCUUUGGGCUUUCGAGCGAUCCAGGAAGGUAAACCUGGAAGCUGGAACAUAAGAACUUCAUUGAUGUCUCUUUAGUCUGAAACUCAAUGCGACCAUAGUUAAUUUCCUUCUACCAAAUUCCUUUCAUUCCCAUCUAUAAAAAGUUUCUUUUUAUGCAUGUUCAGUGCUCAAUUCAAGUAUGCUCACCAAGGGAUACCUUUUUUUUGACAUUUUGGUGCAAAGUAGCUUAAUUUACCUCUCCUACUGUUUUCUUCAGAAUUAGAUGUUGAAAAUGGUGUUGGAACUCUAUUUAAUUUUUGCUGCAUUCUUAGUUGCUAUUAUUGAUCAUCAACGGAAGAGUUGAUAAAAUUCAAAUUUAGUUCUCAAUUCUUUUUGGUUCAUUUAAUUAUAAAGAUCUAUCUUCCUAGGUCGACGGUGGUCCAACCGCACCCGUCUUUAAAACAAUAGAGUUUGGAGUCCCAUGUGUUAGAAAUUUCAUACCAUUUAAACAAAAUGUAGAAAAGAACAAGCUAUGUUUAUCUAUGACAUUAAGCAACAGCCAAUGUUUAUCUGCCGCGUUUAUAAAAAGAAAUCUUUAGCUAGAGCAUUAAAACUAACCAAAUCUUUAGCUACAACAGUUAAGGCUUCCCUAUCUUUCGCUACAACAUUUAAAACUAGACAUGGCAUUUAAGACUUCCCUAUCUUUAGCUACAACAUUUAAGACUAGACGAUAAAGUCACUAGCUAUGUUUGGCAAUGUAAAAAUACAACAAUUUGGAUAACCCAUUCAAUUUGUGCUUGUUACUGAUGAGUAAUUACAAUACUAGUUACAGUUCUGCUAUAUAUAUGGACCGGGGUAAGUAAUGGAUACAUAUCAAAACCCAGUGAAUUUCUCACACAAUGGGGAAGCACAUCAAGCACAAUGCCCAACUUGUUGUCUUGCUUUCCAUGGUUCUUCUAAGUUGCCUGGUUUCUUCAGCCGUACAAGGUAAUGAACAAUUGUAAAUAGUUAUUUCAUGAACUUUCAGUGUUCAUCCUUAUGUUUAAAGUUUGUUUCGUCAACCUUGAGUAUGCACCCCUUGGAAAGAUCUAGAGUGGUUUUCUACAUAGGCAUUAUCUACAUGUUCACAUGCAAAAUGAAAUUACCUUCAUGUUGAGCUGACAUAAAUUUAUUUGAUUUUCACUUCAGUGACGACAAGAGGAGCAACACAGCGGCUAUACGGCCUAACGAUGAC